GGAUGAUGAGUAGUCAGCUUGUGCUUGGAUGGCAGGAGAAACCAAUGCAGGACCCUGACUUGGAUUGGCUGAACCCAAAAAAAAAAAAAAUUUAAUUAAUUAAAAAUAAUAAUAAUACACAUAUAUACAUACAUAUUUUCAUGAUUUCUAAAGUUCAAACUUCUCUUUUCCGUUCUUGGAAUUUGUUAAUAACUAAAGCAUCACUUAUAAACUGUUCUGUAAGGAAGACCUAGAAUAUUUGCACUCAAACAGUAGAUGGAAAGUACUUCAUCCAGGAUUUAGGAUAUGGGCUCCGAUUAAACCAAAUAUUCAAAUGGUACAUCAGAUGCUUCAGUACUUUGGACCGUCUUUCUCUAUUUAAAAAAUUAAUUCUUCAUUAACCUUAAUUAAAGUAGUCAUCUUUUUCCUCACAUAAAUCAUGAAAAUUCUGUUUAAAGUACAAGAUUUUUCCUCACUUAGUAGACAUAAUAUACAUUGACCAGCCAACAGCCCUUAGCAACUUUAACUUACAAUAUGCAGGCCACUUUGUUAUGAGCUCCAAGCUAGAUUCAUAUUCAGUUAAGAUGUGCUUCUUCAAUUAUAUGACGAAACAAGCUGUGCUCCUAGAAUUACAUGAAGAAACAAAUUAAAAUACAAUGCUUCAAUAUUUUGCCUUUAUAAGACUAAUGUCUUCACAUACUCAGGAAAAGGUACGUGACCGCAUUAAAAUUACUGAAAACAAAUUGUAGCAAAAAACAUUCAUCAUGAAAAGUUUAGGGAACUUCAACACGAGUACAAAAAUGAGAAGCCAAAAAAAAAAAAUUAAAUAAUGCUGUACCUAUGUGAGUAGGUUUUUUAAGUCUAAAGCACGUAGAAACCGUAAGUCCUAAAUAAAUUCAUUGAAAUUGAAAGGCUUACUAUUAUAUAAUUAUCAUAAAUAAAUAAGCCAGAUGGUAUUUCAGAAAAUAUACCAUUACUAGUUCAAUUGUGCACAUUUAAAAAUUGGGUCCAUAAUCACUCACAAAUAUGAGAAUUGAUGACUUUAACAAUUGACCAUCAGGGAACGUAAUCCUAUGUGCUCUCUGUAAAGUAACUAUUUAUCAAAAAUACAUUGAAAAUCCAAAUUAUUCCAGCGAUAAUUAGUAUACUUAAAAAAUGUGCAGCUAAAACCUACUAAGUCAAAAGUAAGGUAGCUCAGUAUGGGGUCAAUGUAGAGCGAAAAACAAAAUUCAUCAAAGAGUGAAUAUGGUGAUAAUAGGACACUACUUUCUUUUACUCAAGGAGUGAAGCAUACGUGAACGAUUUUAUGCAGGUGGCAUAUUUCUUUGUCUUCCAUGAAGGUUAAUUUAUAAUGCAUGUACAUACUUCAAAUAGAAGGAUAAAUUAGAAAAGAAUAAUUUCUAGAGUUGAGAUAAAGCACUUUAGAUGUAAUUGAGGGAAAGAUGAAAAAGGAAUCAUAUAUAGCACAUACGUUCUUUUAGCCUCAUGUAAGCAACUUUUGCUGCACUCAUCUCCGCUUGCUUCUUGGACUUUGCUUCUUGUCCAGAAAAAACUUGUCCUCCUACCUCAACAGUUGACACAAAAGUUGGUGCAUGAGAUUCACCAGAUUGCUUAGUAUUAUAAACUGGCAAAGCAUACGCUUCUUUCUGAGCCAAUUCUUGCAAAAGGUUCUUGUAAAGAACAGAAUCAUCCUGGAAAAAUAUGUUUAUUAACAAAAUAUGCGAAUAUGAAAGAAGAUAGAUCACUACUAAUACGAAAUUCAUAAGUUAUUCAUUAACAGUUAAUUAGAAGACUGGCCUGUUGAAAUUUAUCAAGUGACAAUGACAUUAAUGCAACUUUCGCCGCUUCAUGCUCGGCAUCUUUUAAAGUAGGAAAAAACUGAUGACUCUCAUAAGUUUGUCCAUCAAUUGUGACCUUACACUUGAAACGACUAGCAUGAGGAGGACCUUCCCUCUCACAUGAAUACAUAGGAAGAGGGAGAUUUUUCUUUUGAGUAUAGCUCUGCAGCUGGUUUUUGUAUAGGUGUUGCAUAUCUAUAAUUCAGAAAGAAAUUAUGAGUCACAUGACUUCUCAUCAUAAACAAUAGAAAUUCUUUCAUUUCCUUAUUUAUUGCCUAGAUAAAAACCAGAAGUCAAAUGUUCAGAAUGCAAGGAAAUAGGAUGUCAAUUCAAUGAAACAUCAGUAAACAUAGCAGUGAUGGCUGAAUCGCCUUGAGGAUAGAAAUACCCCGACCUUACCCUCCCCCGCUCCUUAAAAGAGUACCCUUCAUCCAUACCCCACUCUCACAUCAGGACUGCCAUCUUUAAUAGUUCUUACCACAGUAGGACUGGAACGCACACCCAUGAUCUGUGUCCCGCCAGUACAAUAUUUUAACUAAGUAGCAGCAGAACGCCAAAAAGCAUCAAUGUAAUUGAAUGGAUAAAAUAAGUACCAUCUAAGCUAAAUUCAUACCUUCAAACAAGAAACCAUCGAUGCGAUCAUCAAGCUAAAUGCCCAAGCAAUGUACUAAAGCAAUCAAAUCUAAGAAAUUGAACGUACAAAAUAAGUUCCAAUUAAGCUAAAUUCAUACCUUCAAGUCAGAUACCUCUUACUUGAAAUAAAUCAAGGUUACAGGAGAUGAGAGCACAAUCAGCUUAAUUGGUAGAGUUUAAAAAAUAUUAGGUCCUCUCUGGGGCAUACACAAUGAUGAAGAUGAAAAAGAUGAAGACUCAAAAAGUGAGAGAGAGAAAGGAGAAAGCUGAGAUUAGCUGCUUAGAGAAGGAGGCAGCAGAGAGGAAACCAAAUGGGAACAAAACCCUAACCUUGGGAAAGGAAAUAAUAUAAACAUAUACUAAGGUAUUUAUACGAGAAAAAAUACCUGGGAAAGGGCUGAAAAGAAAGAAGUUGUAUCUAUACCCCAACUGCACCCUAUUAGUUAUUUGAUUGACACAUUGCUUGACCCAAUUGGCUAGGUGUUUCCUCGUACGGGCACUGAAUAUGAAGCAGUGUGAACACUGAAAUUUCAAGUUUCCUUAUAUAUACUUUUUGAUUUCACUAUUUUACUUCUUUUCACUCACCUGAGGCUCAAUGUAAGAUCGUCAAAUAGACGGAAUACCUGAGGCUCAAUGUAAGAUCUUCAAAUAGAUGGAAUUGGAUUGAAAGAUUGAGUUCUCUCACUUGAUAUCAAAUUCAGAGUUAACUUAGAGAUCUAUUUCAUUAUAUGUUAUUAGUGCGUCUCAAAAAUGACAUGUAAUGGUCCACUCAAAUGUUUUAUUUAAAUAUCCGUCCAUAUAUUAUCCAAUAUUCCCUUUCAACAUUACCGUACCUAGCAUUAAUAAAUUUUAGGCACAUCACAGCAUAUCCAAAUUUACGUAUGUCCAGCAAUUUUCUAAUUGAAAAUGAUUUUGUACAUAAAAAUACAGAUAUGUGGACAAGAACAACAAUCAAGAUCAUCAAAUUUAGUAUGGAAGAAAAGAAUACAAAUGAAAAUAUGUGACAAUCCAACUUCAAUUGAAGUUGUUAAUUAGAACUUCACCAAGGCCAACAGAAGUAUGAGAAACAUGAAUCAUAAUUAUAAAAAAUAAUAAUAACAUAAAUCACUUAGAAGUUCUCUGAUGCGGUAAAUUGAAAUAGAGCUACAUUCAAGAAAUCAUGACUAUAGGCUUUGUCUUUAAUAGCCUCUUUAAUCCUCAAUCUUUUGACAUCACCAUAGCAGAAAAGUAAGUACACAAAAUUCAACAAUAUAUGCAUGAUCAAUCAAUAAAACCAAUAAACCAAAUAUCUAAAUCAAGAAAUUACAGAAAGGAAAAGAAAUUAUUACUAAAAUAAUUAUCUGACCUCUUGAUUUGUGAACAUCAUUGACAGUUGAGAUCGUUGCAUUGACCUGAGUAGUUCGAUCUGUUUCUCGAGCAUUUACUUGCACUGCACUUUCACUCGAAGAACCUACAAAAAUUAUUUAUAACCCAGUGUAAAGAAGAAGUAAAGUUUUCCGCACGAACAUGGUAAAGUAAAGUUUUCUGUAGGAAAAUGGUAACUUCAAAAUCCGUUUCAAACCUAUCAUACAUCCCCCACCCUCAUUUAAGACUAGUGCUUGCAAAAACUAGAAGUAAUUUAUCCAGAACAUAAAAGCAGAGAAAAUCCAGUCCAGUAUAAAUAUAAAAUUAGAUAAUACCUACCAUUUACCAUUUCAUUCAAGAACACCACACAGUUAACGAAACCAACAUAGGUAUGUUUCCAACUGUUGUACUUUCAAGUUAAUUUUGAAAGCGCGGAAGCUAAAGCCUAAACUGUUGUUUGAUAAAAGCCCAUCCACUGACUGAUACUUGGCGGGUAGCAAUUCCAUUCAAUAGCAGUCAUAGAAUAAAAGUACAAAACAAACCCCUGUUUAAAAAAUGCAAUGAAGCAGCCAUGAUUUCAAUUAUUUGCAUGUCUGGGAUUGCAGUUGAUUCCAAAUUGAGAAUAUACUUCGAGAAUAUGUUUGAUAAGCCCUUAUGUGAUGAUCGCUGGUUUAUUGAGUCUUAAAAGAACAACUCAAUCAACUAAUGUUUGAUUUGAAAAAAAAAAAUGGCAAAUCAAAAAAGUUUUGGAGUAGAUUCUCAAAAGAGUGAUUAUUUGAUAAUCCACCAUAAUCCCACAUAGUUAUCAGAAUGAAAUUAAAAUCCGAGGAAUGUUAUUUAAGGCAAACAGCACUUUUUUUAUUUUAACCAACACUUGCAAAUUGCAAUUCUUAAACUAAAAGCAUGCAAAAUAAAUGCAAAUUAAGAACGCACCUAACAGAAAAUAAUAAUAAUAAUAAUCUGAAUUGGCAAUAUUAAAAUUACCGUUAGAAGAGGAAGCGGCAGGAGUAGAGGAUGGUGGAGGAGGAGACGAGAAAUGUUGGAAAGCGAUUCUAGCGGCGUCGUUUUGGGCCUCUUUGGACGACUUGUAAAGAUCCGGAGUGGUGAAAGAUUGGUCGUUAACGGUAACGGUUGCUUGAAAGCGAGGGUUGUGGUCAAGGCCUUGUUUGGCUGUUGUGUAUACUGGCAAGUUCCACACUCUCUGGUGGCAUAGCUCCUGCAGCUUCGUUUUGUACAUCUUUUUUGCUUACAAUAUUUUCACUGAUUUUAAUUUUUUUUUUGGAAUGGGAAACUCAAGAGAAGAGAGAAAUGGAAUUUAGUUGCAAAAUUUGAAGUUUAAUUAUCAAAUAUUACGCCAAGAGAGUACGCUUCAGUUCCACGAACAGGUUCAGAAUAAAUGACGCUUGGGAAUGCUGAAAUGGAAUAAGGCCUUUUUAUAAACAAAUAAUAAUAGUAAACCGACGCCACGGUGUUUUAAAAAUAAGUUUUUUUUUUUUUAACCUUGAAAUUCCUUAUCACAGUGACGUUUUAAAAUAAUAUUUUUUUAAAAUGCAAAAAAAAAAUUUCUUUCUACCAUUUAUAAAAAAGAAAACUUAAAUAAUUUACUGUAUUAAACGUUAAAAUAAACUAAUAAAAAAUUAUCGAUAUUCUAAAAACCAAAUAAAUAAUACCUUUCCUUUAUCUUCUUCUCAAGGAAGGUGGCUAAAAACUUUCUUCUCCAAAGAGAUCUUGUUCUAUAAGGAGACAUGACAUGAAAGUUGAAGGAGAGGGUGAUCGAAGGGGGGAAUAAAAAAUCUUUUAUGGUUGGCUCGUGGACAUGGACUUCUUAUGAAAGGUGGUAACGCUGUCUCAACGUCAUAAUUAUACCGAAGCUAAGUCCAUUUCAAUCAAUAUAAAAUAUGAAUGCGGUAACGACUAACGAGAAGUUAAUAGUUUUGGAUCAAACGAAUAUACAACGUCGUUCGUGUGUUUAUCAAAUAAGAAUUCAAUUUAAACAAUGUAAAUGUGUUAACAAGAAAUUGAGAGUUAUUGAUAAGACGAGCAUAAAAUUAAAACGUCAUUCAUAUGUUCAUCAAACAAGAGUCCAUUUAUGUAUAUGUAUUAACAAGGAGUAGGGAGUUUUAGGUAAGACAAGCAUGUUGAGUUGUAAUCGGAAUAGACAGAAAUCAGAAUAGGAAAUGGAGAUCAGAAUAAAUUAUUUAUUUGAACUGUAGGAAUCGAAAUCGGAAUGAAUUGAAUUGUCAUAAAUGUGUUUACUUUGUCUUGGAAUCGGAAUCGAAAUGAAUUAAAUUAUAACAAAUUAUUAAAAAGUACUUAAUAAAUUAUUGUUAUAAUUAUUAUUUUAUAUUUUAAUUAUAGUGAUUAUUUAUUCAAAAAUUAUUAUUAUUAAUUAUUGUCAAUAAUAUAUUGAUAUAUUAAUUAAUUAUAAUUAUUAUUAUAAAUAUAUUAAUUACUAAUAUUAAUAUAUUUAUCUGCUGUACCGUACAUCCNNNNNNNNNNNNNNNNNNNNNNNNNNNNNNNNNNNNNNNNNNNNNNNNNNNNNNNNNNNNNNNNNNNNNNNNNNNNNNNNNNNNNNNNNNNNNNNNNNNNNNNNNNNNNNNNNNNNNNNNNNNNNNNNNNNNNNNNNNNNNNNNNNNNNNNNNNNNNNNNNNNNNNNNNNNNNNNNNNNNNNNNNNNNNNNNNNNNNNNNNNNNNNNNNNNNNNNNNNNNNNNNNNNNNNNNNNNNNNNNNNNNCAUCUGCUGUACGGCCAAGGCGGAUGUACGGUACAGCAGAUUUGACUUUUUAUUUUUUAUAUUUAUAUCUUUUAUUUAAAGAAGGGGCAUUUUAAGAAAUUUUGAAUGUCAACGGAAGCAAAAGAACUCUAGGUAAUGGGAGAUUGAUUCUCACCUCUCCCAAGGAAUCAAUCUCUCAUUCCUCAUUCUCAAAUAGUGGUGGGUUCCAUGAUUUCAAUUCUGAUUCUUACUCCAUUUUUUGGAAGUAAAUGCCGUUAAUCAUUUUGAUUCUCCAAUUUGGAAAAUAAAUGUACCAUAAUAUUUAAUCAAUUAUUAUGAUUAUUGGAUUUUUCAGAUACUUUUAUCUAUUUUGGUUGGAGGGACGAAGUUCACUUUCUAUUAAAAGAAACAUUAGAGGAGCUUUCAAAGUCUAGGCUAAGGUUGUUUCCCAUGGCCUUGAAGCAAUACCCAAAAAGAGCUUUCCGGCUGGCAAAAUAGGCUUGUGUUUCUGCGUCGCAAAAUGAUGUGAAUGAGCUUUCGGAGUGUUUCCUCUGAAAUUUUAGAUGCUGCAAAAUCAACAUUGUCCCGCUCGAAGUAACCCGGACAAUUUCAUUUCCUAAUUUCUUCUUAUUUAUUAUGGCAUUGAUUUUCAUUGCAAGCUCAUUGCUCUGCUAAGAAAAAGAAUAAAUGGGGGCCAAAAAAGGAAGAAAGAAAUAGAGGCAAAGGCAACAACAUUAAUGCACAAACCAGUAAAGGUAUUCCAUCGAUUUACGGCCACUGAUAGCAAGCCGGGGCCUUUAAAAACGGAAAAUACAAGCAAAGAAAAAUAGAAGCCAAUUGCUCAAUAGUGCAUAAUAUGCAUACGGAAAAUUUUCAUCACAUCACGACCCACAGUUAUUCGAAUAGGUAAUAAGACAGGAAUUUUCUUUCUUUGUUUAAAGUGAAAAAAAAAAAAAUCAAUGGCUCAGGAAGUAUCCCUCCAAUCUCCAGAACCACUCACUUGGCACUGGCAAGCUGGGUGCGGAGUAGCUUGGCAGCAGCGACCAUGUUUGAGAGGGCUGGCUUCACCUCAGUGUACUUGCGAGUCUUAAGACCACAGUCAGGGUUAACCCACAAAAUGUUGGUUUCUAGCACAGCAAGCAUCUUGUUGAUUCUGUCAGCAAUUUCUUCAGUUGAUGGUAUUCUUGGAGAGUGGAUGUCAUACACACCAGGGCCAAUUCCAGCACCAUACUUGACUCCCUCACGGAAGACAGACAGGAGCUUCUCAUCAGAACGAGAGUUCUCAAUGGUGAUCACAUCAGCAUCCAUGUCGAUAAUUGAGUGGAUAAUGUCGUUGAAGUUGGAGUAGCACAUGUGGGUGUGGAUCUGUCAAUCAAUAUACAAUAAGAUGAGACACAACAUCAACAGCUAAAUUAGAGAGAUGAGAUUGGAGAUUGAAAGGGCAACUGACCUGGGUAGUGUCCUGGACGCCACAGUUGGUGAUUCUGAAGGAGUGGACUGCCCAGUCCAAGUAGAAAGCAUGCUCAGAUUUCCUAAGAGGCAAUCCUUCCCUCAAGGCAGCCUCAUCAAUUUGAAUAACGUUAAUGCCUGCCUUCUCAAGAUCCUCGACUUCGUCCUUGAUGGCCAAAGCAAUCUGGUAGCAGGUUUCAUGUCUGCAAAAUUGGCAGCGAUUUAUGUUAAACAAUGUUUCCAUUUCAAAAGGUUAACCAAUAGUGAACCAGUUCUCAUUUAUAUACCUGGGCUGGUCAUUUCUAACAAAGGACCAGUUGAGAAUGGUGACAGGGCCAGUAAGCAUUCCUUUCAUUGGGCGAGCUGUCAUGCUCUGAGCCAAGGAGGACCAGAAGACGGUCAUAGCCUUGGGACGGCUCACAUCACCAUAGAUGAUGGGUGGCUUCACACAGCGAGAUCCAUAGGAUUGCACCCACCCAUUGGCAGUGAAGGCGAAACCUGAUAAUUGCUCUCCAAAGUACUCAACCAUGUCGUUCCUCUACAAAAACAAAUGUCCCAAUUCAAUAUGAGAUACAGCAUACUUCGUAUGCAAUUAGAAAUGCAGAAACAAAAAUGUAUAAAAUUUUAUCUAAUUCAAAACCAGGAGACAUUGCUUUGCUUCCAUUGGGCAUUGUGAAACUCACCUCAGGCUCUCCAUGGACAAGGACAUCAAUAUCAAGCUCUUCUUGGAGUUUGACAACCUUGUUGAUUUCCUCCUUGAUGGAAGCAACAUAUUCUUCCUCAGAAAUCCUAAAAAGGACAAAUAGUCACGGCACAGUUAAUACAGUAGUCGAAGUAAUUUCACACAUGGCAUUGAAUGAAGGAAAACCUCAGAUUGACUCACUUCUUAGCCUUGUAUUCACGGCGGACUCUCCUAAGUUCAAUGGUUUGUGGGAAGGAUCCAAUUGUGGUGGUUGGGAGGAUUGGAAGAUUGAGCUUCUUCUGUUGAGCAUCCAAUCUAGCACUAACGUUUGUAGCACGUCUGUGGUCUGAUCCCUUCAAAGCAGCAGCCUAAUUUACCAAGAGGAAGGAAUCACCGUUAGCAAAAAAAGGAAACUCUAAGGGGCAGCCACAUCAUAAAAAUGGAAAACAAAUCAAUCAUGCCACUUACAGCCUUUUGAACUCUCUCAUUGGUCACUCUCGGGGAGGACUUUCUUGAAGCCUGAGCUGCAGCAUUGGCAGAGAAGAAUCCCUGGAAACAAAUGAAAAGGAGAAACAAAGUUAGUCUCAUUCAUAUCAUUUCAAAAGGAAUAUACAUAUGCAAUUAGUGGGCUGAUUGUGAGAGAAAAUGUCCACAAAACUUUAACCAAACACCAAAUGCCCAAGUUGCCAAAUGAUGUUUAAUUCGGAAAAAUAUAUUUAGAAACAUUCAAAUAAAUAAUUUCCCCUUCUAAAUUUUCAUUUUCAACAACAUAUUUUACAAGCCAAGCUCAACUUCAGGCCAAGAUUUUCUGCUCCUAUAAUUAUAUUUUACCAUAAAACUAGGUCCUUGAAAGGCUAAGAUUUUCUGACUCUUGUGACUAGUCAAAGCCUAAGAUUCUUUCAAUUCAUCCGUAGCUAACAUUUUAGACUAAAAGUAUACCUCAUCCUUUUGGCCAGCCAAAGCCUUGGCCAAUGCAUUCACUUCAACAACUUUCUGGGCAGCAAAUGCCAGCCAUGACUUGAUUUCAUCGUCGAGUUUGUUCUCAUUAACAAGAUCAACAGCAGUGUGAAGAAGUGAGCAGGAGGUGGAGACCACAAGCUUGUCUGCAAAGAAAAAUAAUAAAUUAUACAACAAAUCCCAUAAAAGAAUAAGAAAUAUUUAUCACAAAGAAAAAUGCAGGCAAAGGAUGUAUACCUUUGCCAACAACACCCUCAAGCCCCCGGAGAACACUAAGAGAAGCAGCAAGAUCAUUGGCCCAAAUGUUCCUUCCAUCAACCACUCCAGCAAAGAGGUACUUGCCAGCAGGGAAUCCACUCUUGAUCAAUUCAAGGGUCUUCGUUCCACGAACCAAAUCAAAUCCAUAAGCGGUGACACCCUUCAAAGAAGUGAGGGUCUGGAAUGCCUCAGCUGGAACAUCAGCAAAGUAGGUCUCAACAAGAACAUUCAAGCCAGACAGAGUUGACUCUAGCUCGGCAUAAGCCUCACUGAAUGCAUGCAAUUUGUGUGAGUCAAGAUCCAUAACAAGCAAUGGCUCAUCAAACUGAAUCCAGGAAGCACCAGCAGCCUUAAGCUCAGAAAUAACUUCCCUGCAGAAGUGUUAAUUGGUACAACACAGAUUAAUGAUGUCACUCGAUAUAUACACACAGAGUUAUUUAGCACAUACACAUUUAUAAAUCAGUAAUAGGUGAUAAUUUCUUACUUGUAGAUUGGAAGGAUUUUCGGAAGAAGAGAAAGAAGAGAAAAGGUCUUCGCAACACCCUUGGCAGGCUUAGACAGCAACAAGUAUGACACAGGGCCAAUAAGCACUGGGACAGUUUCAACUCCAAGCUGCAGCAUUAGACAAGUGAUCGAUAUUAGCAUCUCACAAACUUGAUCUGAUUGAUAGAAAGUUACAAGCAAGUUCAGAAUUCGUUUAAUGAAAUCUCUAUGAAAAAUCUUCAGGGUCCACAAUGUGUUGAAAGUACCCUUUUCAAGUAAUUUAUCUUAAGACUAUUUUGCAAACAGUAUUGCUUUCCUUACAGAUCAAAUAAAUCAAACAACAUAUGAACACAUUUACUGAACCAAGUCUAAGUUCAAAGCUCUAUAAAUAAAUGUCAAUGAAUCUAUAGUAAAUUCUAUUGCAUCCUAAGCUAAAGAUGAGCAUAUCAUAUAAGAAUUUCAAGGUGAACGUAACCCAAUUUCAAUAUAUUGUAGAUUCAGAUAUCAAACGAAAUAAAAUUUGUAAAUAUAGACAGAACUGAGAAUAAACACUCACCCCCUUAGCCUCCUUGUACUCAGUCACAGCCUUGUGGGAAGCGUAGGAGAACUUAACAUCGGGUCCCAAUUCAGGAACAAUGAAAUGACUGCAUCAACACGAAGCCAAACACGCGUCAGCAUUCAGUACAAAACCAUUACACCAUAAAUAACUUGAAAUGCCGCUCUUCCAAGUAGUGAAUACUUACUAGUUGGUGUCGAACCACUUGGUCAUUUCCAUAGCGGGAACAGAGGCGUUUCCUCUGGCCAUGGAGAAGUAAACAUCAAAUCCAAUCUCGCCGCCGUUCCAGUUAUACCUCGGGGGCACGGCACCGAGCAUUGCGGUGGUGUCGAGCACUUGGUCGUAGUAGGAGAAAGUGUUGCUGGGAAUGUAUUUGAUCCCGGCCUGGGACAUCUGUUUCCAGAUGGAGGAUCUGAGAUCAGCGGACACCUUUUGCAAAUCCUCAGCGCUGCUCUUGCCAUCCCAGAAGGAUUCCAACGCGAACUUGAGCUCCCUCUUGGGGCCCAUGCGUGGGUAUCCAACGAUGUGAGAUGCCAUUUUACUGUCAUAAUCACGUCAUCAAUGAAUCGAAAAUCAGUCACUUUCAUUAAAUCAAGAAAAUAUUCAUUCAAAUGGAUGGGUCAUUGCUAUUACUGCUCAAAUCAAAUGAAAUCAAGAACACUUAUCAGAGCAUAAAAUCUUAAAUUAAUUUUUUUAUAAAAAAAUAAAAAACCAGUUGAAACAAGCUGAUAAUAAUCCAAGAGUUUGAGAUGAUUUUUUUCUUUCUGUAAUCACAUGAACAAUUAUGUACUUUCAGUCAUUUUUGAAGGAUUAAAACAAAAAAUUCUACAAAUAGAUUCUGAAAAGAAGAAUCUAAAAAUAGAUUCAAAAACAGUAACACAAGUAGAGUUCAAAUUGUUUUUCGGAAAAGAUUAAUUACAGAUCUGAUUGAUUCACGUUCAGAUCUAGCAAAAUCACGGCAGCCAAACACUAGAUCUAACACUAACAGUCACUCACCAGUCCAUUAGAAAAUGAAAUCAAGUUCAAAAUUCUUUUAAAGUUAAUUCUUUUUUAGAAAAUGACCAGAUUUUAGUUGAGUAUUAGUGAGUUUUUUACAAAAUAAUUUAUUUUUGUUUUUUAGAUCCAAAAGUUCGGAAAUCAAAACCAUGUUCAAUGCUUAUUCAUGAUUAACGGCGUAAAAACGCUACUGCAGAGAAGACAUAACGAAAAUGGGAACCGUACCAAACAGAGAAAGAAGAGCAGAGAAAUUGAGAGUCGAGAGGAGAGAGAGAAGAGAGCGGCGAGUUUGGGGGAGUGCCCUCUCCGUUAUUUAUAGCCAAAAAUCAAAUCUGGUUUGGUGGUUGCCUUUGGCGUGCCAACCUGUAGAUCUGAGAUUUUUCAUCUUAAUUUCUUUCUCUUAUUUAUUUAUUUAUUUAUUAUGAUUUUCAGUGCAGUUCAUAAAAUAUAGAGCUGACGCGCGCUUUUCUGAUGUGGCGCGUGAAUUGGAAAUGCGGUAGGUCUUUGUGGGCCCCACGGCACGGUCAGGACUGAAGGAAAAAUGUGAGAAGUUAUCAUAAUUUCAACAGUGCCAUAAUUAGCAAUUACACCACCAAAUAUUUCUUGAGUUUUUUUUUUUUGAUUGCUUUAAAUGCAGAGUUGUUAUGAAUUGUGUUAAUUGUAGAGUUGUUAUGAUUAGAUUACAUUAUAAUUCGUCACAAUUAUGAUAGGUAUGUACGUAUAUAAUAAUUUAUGAGUAAUGAUAUAACCACAAACUCUUAUACAAACUUAUUUUGUACAAAUUGAUGUGGCAUGAUAAAAUUAGUUGAAUUAAAUAUUACUUGAUCCACAUGAUUUGUUAUUAUUAUUUUAUAUUUUCAUUCAACCAAUGAAUUAAUGACACGUCAGUUUGUACAAGAUAAGUUUGUACAAGAGUUUAUGGUUGUAUCAUCACUCAUAAUUUAUAUAAGAUCUCGAAUAUUUAAAAAAUUUAUAAAUCAUUAUUUUCAUGUACAUUUACCUGGUAGCAAUGACAAUAACAUAAAAUAAACUCCAAACAAGAAUGGAUUAUAUUAUUUAUGUUAUUUUAUAGCUUUUUAAUUGAUUUUUAAAAGGAUUAAUUGUUAAUCAUUACUCUCCAACCGUAAUCACCAUUAAAUAUUUAUUUAAUUUAAUAGUCGGUAGAUCAUAAAUAAGAUUAGAAUAUUUAAUGGACAAUCUAAUUGCUACUACAAUUGUUAUCAUUUUUUUAAGGUAAGGGAUUAGACAAUACUCAAAUUUAUUUUUUAACCCCUUACUCCCUAAAGAUUCGAAUUUAACUAACUAAUUAAAUAAGACUGCUUAAAAACCACUCAACCACAUCUUUUGGGGACCAAUUAAUAUCGAUGUUUAAACUGAGGUUUAUUAUUAAAUUUUUUAAGUUUCAAGUUUCAACCGCUAACAACAUUAUCAUCGAUUAAUGAUAAAUAUAAUAAUAUUUCAUCAAAAAACCAUUUAACACAUCCAUCCAUAUUAAACAUAAGUAAAAAAUUUAUCAUGCAUUUCAAAUAUAUUUUUCAUCCUAAAAGUUAUGGAGAAAAUCUUGAUAUCAAAACUUACAAUGUAAUUAUGGGAUGUAAUUUUGCAUUUGAGGUCAGCACAACUUAAAAAUUACUAUGAAUGAAAAUUUAUAAUAAGCAGACACCACAAAAAAAAAUUAUUUAUAAGUAUUACAAUCAUGCAGUUUUAUUUAAGUAUUUAACCAAGUCAUUCAAUUUCUAAUUAAGACGGUAUAAAUUAGAUUUGGGCUGCCUAAGACCAAAAGUCAAAAAAAAAAAAAGAAUAUUCCUAAUAAGCAGCCUACCGCGGUCACGCGCCUUAAGAAACGCUUGGACUUAGCACACGAUUUUAAUCCAAAAUGUAUAAAAAAGGAAAAAUUUAUGAGGUGUAUAAUUAUCUUGAGUUGUUAUAUUUUGAAGAAACAAUGAAGAAAGUUGGUGGCCGAAGUUGAUCCGGGGCGAAUGGUGGUGGGCCCACGUUGUUGCAUUAUAAUUGGAGUUAUUGUAAUUUUUCUUAUAAUUAAUAAACUCCAUUUUUCAAAGAAAAUAAAUAAAUAAAUACACUCCCGAUUACGAAAAUAUCAUUUCAUGAGUGUCAAAGUUAGAGCUGGCAAAAUUUGACACGACCCGAUUACCUGACACGAACACGACAUAAAUAAAUAAGUAUGGAUCGUCAAAUUUAACACGAUUAUUAAAUGGGUCGGGUCUGGGUCAACACAAUUUUUUUCCGUGUCGGGUUUGGGUUAAAAUUCUUGACCCAUUUACCCGAUCAAUGACCCGAUUAUAUUUUCUAUUUUAAAAUAAUUUACAUAUUCUUAUAAUUAAAACUCAAAUAUUAGAGAUAUUUUUUUUAUUCUUUAAAAUGGUGAAUAUAAACACAGUGUUUUAUUUAUAAAAUUUUACAUACAUUUAGAGCUUCAAUAGUGUAAAUGUGUAAAAAUUGAUAGACAUGUAUAUUUUAUAAUAUUGAUAUAUAAUAUUAUAUAUAUAUAUAUAUAAUUAAAACCUCAAUAGUGUACAUGUGUAAUAUAUUGGUAGAUAUGUAUAUUUUAUAAUAUCGAUAAAUUAUGUAUGUAUGUAUUUAUGUACAUACGUAUGUAUGUAUUUAUGUAUAUACGUAUGUAUGUAUUUAUGUACAUACGUAUGUAUGAUAGUGUGUAAAUAUUUUAUGUAACUUUUGUUCAAUAUAUAGAUAUUAAACGGGUUAUUGGGUAACCCGAUUGUUUUUCCGUGUCGGGUUUGGGUCUCAAUAUUUUGACACGAUUAUUAAAUGGGUCGGGUUUGGGUCGACCUAAAUUUGACACGACACGACACGAACACGACCCGAUGACCCGUUUUGCCAGCUCUAGUCAAAGUGACCGUCACCUACGCAUCGCGUUUGUUGGGCGGGGUGGGUAAGGUGGGGCGAGGAGUUUGUUUGAUCGUCUGAUUACUUUGAUUUUGAUGAAACGUAUGGACGACGGCGAUGGCUUGCCAGCAAGUGGGUUUAUCAUGAUUUUGAUUGUAUUCGGGGAGAUGCUUAUGUAUAUCCUCAAAACUUCUUGGAAAUGAAAACCGCUGGGGUGGCAAAUCUUGACCAAUAAAGUGUGCGUGAUGUUGCGUUUAUAAAUUUCAAUAAUACUAUUGGCCGAUUGAGAUUAUUUUUAAAAAGUUUAAAAAUAAUUUUUAAAGGUUAAAUGUUAAUUUUAAUAUUGAAUAAAUUUUUAAAAAUUAUUUUUGAUAAAAUCAUUUUAUCCUCCAAUAAAUUUUAAAAAAUAGCGAUACAGUAAUUUUUUAAAAUCUAAUUUUAAUAAUCAAAACUAUUUUUUUAUAUAAUUUUAUAGAUAUCCGCAUAUAUAUAUUAUAAAAAUUCGAAAUCAUUAUUAUUAAUUAGGAAAUAAAAUCAUUAACUUUUAAGAAAUUAUUAUUAUUACCAAUUAUACUGACAUAACAAAAUAAAAAAUUAAUUAAUAUUAUAAAUAUUUAUUUCAGUUAUCAACUAUUAUAUAUACACAAUAAAAAAUAUUUUAUAUACAUAUUUAUAAAUGUAUAAAUAAUUUUUAUUCAAUAUUAUAUCGAAUUAAUCAUUUACAUUCUUGCAACAAGUUAACAAUAAAAUUUACCAAACACAUACGAUUGUUUUUAAAACUCAUAUUAUUUUUUUAAAAAAAAAUUACUAAACCUUUAACUGAUUCUCUUACAACUGAUUAUUUCUACAGUACAAUUAACAACAAUUAUUUUAAAAACUAUAACAUUUUCAAACUAGCCCCAUGACAAUAUUGUUAUUGUUGUUUUUCUUACUCUUAUCAAUAAAACUACGUUGCACAUAAGUGCAUAAAAAUUCACACAAAAUAAACUAUUUAACUUUAGGGUAUUAAUUGAAAAAAAAAAUCAGAUUAAGGUGAAUAAAUAUCAGAAAAUAACAAAUAGAUAAACUCUCACACUCUUUAAAAAAAUUAAUUUUAUAAUUUUAUUUAAAACCAACAGAUAUUACCAAACUUAACGGAUCAAUGUUCCAAUGUUUUCUUUUUAAUUUCAAAACCAACAGAUAUUCUUUGUUCAUUAUAUGACCUCCAAACAAAUAAUUUCAUUAAUAAAAUAAUAAUGAAAAGUAUCGUGGUGAGUACAGAGUAAUUCGGUGGCUAAUAAAAGUCUCUAUUUUUCGUCUCUGUUUUUCAUUUUAACUCUUGGGGUUGGUGCCACUUCGGCCUUGGUCGGAGUGGUGGGCUGCUGCCCUCACAAGUAUUGUGAGGACAGUGGUUCAAGCCCCCACAAAUAUUUUUGUGGGGGCUAACGUACUUAUUUAUUUAAUAUUUCAAAAAUUUCUUCUCCCUCGUGCAAUACGAGUGGAGUAUGGACAUCCCUCCUCUAUAAGGGAUUAUUUGUCUGGGCAUGUACUUCACAGAAUUCAAUGUAAUAAUAUAAGUCUCAAUCAUAUAUUUUUGAUUGUAAAUAUCAAUAUAAUAUAUCUGCUAUAAUAGCAGUUGUAAAUAUCUGUGUAAUGCAAUAAUAUGAUAAUUAAUCAUUAUUCAAAAAAAAAACUCUUGGGGUUGGUAGGCUCGUGAAUGGUCCACGUAACCUCUGGACGUAACACUCAAACAAAGACAGCACAAGGCACAUGAAAAAUGCCUAAAAACCGUAAAACCGUGACGUGUUCAACAUAUUAAUAAAUUUAUACUGUGUUUUCUUUUUUUUUUUAAUACUGUGUUGAUAAAGCACUUACGAUGGAACGACCAAUUCUAUUACUUGCAAAACUAAUUAAUAUUUCACUCUAUCAUCUAACUAAUGGAAGGCCAUCUUAAUUGAGGUUGCAAUAGUUAGAAAGUAGCGGGAAGGGUGGCCAAUGCUCCAUAUUAAUUUGCAUCAAUCCCUUUCUGGUGAAGAAGUACGGGUGAAGUAGAGGUCAAAGUUAGAAGAUGAAGGGUGUGUUUGGGAAUUGAGAGUGAGGUGCUGUAGUUUUUUAGCUGCAGUUGCUGUGAAAUAAAAGUUAUAACUGUGGAAUAGAAGUUGAGAAAAAAAAUUUGUUAAGCUGCCAAAGCCCAGUUACAAAUGUUACCAAACACCUUAGUAGCUAGGCUUUGGCAGCCCAUCUACCCCAUCACACUCCCAAACGGAUUAGAAGGGGACCGGGAUUGCUUUGUCAUAUUUGAAAAUGAUUUUGAAAAAAUAAAAAUUAAGUUCAGAAUUUGGUAAAUUCCUUUAAAAUUUCUUUUAGCAAAAUCACUCUCUCCUUUAGAUUUUGAAAAGUAUGGAAUGAGUAGUUUUUUAAAAUUUAAUUUUGAAAUUCGGAUUCAUAUUUAAUAUAAUACCAUAUAUCAUAACAUGUAUUAUAAAAAUCUAAAAUUAUCCUUAUUCAAUCAAUUAAGAAGUAAAAUCUUACAUUUAAAGAUAUUAUCAUUAUCAAUUAUAUUUAGAUAAUAAAAAAUACAAUUAAUAAAAUAAAAAUAUUUAUUUUAGUUAUCAAUUAUUAUAUAUAUACAUAAAAUGUAAUUAUAUAAACAUAUUUAUAAAUGUAUGUGUAAAUUAAAUUUGUAGAUUUAUGUUUAUAUAGAUCAUUUGCAUUCUUAUCACAUUUUAAAAGUGAGAUUUAUUAAAUAUAUAUAUGAUUAUUUUUAAAAUUUACAGCACUUUUUAAAACAAAAGUAUCAAAAGUUUAAUUGAUUCCUUAUUUUUACUGUACAACUAACAGUAAGAUGUGUUUGGUUCAAGUAUAAAAUGAUGGGAUUGGACAAUUUUAAGAUUAAAUAAUCCUAAUGCAAUGUUUGGUACCAAAAAUAAUUGUGGGAUAAAAAUAGUGGACCCCACCAUUUAAUCCAACACAAUGUCAAAAUUUUAUCACAAAGGGGGGUGUGGGAUAAGCUAAAACUUAAACGUAGGAUAACAAAAAAAAAGCCCAAAAUUUUAUACAACACAGUGAUUUUUUUUUUUUUUUGAGUAUGUCAUCAUCCAAUGAUAGUAUAUAUGCCAGAACACUCUUUUGACGUUAAUGAUAUGUAAUAUUUUCAUAUAUACAGCUAGUGACAUUGUUAUGUAAUUUCUUUUUCAUUUAUAGAUUUAUAUUAUUAUUAUAUUUGUUGAUGAUAUUCUUGUUAUGUUUAUAAUUAUAUUAUUUAGUAAUUUAUAAGUUUAAAAACUAUAACAUGUUAAAUAUAAGAAAAACUUUAAGCGAAGAUUUUGUAUUUUUUAACAAAUUUACCAAUAAUUUUUUAUUUAAGUUAGAUUAUAUUCCAUGUCAUUUUAAAAUAAAUCUAAGAUAAUUUUGAUAAAUUAAUAAAUAAGACAUAUUAUUAGUUACUAACCAAUUUCAUGGCAUACCAAACAUGAGAUAUGAUUAUUUACAGUCUAAUCCAACAUUGCACCAAACGUAAUAGAGUAUUAUAUAUAAUCCAAUGUUAUCAAAUCCAAUCAUAUCUUAUCCAAUCCGAUCCGAUCCAGUCUAAUCCAAUUUGACAUACCAAACAAGCCCUAAUUAUGUUAAAAACUACAUCAUUACCAAACUGACCCUUAAUACAAUCUCAUACAUACAUACAUAUAUAUAUAUAUAUUAAAAAUUAAAAAUUAUCUUUAUUUAGUUAGGAAAUAAAACCAUUAUAUUUAAAUAGAUUAAUAUUAUUACUAAUUAUAUUCAGAUAACAAAAUUAAUAAAAUAAAAAUAUUUGUUUGAUUUAUCAAUUAUUAUACACACAUAUUUAUAAAUGCAUGCGUAAAUAAAAUUUUAUAGAUUUAGGCCAAGGCGGAUGUACGGUACAGCAGUAUCUUUAUUUAGUUAGGAAAUAAAACCAUUAUAUUUAAAUAGAUUAAUAUUAUUACUAAUUAUAUUCAGAUAACAAAAUUAAUAAAAUAAAAAUAUUUGUUUGAUUUAUCAAUUAUUAUACACACAUAUUUAUAAAUGCAUGCGUAAAUAAAAUUUUAUAGAUUUAUGUCUAUUUAAAUCAUUUGCAUUCUUAUAACAUUUUAAAAAAAGAAAAGAAAAGUGAUUUACCAAAUACAUGUAAUUGUUCUUCAAACUUACAACACUUUUAAAAUAGAAUUUAAUAAAUGUUUAAUUAAUUUUUUCACAGCUGAUUAUUUUUAUGGUAUAACUAACAAUAAUCUAUAAACUUAUGGUAAAUAUUUGUGUGAAUGUUGGUCCAUGUAAAGAAGUAAAAACAACGCAUAUAUCAAGCAAUAAGAUAUCAAAACUCUUAGUAAAAUACAUAUACUAAUGAAAGAAUGACAGCAAUGCAAUAAAUAAGAUUAUAAUAUAAAUUAUUAAAAUUGUAUAUUAAAAAUUGAUGUAUGAAAUUCUUUUUAUUUUAGUGAUAGAUAAUGUGAUAUAUUUGAAUAAUUUGAUUAAAUGAAAAGAAAAAUAACAAGUAUGGUUGUGGAGGAAAUAAACCAUUGAACUGUGGAAUGUUAUUAAUUAUUGCUAUUUCAUUAUGUAACGUCCUGAUAAUAAGUACAGUGUUAUAGUAUAUUGAUGGGUGGUGAUAUUGUCACCCCUUAAAUUGUGUAAAGUCAACCUCAUUUACAAAUUUUUUGAUAUAAAUUAAAAAGUACAUUAGUUUUAAUAAAUUAUAUAUUUAUUGAAUAAACUAGAACCGUUAGGGAGCUGUAAUGUUAGCACUGUUUUAACUUAUUAUAAAAAAAAAAGUUAUGAUUUGAUCAUAACUCUAAUUUAGAAAAGAAAAAAGAGUUGAAUUGCUAACAUACUUAAAAAUAAAAUAAAAACAUUAUUAUUAGAUGAAAAAUUGUAAAACUUAAGGGGGCAUUUGCAAGUCCGCCACUACUCAAUAGAGCAUUAUUCAGUACUCGUUAAUAUAUCUCGAACUUUUAGGUUUUUUUAAUAUAUUUUUAAUACAUUUUCUAGAACAUUUAGAUAAAAAGAGUCAGUACUCCAAUUGAGUUGUGAAUAAACAUUUAGAUAAAAAGAGUCAAUACUCCAAUUGAGUUGUGAAUAAACUCAUGUUAAAAAAAAAAAAACUCAUUUUCACACUUGAAACGAUUAGUAAAUGGGUGAUACGAAUUUAACUUGGUCAAUAAUAUAUACCAUCUUAAGUUAACUUCAACUCAUUGAUCUUCUAUAGGGUUGAUCAGCCUGCCACAAGGCCCACAAAUUAUCACCUCUAAUGCUUUUGCAACAGUCGUUAUAAAUGCUGACAAAAUGAAACUUCUAUAUAUUUUGGUUUUUUUUUAUUUCUAUGAAAUAUAAGGCCCUUAUGGCAAAUUUCCAUCCAGCGUGAAAUUUGCUAGUUUGGCCUUGGUACUGUGGCACAUGCGUCAUGCAUGCGUGGCUGAGAUGCUUCUAAAACUAAUAAAUUAUGAAGAAUUCCAAAUUCGUACCAAAAAUAAGAGAAUAGGAGCUUGUCAUAGGUGUCCGCGGAUCGGAUUUUAUGGGUUAAACAUUAAUUCAUAUUUGAUUCGUGAUUUUGUAGAUUAUAAAUUUUUAAUUUAAUUCAAUUUAUGGAUUAGUGAAACUCAAUACAAAUUCAAUCCAUAUAUAUGCAAAUUAGAUGCGGAUUUAACCCAAUGCAUAUUCAAUCCAUCAUUUGGCGGAUUGAUUUGCAAAUUAAAAGUUUUUAAUUUUGUCCAAUCUAAAAAGUAAUUAAAUUAAAAAAAUCUAAUAUAUAAAUAAUUGAUUAAAUAAAAAAAUCUAAUGUAAAAAUAAUUUUACUACCAAUUAAAUUCAAAAUUGAACAAGAUUUAAAUAAAUUUAGAAUAAUACAUUCAAAAUUUUAAAAUAUAACACACCGAAAAAAAAAUUCAUUUAUUUAGAUCAAUACAUGAAAAUUAACUAAAAUUAUGAAUUUAAAUGUUGAAACUUGAAAGCUUGGAUGUAACAGGAAGAAUUUAAGAAACUUGAAGAGCUUGAAAAGAAAGUAAGAAAUUAAGUUUAAUUACCUCAAGUGGUGAAGUGAAACAGUGAUUGGCUUGUGCGUGCGGUGGGAUAGAGAUUUGGUGUUAUAUGUCAAAAUAUUUUGUUUGGCUUGGGGUUUUUGUUUUGCUUUAGAAAUUUUAAUGUUUAGGAAACUAUAUUUGCUUAUUUAAUUAUUUCUUAUUUUAUAUUGUUAUCGAAUAAAAUAUAAUAUUUUGUUAAUUUAGCUAUAAUUUUAUGCUGAAUAUAUUUAUUUAAAACGAUUUUAUUAAAUAAAUGUGCAUAUUUAACGAAGGUCUCUGAAAUUUCAACCUGCCUGCUAAUGAUAGCCAAUACGGCACGACCCACCAAAUGUCGGCCCACGCGGGCUUGUGGGCCAUGACGACUUUUUUUGUAAGGGCCCGGCACGGCCCACGGCACGAGUCCGUGCCCAAAAAAAGCCCACCUACCUUUUUUUUUUUUGUCCACAUGUUCAGCGUGCCUAAAAAAACCCACGUGCCUGACGUGCUUUUUUAAGCCCACCAGCCUAAUAGUAACAACAACAACAACAAUAAUAAUAAUUUCAUAGAAAUAAUUAAUGAAAAAUAAAAUAACAAUUCUAGAAUAACAAUUACAUCUAAUUUUAUUUGAACAACUAAUAUUAUAAUUGCACAUAAACUCUAUUGAAUGAAAAUGUAAUUUUUAAUUUAUUAUAAAAAUAUUUUGUUCAUAAUUUUAUUUUUUUGUGCGUAAAUAUGAAAAAUAUUUCAUUCACAAAUGAAACAUAUCUCCAUUAACUAUUAACUAAGUUAUGAUUUCAUAAAUGAAAUAUUAAUGUCGUAAAAUUUUUUAUUUAUCAUUUAUAAAAUCAUGAUAUUUAUUUAUCCAUUUAAUAAAUUAUAAACAUAAAAAAAUUAGAAUACUUAUUUAAACUAGGACUUAAAUUAAUUUUAAAAAGCCUAUACUAAAAAAAUAUAUUAAAAUUUUUAAUUUCAAGGUAUUUAUAAAAUCAUGAUAUUUUAUAUUUAUUUUUCAUUAAAAAAUUUUAUUUUGAUAUACUUUGGCCCACGUGCUAUUGGUGGCCCACGGGCCGCGUGCUUAGCCCACCAAUAAAGUGUGCUUAUUACAUGCCUUUUCGCGUGCCGUGUUUUGCCCCAUCUCUAAUCAUACCGUGCUUUUAAGGCCUGCGUGCCUAAAAUUCUAGGCCCGCCAGCCGUGCCGUGCCGUGCCGUGCCUCGUGCCGCCUGGCCCAUUGGCCAUCCCUACUGCCCGCCAACCACAUUUGUCCAAGAUCAAUUUGUAGGAAAAAAAUUUGAAAAUCAAUAAUUUAUUUAAUUAAUUGUUAAUGUAGGCAUUUGAAUCCCCACAAAAUCUGGGUGUCAGUUCUAGACUUCUGGUGAUAUAUUUUUCUAAUUAAGGAAUAAAAUAUUUUUGUCAUUUUUUUAAUAUUUUAAUUUACCAGGCAUAUCAACUAAUUAAUUUUUCUACUUAGACUAUUAAUUCAUUACGUGCGCAAUCUGUAGCCCGGCGCUCCAAUCCCAUGCAUGUUACACACAACUCAAUCAUUAUUUAUUUAUUUAUUUAUUUUGACCAACAACUCAAUGUUUUUUAUAGAGCUGUCAAAAUUUGACACGACCCGAUUACCCGACACGAACACGACAUAAAUAAAUGGGUAUGGGUCGUCAAAUUUAACACGAUUAUUAAAUGGGUCGGGUCCGGGUCAACACGAUUUUUUUCCGUGUCGGGUUUUGGGUUAAAAUUCUUGACCCAUUUACCCGAUCAAUGACCCGAUUAUAUUUUCUAUUUUAAAAUAAUUUACAUAUUCUUAUAAUUAAAACUCAAAUAUUAGAGAUGAUUUUCUUUUUUUUUAUUCUUUAAAAGGGUGAUAUAUUUUAUAAUAUCGAUAAAUUAUGUAUGUAUGUAUUUAUGUACAUACGUAUGUAUGAUAGUGUGGAAAUAUUUUAUGUAACUUUUGUUCAAUAUAUAGAUAUUAAACGGGUUAUUGGGUAACCCGAUUAUUUUUCCGUGUCGGGUUUGGGUCUCAAUAUUUUGACACGAUUAUUAAAUGGGUCGGGUUUGGGUCGACCUAAAUUUGACACGACACGAAACUGACACGACAUGAACACGACCCGAUGACCCGUUUUGCCAGCUCUAGUUUUUUAAUAUGAAAAGGUAUUGGUUAGCUUUGUCUUUAGUUUUUUCAACUUAUAAUAAGUUUGUAUUAAGGCUCCCUUUGGUACAGAUUUUCAAGUAAAACUUAUUUAGGGUUAUUUUUAGGGACCUCCCCUGAGGUUUGGUGUAUUAACAAUCUGAUAGAAAGUAUUCACGUAAUUACAAAGACCUCCCCUGACAUUUGUAUUAUGUUAAGUGGACUGUUAUUGACUAUUGAAAAUCCAAAAAUACCCUUCCUGCCAAAAUAUUUCUUUAUUCACUGAUGAACUGAUGGGUAAUUCGUGCCAAAAUCACAAAUUACUUAAGAAGAUGAAAAUAUCCAUUGGAUAAAAAAAAUGAAAUUGCUUAAUAAAAAAAUUGACAUUGCAUAAUAAUAAAAAAAAUUGAAAUAAUGUGCGGCGGCAUAGCUGCAUCUUGCAUGCAUAUUAUUAUUGUGAUUUUUUUAUUACAAACUCCAUCCUGCAUGCUUAUUAUUAUUGUGAUUUUUUUUAUUACAAACUACUUCAUAACUAAUACAUGCCACAAGAGCAGAGCUAUUAAAAGAAAUGAUUUUCAUAUUGUAAACUUGAUAGUACAGGUGUUGGCACCGACCAUAAAACCCUUAUGAUACCAAUCUUUGCUCCAUCCAUAUUUAAAUCCAGAUCAAGUAAAUAUUAAAUUGGAUUUCAGGUCCUGAAAAUCCCACUCUAUAAUUGAUAUCUUCGAGUUUUGUUGGUGCCUCAAACCUGGAUCUAGAGCAUCAUCUCUGUCAUACUCGGAACACCUAAACUAAUGGACUUGCUGCAGCUGCUUAUUCUUCUUCUGAAAUGAUGCACGCAGAUAGAUUACAGACUUUGAAAUAAGAAAUACAAUAAACAACAUGUAAUCGAACUUAAGAUUUCGGCAAACUUGUUUGAAAAUUAGAAUCAAACAAGGAAAAUGGCAAGUCAAUAUUUUUUAAUCUAGAAAAAGGGCAAUUUCAAAGUUUAUCACAUGCCAAAUUCAUAGUCUUGCAUCCACUAUUUUCUAGUUUGAAUAACAAACAAAAGCCUUAGACAAAAACACAGAGAACAUCUCACAUGGGAGCAAAAAUUGUGUGUAGAACAAUAUACUUAAGUUACAUGUGAUUACAAUCACAUUAUUUAGCAAAUACAAAAUUACCUUCUCAAAAAAAAAAAAAAAAAAAAAAACACCACCAAAUUAUUGAAGGUAUUACAACAAUAAGGCAAAAGAACACCAAAGGCAUGCACAAACCGAAACUAACACACAACUCAAUUAGUGUCAUGACCCCAAACUGAACAAUCAUAUAAACCAUUGUGGGCUCUCUAAAAGAUUAUCACAUUAUAAGCAAACAGAAACCUAUAUUUGAUGAACUACAUCUAGUACUUACACAACUCUUAAAUCAUUAGGAAAUUGCUCUUAUCAGUCAUUACCCAAUAGUUUUUUUCAACUCAACACUAACAACCCCAAAGAGAAACAACAUCCAGCACCAUUUUCAUUAAUUAAAACAGACCCAUUGUUAUUUUUAAUCAAUAAAAUAACAACAAUAUCGUGUAAGCCACUGAUUCAAGCAUUCAAGCUGUGUUUUCGAAGACUGACCUCUUCUUGCUAUCUAAUUCCAGUCACGAUAGACGCUAGAUGCCGGCAAUACUCGCUUCUUGGAAGCUCUGGACCACCGCACGACGUCAUCUUGUGCAGUAGAUGAAAAUAAAUCAAUGAUUUCAGAAAUUAUUUGUGAGUUGCAGACGCUUCUUCUCCAUGGAUGAAAAUGAUGGUGGGUUUUGUUCAAGUGUAAGCUGUGUUUACGAGGAGAAGUACACUUUGUGAAAAAAUCAUUUUCUUUCAUCUACUGGAUAAUGACUUUGGACUGGGUAAUGGUGUGUUUAAGUCUCUAUUUCACGGACAUUGAAGCAUAUUUUGCUUGAAUUUUGAUUUUGUUUAAAUUUCAAGUUUACUUUUACUUGUUUACCCUUUUAUACUGACGCUUAUGUAUUUUUAUACUAACGUUAAGGGAGGUCUUUGUAAUUAUAUGAAUACUUUCUAUCAGACUGUUAAUACAACAAACCUCAGGGGAGGUCCCUAAAAAUAACCCAACUUAUUUAAAUAGAACUUUUACAAAAAAAAAUUUAGUUAUUUGGUUGUCAAUAAACUUUUCAAGUAUACUUUGUUUGGUACAGCUUUUCAAGUAAAACUUAUUUAAGUAGAGCUUUUACAAAAAAAAAAAAAUUAGUUGUUUGGUUGUCAAUAAAAAUUUUUAUUAAAAAAAAUAUGAAAUUACUUUAUUAGUCAAGUUUUUUUAAAGUUAUGCUAUGAAAAGAAUAAAAUAAGAUUGUCAAAUAAAUAGAAAAUAUUUUAAAUAUUUUAACAUUUAAAAAAACUUUUUAACCUUUAUUUUCAAAAAUCUAAAAUUUAAACUUUUACUAGUAAAGGCAAAAUAAUUUAUUUAAACUUCAAAAGCUUUAUUAGAAAAAUAAUCAAACAAUAACAAAAAUUAUUAUAAAAGCUUAUCGAAUUAAAUAAGUACUUAUAGUUAUUAAAGAAGUUAUAUCUAACAGACACUAAUGCCGAAAGCCCCUUCUAAUUGUGGGUGUAAAAGUUUGAAUUAUGCAUACGGUUAAGGAGUUAAGGUGUGUUUGGCAACUGCAUUAAGUGGAAAUUUUUAUUUUGUUUCGAAUAAAAAUACAGCAAGCUCGUGUUCGGCUCAAAAUAAUGGAACGUUUAAUUUGCAACCGUCGGCGGACGAAGCACACCGUUCACGGCCCUUCGUAUAAAAUUGCAUAUGUAAACGUAAAUAGGUCCGGAUUCAGAUUCGUUGCUGUAGAGAGUGGCACGCACGAUCGGGCUGCUGUCGGUGGUAGGUUGGCAUUGGAAUUCUCAUCACGCGCUUCCCCAGGCGCCUACUUAUGGCAAAUUGACACGUGACGCGUGUGGAUUGAAUGGACAGAGUCCCGGGCAGUGUGUCCAAAGCUGCCAACCGUGCUCUGAUUUUUGUCAUCCAUAAUGGCUAACGACUAACGAGGGAGAUUUCCGGGCAGAAAGAAAUUGUUGUCGUUUCUGAAGGGGAAAAAAAAGUUAUUUAAUUUGUUGUUGAAGACAAAAUGAAGAUCUAAAUAAAUAAUGGCUAAUUUUGAGUGUAAAGCAACGGUAAAUGCAUUAUUAAAUUAGAUUUAGGGUCUGAUUGAGAUUAUUUUUAGAUUUAAAAUUAAUUUUGAAAAGUUAAAAUUAAUUUUGAUGUUUAUUAAUUUUUAUUAAAAAUUAUUUUUGUCAAAAUCUCUCAUCCUCCAGCAUAUUAUAAAAAAUAAGGAAGAAAUAAUUUUUUAAAAUUUAAUUUUAAGAAUCAGUUUUAUACUUAAUAUAAUCCACAUAUAUCCUCGUAAAUAUUAUAAAAAUUUAAAAUUAUUCUUAUUUAUUUAGGAUAUAAAAUUAUUAAAUUCAAACAUAUUAUUAUUAUUAUUAUUAUUGUUAUUAUUAUUAUUAUUAUUAUAAAUUCACACACGCACACACAUACUUAUAAAUUUAUAAAUAAACUUUAUUUAACAUUUUGUUCACUUAAAUCAUUUAUAUUCUUAUAGCAGUUUAACAUUAUGAUUUACCAAACACAGAUAAUUAUUUUUAAAAUCCAUAAUAUUUUUUAAAAUAAAUUUUAAUAAAUGUUUAACUUAUUAUUCUGACAACUGAUUUUUUUUGUAAGGUAUAACCAUUAAUAAUAAAUAUUUUAAAAGUUACAGUAUCCCCAAAUUGGCCCUUACUAAUACUCUGCGUUGCCAACUAAAUACUAAUUGUAACAUUAAACAUCUGGAAUAUUUUUCUCUAACGAAACAACACAAUUAAUUUCCCUCUAAAAAAGAAAAAGAAAAAGAAAAAAUAAACUACCAACCCCACCCCUUUAGACAGCAGAGUUUUAGCUGAGGCGGCUUGCUUGCAUAAGCAUUAAGGCUGCUCUUCACCAACCAUUGAACAUUCUUUCCAUUUGAUUGUUACACUUUACUUCGCCAUCUCAUGUCCAUGUACAUUGUUUUGAAAUGAAGACUUUGCGUACAACUAAUCUUUUUCAAUUCAUAAUAAAAACUCUUUUAAUUAGUUAAUAGCUAUAGCUUCCAAUUGAGACUAUAUAUAAAAAUCCAUAUUGACUGACCAAACCAAUAAUUUUUAAUUGGCUUGAGCAUUGUCUUACUUACUUCAAAAUCGUCACUCUCUUUGAAAAGAACAUGAGAGAGUUCACCUCCAUCUCAACCCUUAACCCUAUAUCUCAGUCAAGAGAUUAUUCAUGGAAAAUUCAGAAAAAAGAAAUGUUGCAAUAUUUACGAAACUCACGUCACGUGAGGUAAGAUAAAUUAUUCCUUUCUGCUUUAAUUCAUGUACAUAAUCAUGAGAAUAACUUUAAUUAUAGUUUAUUUCUCCGUUUUAAGAUUUUUCCUUUUUUUUUUUUAAUUAAUUAAUUAUAGUUCAUUCAUUAAUCCCAUAAGAAAUUAACACCUUUGCCGGUAAAGUCACACAUACAACAAUAUUUUAGAACAAAAGGGAAGAUCAUGCACGAUCAUGAUGUUUUAUUAUAUCUCUAGCAAUAUAAUUAUCUUAUAAUUAAUUAAAAACAAAACAGGUAAUUAAGCCAAAGUGGAUGGCAUGCAUCAAUCAUCAUGCAGAACACCUCCCCUUGUUUUAAAUAUAAAUAAAAGAAAUUUGUGCCCAGAAGACUUAAUUAAUACUUCUCGUUUCUGAAGUGCUCACAUGAUAUAUAGUCGGACGCAUUAUAUUUAAUUUCAUGAAUUAAUCGUACGGUUGUAUUUUGAGAGAGAGAGAGAGAGAGAGAGUGACUGAGUAAGAUAUGGCUUAAUUUAACCAAAUCUACGUAUAAAAUUUUAAAAUGAAUUUUUGAGUUUUAACUUAGGAAUUGUCUAUGAAUAAAAGUGUUAAUCAAAUAUUUCGUGUAAAAACAGUCAGCUGUAACAUUUUCGGUUGCUUUAACAAAACUGUAUAUUUCUGUAAUUUCCUAUAUGGGCCAAAAGGAACAUUUUUCUCAGAAAUUAAAAACUUAUGGUGAAAAAGAUAAGAAAACCAACAGGUUCAAAGGUGCGAGUAAACUGGGCUCUGGUGCGCCCAACUCCCUCUUUUGAUUUUGAGACUCUAUUGACCAUUGAGUUUGAGGCCCCAACGGCCCAGUUUAAAACUGUUAUGAAAAGAAAAAAAAUAUAACUAUAAAAUUAAAAUUAAUAAUGUUUGAUAAAUAUAAUUUUUAAAUAAUAAUUUGACAAAAAUAAUAUAGGGUCUUGUGUAUAUUUUUAUUUGGCAUUUCAAUUAAUCUGCUUAUAUAUAUAUAUAUAUAAGUUAAUCUAUAUUUCUUGCAAGAAGAUAGUAUUUCUUUAAUUAAAGUCAUAACUAAUAUAUAAAUUAUCAACUAACCAUCAAACAUUUAUCUCAUUUUAUCUCCACCACGAUCAUCACCAUUCAUCCUGUCACGAUCUUUAUGUAACUACAAUUAUUUUUUCUUUAAUAAUGUCAACCCACCAACCCCAUAACAAUAUCUCCAAACAUCUCAUCUCAAAAUUCCUAAUAACAUAAGUGUUUAUGUAUGAAAGAAAAUGUGAAAUAUAUAAUCAAAAAGUAGUUUAAUAAUAUAAUGUUUAAAAAUUAUGGUAAAAAUAAGUGAGAGUUUGGCAUGGCAAGUUAAUAAAAAGAUAAAAGCUCGGACACUUGAUGCAUCAAAGUAGCAAUGUCUGUCCAUCAUUAUCAUCAUGCGGGUUUAGGUGCUUCUCAUGAUAGCAUUAGCUGGUAAGACCAUCAUGCAUCGUACUUUCAUUGUUAUACAUUUUGAAGGUAAGAAUGGUUAUGUUACGUCCCUCCGAUUAGGUGUAUUUUUCUUCUUCUUCUUCUUCUUUUUCUUCUUCUUGUACGUAAUAAUUUCUCUUUCUUCCAUGAAGAUUUCUUUCUCUCUUUCUUUUUUUUUUUUUUAUUAUAAAUAAAAUGAUAAGAACUAAUUUCCUUACUAAUUGGUAGGGUCGUUUAAUGGUUCAGAUCCAUUAGAUUUUGUCAAAUUCAAGUCCAAUCCAUCAUAUAUUCCAUUUUAUAUUCCGGAUCCGAUCACUAAUAGAAAUCCAUUAUAAUUUAAAACAAUAAAACGUCGAAUCCAAUUUAAUUCGAUAUGAUCAAUCCAAUUAAAAUAAAAAUUUACAAAUAAAAAUCAUUAGUUGCUCUCUCCAGUUAUAAUUCUUAACAAUUAAAAAAAAUACAAAAUAUCAACUCCUUUAAUAUUUCAUGAUUCAUGUACUUUAUUAUCAUAUGGUUGGAAAAAAAAGUUGAAAUUUGAAUAUUAAAAGCAAAUGUUGGUUGCGACCUGCUGUUUGUAUUCUAUAUUGUUAUAGUAUAUUUAUAGUUAUUUUUUUAGCAAGUUAAAUAUAAAAGUGACAUAUAGUUUUUUUUUAUAAAAAAAAAUAAAUAAAGAAAAUAAAAAAUUAAUUGGUUGGAUUGGUUUAUAUUGGAUUUGAACAUAUAGAUCCAUAGACCAAUCUAAUAACAUUAUAUUUUUUAUUUUGCAAUCUUAUCCAAUCCAAUCAAAAUGUCAAUAUGACAAAAGUUGGAUUGGUUUUGAUCAGAUCGAUUGGUUUGAUUGGAUUGAAUUGAAUUAGAUCUUGAACAUCCUACCAAUUAGACUUUCCGUGAUUUUUUUUUUUCCAAAUUUAAUAAAGAGACUUCCCAUGAAUGUUAAAUGCAGUUUUAUUGAUGAAUUCUGCAAUUUUAAGAAAUGUUUGAUACACGAAUAAUGCAUCUCAUCAACCAAGUAACUGCGUCCCCUGCAGCAGCCGCGGCUUCAACUGGAAUACUGCAGCCACACCGGUCUUGAGACUCAACAUUCGGCCGAAACUCAAGCAAAAGUUGAACAAUAUCAGGCCUGCUUUGAGCUAUAGCAAUAUGAAGCAAUGUUUGUCCCUGCGCACCAGCAGAAUCAGCUGGGUGGGUUCCAAGCAGGGUCACUCUGUUCAAGAACCUCUCUUAUCUCAUCCAUUUCACCAUCCUUAACUAGCUGAACCACAACAUGGGACCCAACAAACAUGAUCUUGAUUCCUAUUGAUGAACGCUGGCUUCUUCCUUCUUGUGAACCAGUCACCAGGAACCGAAUCAAGCAUCAAUGUUGCAUCUUUAAUUGCAGCUGCAGGAACGACAACGCUAUGCAAGAGGAAGGAAUCAUCACAGUGAGGGAAAGUAUGAAGGAGAACUGAUCCUGGAGGAAGAUGAUACGCAAUCUCUAUGCUUACUGUUCCGAGUGGUUGCAUUGACCUGAAUAGUUCGAUCUAUUUCUCGUGUAUCUACUUGCGCUGCACUUUCACUCGAAGAACCUACAAAAUUAUUCAUAACCCGGCAUAAAAAAGACGUAAAGUUUUCAGCGCGAGCAUGGUAACUUCAAAACCCGUUUCAUACCUAUCAUAUUUCAUUCGUCCCGCACCCUCAUUUAAAAGACUAGAGCUUAUAAAAACUAGAAGUACCUUACCCAGAACAUAAAAGCAGACAAAACCCAGUCGAGUAUAAAUAUAACGUUGAAUAACACCUACCAUUUACCAUUUCAUUCAAGAACACCACACAAUUAACGAAACCAACAUCGGUAUGUUUUCAGCCGUUGUACUUUCAACUUAAUUUUGAAAGCGCGGCAGCUAAAGCCUAAACUGUUGUUUGAUAAAAGUCCACCCACUGACUGCUACCUGGCGGCUACCGAUUCCAUUCAAUAGCAGUCAUAAAAUAAAAAGUACAAAACAAACCUAUGUACAAAAAAGGCAAUGAAGCAGCCAUGGAUUCAGUUAUUUGCAUGUUUGGGAUUGUGGUUGAUUCCAAAUUGAGAAUAUACUGCGAAAUUAUGUUUGAUAAGCAUUUAUCUGAUGAUUGCUACUUUAUUGAGUGCCUGUUUGGUAUGGCUUAUUUAAAAGCCAUAAGUGCUUAUUUAAUCGUAUAAGCACUUUUUUAAAAUUUUUAUGGUGUUUGGUUAUUUUUUUAGUAGAGUUUUUUUAGCUUAAAUAAGCUAAUUUACCUCUACUAGCAAAAGCCCAAAAUUUGAGCUUUUGGGAGUAGAGGUUAAAGAGCUUAUCUAAAAAAUAUAUAAUAAAAAAAAUAUCAUACAGUUUAAUGAUUCAAAAGUGUUUUUUUUAUUGACAACCAAACACCCAAUGACUUUUUGUCCAAAAACUCUAUUGGUAUAAGCUCUACUGCUAUAAGCUCUAUUGUUAUAAGCUCUAUUUAAUAAGCUGUACCAAACGGAGCCUAAAGCAUUCAUUUUUUUUUUUCGCGUUUGGCCUCUUCACUUUUUAAAAAAUUUUAUGGUGUUUGGUUAUUUUUUUAGUAGAGUUUUUUUAGCUUAAAUAAGCUAAUUUACCUCUACUAGCAAAAGCCCAAAAUUUGAGCUUUUGGGAGUAGAGGUUAAAGAGCUUAUCUAAAAAAUAUAUAAUAAAAAAAAUAUCAUACAGUUUAAUGAUUCAAAAGUGUUUUUUUUAUUGACAACCAAACACCCAAUGACUUUUUGUCCAAAAACUCUAUUGGUAUAAGCUCUAUUGUUAUAAGCUCUAUUUAAUAAGCUGUACCAAACGGAGCCUGAGUCUUCAAAGAAAAACUCAAUCAACUAAUGCUCGAUUUUUUUUUUUAAAUGACAAAUCAAAAAGUAUUUUGGAGUAGAUUCUCAAAAGAGUGAUUAUUUGAUAAUCCACCAUAAUCCCACUUAGUUAUCAGAAAUAAAUUAAAAUCCGACGAAUGUUACUUAAGCCAAACAGCAUUAUUUUAUUUUGACCACAAGGACCACAACCCUCAAGCUGUCAAGCAACCGUUACCGUUAACGACCAAUCUUUCACCUCUCCGAAUCUUUGCAAGUCACUAUCAAGCAACCGUUACUAAUAUUUAAUCAAUUAUUAGGAUUAUUGGAUUUCUCAAAUACCUUAUGUACUUUGGUUCACUUUCUACUAAAAUAAAUAUUACAGGAGCUUUCAAAGUCUAGGCUAAGGUUGUUGUAAACAUAGAGAGAUUCAGAGAUAUAACAGCUUGUAAUUACAUACCACAAAGCAUAACUUUGUUCGAAUGAUAAUGAUCAUAAUCCAGAUUAUAGACGUAGAGAGAGGAGAAGUCGUACUUGAGGGGCAAAACGCGGCGUUUUGGCUCGUGGAUGAGGUGCUGCUCCUGAUCGUCGUAGAUUGAAGGGAGGAGAGGUCGGUCGAGGAAGUUUAGGAGACGGUGGAGGCUGAAUUGGUGAAUUUCGAUGAAGACUGACGAAUCCAAUGGGGCUUGAGGGUUUGAUUUGCAAAGAUGAAAGAUAAGAGCAUUGUUUUGGUUUCUGUGCAAAAAAAAAAAAAAAAAACAUGACAAGCGUUGUUUUGGUUUUGGUUCUAAAAAGAUGAAAAUUUGACUGCAAUGGAUCCAUACGCAGUCGGUGUCAAAUAAGAGGAGAAACAAAUAUGUUAAUCACUCGCUCAAUCACUCAUGCGAAGUGCCUUUUUUUUCGUUGCUUUGGCUUCUGAGAAAUAUAUGCAUCAGAUAUUACAACUCUCGAGGAUAAUGCAUUUUGUUCCGGUUUUGACUGAUAUUUAGUGGCAUUUGAUAAACUGAUACCUCAGAACCUGGUAGAGAGUUUAUUAAAUACAAAGAGAACAAAAAUAUAUGACUAUAUAAGCUUUUACACGGUUGAAGAUCCGGUCAAAUUGGCUUUAGUUAGCAAGAUCAUUUAAAACUUUCAAAAAACGAAUGGUAUCAAAAAGCUCUGAGAAAAAGCGGAAAAAAGGCACCACAAAGAUCUUGCAAUUAUUAUCACAGCUUGAUAAGACAUGGAAAUGUAUCUUACAAAUUGGCCUUCCAAGCAUCAAAGAAUUGGGUGGCGACAACUCCCAUUCCUAGCUGCUACCGUGGCCAGUCCCUUCUAACUAAAAUGGGACAGGACCAAAAGCAAGGUCUCUCCCACUCUCCUUAUGUAUAUAAAAUUCCCUACAUUCGAAUAAAACUACAGAAAAAGAUUUGCACAUCAUCUUCUUUCACCUUAUUUUGCAAUCUUCAAGAGUUUGGAAGAUUUCAAAGCACUUGUUAGAAUGUAGCACUCCAUUAAGCAUUCUCACCUUCCCCACACCCCAAUGGACCUCCUUAAUCCUAUCGGCAGACCUACAAAUUCUGCUGCAACUCCAAUCAAAUAAAGCAACACAAUUGUUGCCUGCCUAAGCCUUCCACUCACAGCCUGCAAUGACAAGUUCAUGAUACAAAAUCAGAAACAUUAAUAAACAAAAAGAUAUUACCAUUACUUGCAGAGGGGGAUUUGUUGCAAUUAGUAAAUGCCAUACUUAUCACUUUCAUUGCAGAUAUCAUCAUCAUCAUAAUACUAGCAAUCCAGCACUAAUAGUCAGAAUAAUAAUAAUAGUAGCAUGAAUAAAGAAUUUCUGCAGAGUAAGCUCUAAAGAUGCCGAAAGUGUCAUCUAUUAUGUUAAUAAUAAAAAAGUCUAUCAAGAAUUCAAGGAAAGAAAACUCAUUAACAAAGAACUAAACUUUUUAAUAAUGUUUAAUAAACUACGUACCUAUGAUUUUCUAUUAUUAACAUAAAUGACACUACGUACAACUGAUUUUCGCUUUCUAAUGUUUCAAAUCAUACCGAGAAAUAUAACAAUUACCAAGUCAGUAAGUAGCACAAUUACUUAAUAAGACUUUGACUUGUCUAACCCAAAAUUGUACCCAAUUCUAUACUCUACCAUGAAAAGCUUAUGAAGCCGAACUUACUUUGACCAAACAGUACUAUUAGCUCAGUUAAAGGAAACCACAAUUGAACAAAGUUCAGCUGAAAUAACUGAACUAAAAAAACUUGAUAAAAUUAAAAGUAACUUAUAACAGUUUAGUAAAGAAGCAUACAAAACAUGAAGAUAAAUAAACAUAGGUCUAUUUUCUUGACACUACCAGGUCCUUUCCUUUUUUUUUUUUCAGAUAAGAUCUCGAUACUACCAAGUUUUGGAUUCAAAAUCACCAUAUUACAAUAAUAGUUGUGAUUCAUGGGAUACAAUAUGUAGCAGCUUAUAUGUCGGCAAUUAUAGUCAAAGAUGGUUGUCAAACAUCAUCGCAAAUCAAGAAGCUAAUAAAGACCAUGUCACACUACAUUAACAUAUAUCAGUUCUUUGAUACAAAGAUAUUGAAUGUUAUACAUUUCUAAUCCCAAGUCCUGAAAUACAAAACAAAAGUUCACUUCACACAGUCAUAAAGCUAGACUGCUAGAUAAAUGGACAAUAGGCAUUGGAUAUGGGUCAAUAAACUAUUAAGCUAAUUAAUGCACACGAAGGAAUCCGUUAGAGCUAGUAAAAUAGCCCUUACCAGAGAACUCGCAGAAGCAUUCAAUUUCCUCAAAGGAGAUAACUUACAACAUAAACAUUUUGAUAAGCAGCAACACACAUAAAAUAGCUUCACUCACUAGCAACAGAGCAACUUCUUCAACACAUUAAUAAAUCCAUUUUCAUUUUUAAACAACAAAAUAAUGCCCAGUUUCUCCAGCACAAAUAGGGUAAGCAGUAAUAGAAAAACAUGAUACAUAGGAAUUACCGGCCUCAAGAAAUCUCCAAGCUUUCUGUCCUCUGCUUCAAUUGCUCAAUCAAGAAUGCCCCAGACGUUGCGCUAGCGUGGUGGUGGAGCGUCGCGAAGCGUGUGGCGGCGGUGUCGGCGAAGGCAGGUCAUGAAGAUAGUUGGUGUCGCGCAGCGAAGGCAGUGCAGCUGGUGUCAUGCGGCGAAGGCAAAUCGCGUGGUGGUGGAGUUGGGGUCGCGCGGCAGUGGCGGUGCGGUGCUGAGGCAUAAUAGUGGCGGUGGCGUUGUGCGACAGUGGCAGUGUGGAGGCAGAUUGCGUGGAGCUGGCGGUGUUGAGGCAGAUCGCGUGGAGGCAGAUGCCGCGGUGGUGGAGUUGCUGUCGCGAUCAACGCCUGUGAAAGGGAAUGAAAGUGAAGGAGAUACCUACAAAAGAAAGAACGAGUGAAAUUUUUUUUUUUGUUCAAGGGUUUCAAACCCACAUAAACCCGACUCUCACACGGGUUCAGUAAGUUUAUGCGGGUUUGACUGCAUUACAAAUUGGUAUGACCACAACAACAGUACAAUGAUUGGUAAUUACCAAACAUGCUAUUUAUGUUGGUAUUAAAUUAAUUUAAUACAAUGAGGAGUGGUAAUAUCAUACAAUGAGGACUGUUAAAUAUGGUGUGUUUAAUAUGUUGUAUUGUAUUAUAUUAUUUUAAUACAAAUAUAUUAUAUUAUCUUGUAUUAUAAUAUAAAAUAAUGAAAAAUAUCGAAUUUCAAUAUAUAAAAAAAAAAUAAAUAUAUUUUGUUAUAUUCGAUCUGCUGUACGGCCAAGGCGGAUGUACGGUACAGCAGAUAAGAAUUUAAAUACAUACACUUAUAAUACAACUUAGUUUUUCCACAUUGUCGAGGGAUCAAAACAACCCAUCAUUGGAGUCCAAUAAGUUAUGUGGCGACACAAAAAAGUAAUUCUAUAUUUUUUACGUCAUAAAUAUGUAAAAAAAAUUGUAUUAUAUCUUAUUAUUAUUAGUUUUUUUUCUUCAGUUUUGACAAGUAUAGUUUUCUUGUUGAGUGGCUCAACAAGGCUGGUUACAAUUUCGAAAUAAUGUUCCAUCUGUAUCUGUUUUCCUUUUGUUUUUGAUUUUGUAGUAUAGUUAAUUUGUACGAAUUUGUUGCCUGGUUGGUUUUUAUGCUGAAAAGUCAGUUCAUUGGAAAUGACAGAAAAUUGUUUUUCUUUUUCAUUUUUACAGAAAGAGAUUUGCAACGUUAUAAAAGUAAGAGAUCCUAAGAGAUCCCUGAAUCAUAUUAAAUAUUAAACUUAAGAUACAGUCAAGGCUUUUAUUAUGUUACUAAUCAUGUAACGAAUAUAAUUAUGUAGCAGUCGUUAAAUACAAAUUUAACAGUUAUAAAAAUAACAUGAUUUUAUUAUCUUAUAUUUCUAUAAUCGUUGAAUUUUUAUCUGCUGUACCGUACAUCCGCCUUGGCCGUACAGCAGUAUUGAAUUUUAAAAAUUUAAUAUUAUUUUUUUAAUAUAAAUAUUAAAAAAUAUCAUAAUUCUUCAUAGAAAUCGAAGUUCAUGGCAUUAAAUUUUUAACGCCGCAUACAUAAUAAAAAAUUUGAUUCUCUAGUGCCAAUAUAAUAGAAUACAUAAAAACGAGACUGAGAAACUACGAAUAAAGCUCAUCAUCAAGGACUCCACAACAUUAUAAGAAGUACUAUGUAACAUUUGCCAAAUUACAACACCACAUCAAGACAUAUCACAAUGUAAAAUUUUUCCUAGAGAUUUGGUAAUUGAAAAACACAAUUCAAGUUGAAAACUGAUAGUCGACUUGAAAAGUUUUAACAUAUCCCAUAAAAGAAAUGUGCCAUGCCAAAAAUCCUAACCCUUGGCUCUUUGACGAUAAGAAAAUAUUGAAAAUUCCAAAGUACAGUGCAAUGGGAGAAAGAAUGCCUAUAAAGCUAGUAAAGAUAUUCUUAAACUACUAUUGGGAUGUUGGGCUGGUUGGUAGCAAAACCCAAACCCUGCUGCUGAUUUCCGAUACCACCAUCUUGGAUAAGCCGCUCUCCCUCCUCUUCCUAACUCCUAAGCCCAAUAUCUUUCCAAAACCUUCACAACCCACUCAUAAAUCUCAUUGUUGUCGUGGAUAUGCAAAUUCUCAAUCUUUUCUACUCCAUCACACUCAUCAAUCAUUUGGGUAUAAACAUUAACCCAAUUAUCCAUUCCUAUUUCCUUGUUAACCUCACCCACCUUGAAAAUGUUCUCAAGACCCUAUAGACAAACUGUGACGAUCCUUUGGUCCAGACAAACCAGAAGAUCACAGAGCGGUUUGAUGCAACCUUGGCUCACCAGGAAUCUGCAGGACCAUGGUACCAUAAGUGAUUCUAUCACAUGAACAUCAUUAGAUUAAAAAAAGAAAAAAAAAAGAAACAUCUAUCGUAUGAACAUUGCUGAGUGAAUAAAAGAAACAUACUGAAUAUGUUCAUGAGAUCCUCCAUAUGUGGCAUUUAAGACAGGCCAUGCAGCCUCCUUGAUUUCAAGUUCUGCAUGUUGAAGAAGAGGUGCACAAAAGGAAGGAUAAGGAAGGAUGAUAUUGGCCUCCAUAACAGCCUGUUGAACAAAAAUUCGACAAAUUAUAAUUAUGAGUAUAUUUAAGUAGCAAUUUUGUCAGAAUUAACUAGACUUGACUAUUGAGGAAGUCACAUUCAAAAAUAGAAAAGACGAGCAAGCAAUUGUAUUCAUGCUAUCGGGACCAAAAUACUAUGAUGCAAGCAAGAAAGAAAAACAUACAUACAUAUAAAACACUAUCUUUGAGUUGGGUAUUUUCUUUCAAUUUUGAUAAUGGCAACUUUGGAUUCUUCUGCUGAAUUACCACCACCACCACACCAUUGUAGUUUCACAUACUAAGAAAAGGCAGGUUCAGCUCCCGUGCAUGCCCAUAAGAAUAUGAUGUAUUAAUUAGAAGUAAAAUUAAUCUGUUCAAUUAAGUUCUCUCAUAUAUUUGUGUGCGUGUGUGUGUUAAUUAGUUUGCUUUCAAAUCUUUUCUCCCUUCUUAAUGAUAUAUAUUUUAAGCAUGAUAUCAACCACGAUGAAUUUAUUAGCCGAUUUUUAAUUAUACAUUCAGCAUGAUAUCACAAACCAAGAGCUUAAGUUAGCCUAAUUCUUCAUAAAUCUAAUAAUUGCAAUCAAUAAUAAUGCUGAAAAUACGAGUUUGAAUUAAGCUAGCAACUGGUUCUUAAAUUAUGCAAUAUGUAAUCAUAGGUUUACUUAAAGAUUAAAGCAUUUCUGCAAUCCAUUGUGCAAAAAGAUUAAAAAAAAAAAAAAUAGUUGCCAAAUUUUAUCUAAAUAAAAAUUCCUUUAGUGGUUAGUACUUGUGAAUUAUAGAAAUUAUUAUUAGUACUUGCUCAGCGCUUUUUAGAUUUGUACAGGUAGAUUACGCCAUUUCAAACCCGACCAUCCAUUUAGACAUACAAAUCCCCCCAAUUCCCUGUCCUCCGCCUUUACGCGACUCUCCACUGUAUGUGCCAACUAAUUAAUUUUUUAAUUACUUGUUUAACUAAUUAAUUCAUUUUCUCAAAAGCAAGAUUAAUCUAUUUGUUCAAAUCUGAAGGAGAUUAAGUUAAUUGAUUUUAUUGUAUGUAAAAAUAUACAAAGAACUCAUGAAGCCAACUAGAAAAAAAAAAAAAGACAAAAAAAAAAUCAAACCCAGAAAUAAAAAGACAUGCUUCGACAGAAAAUUAAUGAAAAUUAUACUGAUUGUGGUUCAAUUUGAUCAAACCCAAAUAAUAACCGGUUUGAUUGAUGACUCAGCGGCAAAGUGCAGGCGCAUCAGUGGUUGCACAGAUGAGUGUUCUCGUGCGGCACGACAAAGCAAUUGUCGGCGAUUGUGAUUGGUGAUGACAUCGAGCGAUGGGGGUAAUGGCAUCGGUCGUGACUUUGUGAUGGAGAAACGAAUGUUAGAUUCGUUCGAAGAUUCGUGUUUUGAUUGAAUAACAAAGAGAGAUUUUAUGAGUUUUAAUUAUCUAAUACGAUACCGCAUAAACCCGACUCGUACGUGGGUUUAUUUUAUGCGGGUUUCGGUGUACUAAAGCAGUAAAUUUAUGUGGUGCAAUUCAAACUGAUUUCACCGCCAAAAGAUCGUGUAAAUUUAAUAUUAUACAGGGUUUUAAUACUAUGUAAUCCAAUACACCAAACAUGCCCUUAAAAACGGAUAGCAAUCCGGGGCCUUUAAAAACGGAAAAUACAAGCAGAGAAAAAGAAAAGCCAAUUGUUCAAAAGUGCCUAAUAUGCCCACGGAAAAUUUUCGUCACGACCCACAGUUACUCGAAUAGGUAAUAAGACAGGAAUGCCUUUGUUUGUUCGAAUAUAGAAGCACAAUGGCUCAGAAAGGAUCCCUCCAAUCUCCUUGGCACUGUCAGCUGGGUGCGGAGUAGCUUGGUGGCAGCAACCAUGUUUGAGAGGGCUGGCUUCACCUCAGUGUACUUGCGAGUCUUGAGACCACAGUCAGGGUUAACCCACAAAAUGUUGGUUUCUAGCACAGUACGCAUCUCGUAGAUUCUGUCAACAAUUUCUUCGGUUGAUGGUAUUCUUGGAGAGUGGAUGUCAUAGACGCCAGGGCCAAUUGCAGCAUCAUACUGGACUCCCUCACGGAAGACUGACAGGAGAUUCUCAUUAGAACGAGAGUUCUCAAUGGUGAUCACAUCAGCAUCCAUGUCGAUAAUUGAGUGGAUAAUGUCGUUGAAGUUGGAGUAGCACAUGUGGGUGUGGAUCUGUCAAUCAAUAAACAAUAGAAUGAGAUACAAAAUCAACAGCUAAAUUAAAGAGAUGAGAUUGGAGAUUAAAAGGGUAACUGACCUGGGUAGUGUCCUGGAUGCCACAGUUGGUGAUUCUGAAGGAGUGGACUGCCCAGUCCAAGUAGAAAGCAUGCUCAGAUUUCCUGAGAGGCAAUCCUUCCCUCAAGGCAGCCUCAUCAAUUUGAAUAACGUUAAUGCCUGCCUUCUCAAGAUCCUCGACUUCGUCCUUGAUGGCCAAAGCAAUCUGGUAGCAGGUUUCAUGUCUGCAAAAUUGGCAGCGAUUGAUGUUAAACAAUGUUUCCAUUCCAAAAGGUUAACCAAUAGUGAACCAGUUCUCAUUUAUAUACCUGGGCUGGUCAUUUCUGACAAAGGACCAGUUGAGAAUGGUGACAGGGCCAGUAAGCAUUCCCUUCAUUGGGCGAGCAGUCAUGCUCUGAGCCCAGGAGGACCAGAAGACGGUCAUAGCCUUGGGACGGCUCACAUCACCAUAGAUGAUGGGUGGCUUCACACAGCGAGAUCCAUAGGAUUGCACCCACCCAUUGGCAGUGAAGGCGAAACCUGAUAACUGCUCUCCAAAGUACUCAACCAUGUCGUUUCUCUACAAAAACAAAUGUCCGAAUUCAAUUUGAGAUCCAGCAUACUUCGUAUGCAAUUAGAAAUGCAGAAACAAAAAUGUAUAAAAUUUUAUGUAAUUCAAAACCAGGAGACAUUGCUUUGCUUCCAUUGGGCAUUGCGAGACUCACCUCAGGCUCUCCAUGGACAAGGACAUCAAUAUCAAGCUCUUCUUGGAGUUUGACAACCUUGUUGAUUUCCUCCUUGAUGGAAGCAACAUAUUCUUCCUCAGAAAUCCUAAAAAGGACAAAUAGUCACGGCACAGUUAAUACAGUAGUUGCAGUAAUUUCACACAUGGCAUUGAAUGAAGAAACACCUCAGAUUGACUCACUUCUUAGCCUUGUAUUCACGGCGGACUCUCCUAAGUUCAAUGGUUUGUGGGAAGGAUCCAAUUGUGGUGGUUGGGAGGAUUGGAAGAUUGAGCUUCUUCUGUUGAGCAUCUAAUCUAGCACUAACGUUUGUAGCACGUCUGUGGUCUGAUCCCCUCAAAGCAGCAGCCUAAUAGACCAAGAGGAAGGAAUCACUGUUAGCAAAAAAGGAAAUUCUAAGGGACAGCCACAUCAUAAAAAUGGAAAACAAAUCAAUCAUGCCACUUACAGCCUUUUGAACUGCCUCAUUGGUCACUCUCGGGGAGGACUUUCUUGAAGCCUGAGCUGCAGCAUUGGCAGAGAAGAAUCCCUGGAAACAAAUGAUAAGGAGAACCAAAGUUAGUCUCAUUCAUAUCAUUUUAAAAAGAAGAUACAUAUGCAAUUAGUGGGCUGAUUGUGAGAGAAAAAGUCCCCAAAACUUUAAUCAAACACCAAAUGCCCAAGUUGCCAAAUGAUGUUUAAUUCGGAAAAAUAUAUUUAAAAACAUUCAAAUAUAAUUUCCCCUUCUAAAUUUUCAUUUUCAACAACAUAUUUUACAAGCCAAGCUCAACGUCAGGCCAAGAUUUUGUGCUCCUAUAAUUAUAUUUUACCAUAAAACUAGGUCCUUGAAAGGCUAAGAUUUUCUGACUCUUGUGACUAGUCAAAGCCUAAGAUUCUUUCAAUUCAUCCGUAGUAAAAGUAUACCUCAUCCUUUUGGCCAGCCAAAGCCUUGGCCAAUGCAUUGACUUCAACAACUUUCUGGGCAGCAAAUGCCAGCCAUGACUUGAUUUCGUCGUCGAGUUUGUUCUCAUUAACAAGAUCAACAGCAGUGUGAAGAAGUGAGCAGGAGGUGGAGACCACAAGCUUGUCUGCAAAGAAAAGUAAUAAAUUAUACAACAAAUCCCAUAAUAGAAUAAGAAAUAUUUAUCACAAAGAAAAAUGCAAGCAAAGGAUGUAUACCUUUGCCAACAACACCCUCAAGCCCCCGGAGAACACUAAGAGAAGCAGCAAGAUCAUUGGCCCAAAUGUUCCUUCCAUCAACCACUCCAGCAAAGAGGUACUUGCCAGCAGGGAAUCCACUCUUGAUCAAUUCAAGGGUCUUGGUUCCACGAACCAAAUCAAAUCCAUAAGCGGUGACACCCUUCAAAGAAGUGAGGGUCUGGAAUGCCUCAGCUGGAACAUCAGCAAAGUAGGUCUCAACAAGAACAUUCAAGCCAGACAGAGUUGACUCUAGUUCCGCGUAAGCCUCACUGAAUGCUUGCAAUUUGUGUGAGUCAAGAUCCGUAACAAGCAAUGGCUCAUCAAACUGAAUCCAGGAAGCACCAGCAGCCUUAAGCUCAGAAACAACUUCCCUGCAGAAGUGUUAAUUGGUACGACACGGAUUAAUGAUGCCACACGAUACACACACACACACACACACACACACACACACACACACACACACACACACACACACACACACACACACACACACACACACACACACACACACACACACACACACACACACACACACACAGACAGAGUUAUUUAGCACAUACACGUUUAUAAAUCUGUAAAUAGGUGAUAAUUCUUACUUGUAGAUCGGAAGGAUUUUGGGAAGAAGAGAGAGAACAGAAAAGGUCUUCUCAACCCCCCAGGCAGGCUUAGACAGCAACAAGUAUGACACAGGGCCAAUAAGCACUGGGACAGUUUCAACUCCAUGCUGCAGCAUUAGACAAGUGGUAGAUAUUAGCAUCUCACAAACUUGAUCUGACUGAUAGAAAGUUACAAGCAAGUUAAGAAUAUGUUUGAUGAAAUUUCAAUGAAAAAUCUUCAGGGUCCACAACAUGUUGACUAUACCCUUUUUAAGUAAUUUAUCUUAAGACUAUUUUGCAAACAGUAUUGCUUCCCUUUACAGAUCAAAUAAAUCAUACAACAUCUGAACGCAUUUCCUGAGCCAAAUAUAAGUUCAAAGCUCUAUAAUAAAUGUCAAUGACUCUAUAGUAAAUUCCAUCACAUUCUGAGCUAUGGAUGAGCAUAUCAUAUGCCAAUUUCAAGUUGAACGUAACCCAAUUUCAACAUAUUGUAGAUUCAAGUAUCAAACGAAAAAAAAAAUAUUGUAAAUAUAGACAGAACUGAGAACAAACACUCACCCCCUUAGCCUCCUUGUACUCAGUCACAGCCUUGUGGGAAGCGUAGGAGAACUUAACAUCGGGUCCCAAUUCAGGAACAAUGAAAUGACUGCAUCAACACGAAGCCAAACACACGUCAGCAUUCAGUACAAAACCAUUACACCAUAACUAACUUGAAAUGCCGCUCUUCCAAGUAGUGAAUACUUACUAGUUGGUGUCGAACCACUUGGUCAUUUCCAUUGCGAGAACAGAGGCGUUUCCUCUGGCCAUGGAGAAGUAAACAUCGAAUCCAAUCUCGCCGCCGUUCCAGUUAAACCUCGGGGGCACGGCACCGAGCAUUGCGGUGGUGUCGAGCACUUGGUCGUAGUAGGAGAAAGUGUUGCUGGGAAUGUAUUUGAUCCCGGCCUCGGACAUCUGUUUCCAGAUGGAGGAUCUGAGAUCAGCGGACACCUUUUGCAAAUCCUCGGCGCUGCUCUUGCCAUCCCAGAAGGAUUCCAACGCGAACUUGAGCUCCCUCUUGGGGCCCAUGCGUGGGUAACCAACGAUGUGAGAUGCCAUUUUACUGUCAUAAUCACGUCAUCAAUGAAUCGAAAAUCAGUCCCUUCCAUUAAAUCAAGAAAUUAUUAAUUCAAAUGAAUGGAUCACAUUGUAUAUAUAUGGGAUAAAUAUAAUUAUGAACAAAAGCGUCUAAUCAAUCACAAAAAGCAAGCGACUGCAUCAAAUUUAGGGAUCCGACCCGACCCGACCCGAUCUGUAAAUUCCGGUUUCAAUCGGAUUAAGAUGAAACCUCUAACCCGAUAUAGUUGGAUUUUGGCCAACUCGAUCGGAUCAGAUCGGAUCGGAUUAAACUUAGUCCAAUCCGAAAAAUUCAAAAAAUCAAAACUACAAUAAGUAUAAAUCUAAAUUUUCAAUUCAAUUUGAUCUAAUCUGAAUAUAUUCGAAUCGGAUCAAAUACUAUGCUCUGCUUAAACUUGGAUUAUAUUUUUUUCAAUUUGAUUAACCUAAAAUUCGAUUGGAUAGAUCCAAAACUGAAUUUAUCUACCCCUCAGUCAUCAAUCAAUUACAAAACCUAAAAUCCGAUUGGAUAGAUCCGAAACUGAAUUUAUCCACCCUUAAGUCAUCAAUCAAUUACAAAGGCGACUGAUGUUUAUACAAUGGACAAUUAUUAAGUUACAGCUCUUGUAAUUUACAACUUAUACAAAAAUAUGUGAAAAAUUGUGAUAGGCAGUACAGUGUCAUGAUUUUAUACAAAAAUAUGUAAACAAUUGUGAUAGACGGUAGAACCUCAUGAUUUUAUAAAAAAUACGUAAAAAGUUGGGAUAAGUAAUGGAGCCCGCAUAAUUUUUUAUCAGCUGCAAGUUGCAAGUUACAGCAACUGUAACUUAGCGACCCCGACUUCAAUGUAAAAUGAGAAAGUACUCCUCCGCAUAGUACCUGAUGCUCAAAAGUCAAAUCACACGAAAUGCAAAUAGACUUAUCAGAGCAUAAAACCUUAUAUUACUUUUUGAAAAACGAUUUGAAACAAGGGCAAAAUUACAGUGUAACCGUACUUAGUCAUUGAAUUCAGCUCACAAUUAUCAUUAUAGUUAGAUCUAAUAACUAGAUCCAACUGUAUCCACAGUUAUAUUGUAGUUAGAUCUGAUAACUAAAUCCAGAUCCAGCUGUCCCCACAAUUGUCAUUAUAGUUAGAUCUAAUAAUUAGAUUCGGCUGAUUCAGCUGUGAUGUAGUACCCUGUAGUGCCAUAACUGGACAAAGAAACAAACUGAUAUAUUUUCUUUUUUGAAACAAACUGAUACUAAUCCAAGAGUUUCAGAUGAUCGGUUUUUUUUUUUUUUUCUAUAGUCACAUCAAUAAUUAAGUACUUUCAGUCAUUUUCGAAGGAUUAAAACGAAAACUCUAAAAAAAUUCUGAGAAUGAAGAAUCCGAAAAUAGAUUCAGAAAUAGUAACACAAGUAGAGGUCAGAUUGUUUUUUGGAAAAGAUUAAUUGCAGAUCUGAUGAACUCAAGUCUAGAUCUAGCAAAAUCACGGCAGCCAAACACUAGAUCUAAGACUAACAGUCACUCACCAGUCGAUCAGAAAGUGAAAUCAAGUUCAAAAUUCUUUUUUUUUAAUAGAUCCAAAAGCUAAUAUACAUAUAUAUAUGGCAAAAUAUAUAUACCGUACCCGAGAAGGACGAGCAGAGAAAUUAAGCUUUUUUCGAGAGAACGAGAAAGAAGAGAGACGAGACUGUUAGAAAUUGCUGUCAGUUUAAUUUUUAUUUAUAGCCAAAAACCUAACCUUGUUUAGUGGUUACUGGUUACCGUCUUCGGCGGUGUUGAUCUGAGAUUUAUCAUUUUAAUUUCUUUCUCUUACUUAUUUAUUUAAUUUGGGUCCAACUACGGUGAAACUGUAGUACCGUGCUACAGUUAUUUUCAACCGUUUGAUUCACUUGGAUGGUGGGAUCCAAUAAAAUCCAAUAACUGGGUGCAACCGUAGCACGGUGCCGCAGUUGCACCACAGUUUUUCCCAUUUAUUUAUUAUGCUUUCAGUGCAGUUGGCAAAAACAUGGAGCUUACGCGCGCUUUUCUGAUGUGGCGCGUGAAUUGGAAAUGUGGUAGAUCUUUGUGGAUCCGCCGGUGCAGUGAAGAGUGAAGGAAAAAAGAGAAAAGUUAUCAUGCCAGAUCAUUUGAAGAGAGCCGCAAUUAGUAAUUACACCACAAUAUAUUUCUGAUUAUUUGCUUACUUUGAUGAUGUUUUUACUGAUUAGUAAUUGGAAUAUGUUAGAAUCUAAAUAUAGUAGAAUCAUAAUAGAGUUGAAUCAAAAUAGACUAUAAUUAGAAUGGAUAAUGGGAAUUAGAAGAAUUAUUUGCUUUAGUUGUGAGAAUCCAAAUUGGAAUGAACUAUAUUGUCGUUGAUAUGUUUACUUUAUCAUAGAAUAUGAAUGAAUUAUUACAAGUUACUAAACAGACCUUAAGUUGAUUAUUGUCAUUAUUUAUUUAUUUAUUAUUAUUAUUAUUAUUAUCAUCAUCAUCAUCAUCAAAAUUAUUAAUCUUAUUAUUAAUGUUAAUUAUAAUAAUUAAUAAUUAUAAUAGUAUUAUAAUAAUAAUAAUAAUAAAAGCAAUCAUAAAAUGAGAAUUUCAAGAUUUAAGUAGAGAUAAUAUAAUUAUUUUAGAAAAUGAGAAUUUCCAUGAGAAUGUGAACUCUAUUAAUCAUUCCCAAUUUGAAGUGGGGCCUGCCAUUUUGAUUCAAUCUCUCAUUUAAGCAAGUAAAUACGACAUUUAUUCUCAUUCCCUCAUUCCCACUCUCAGGUAGCGUUUGUUUUUUAACUUAAUGACUUAAAGUGACUUAACUUAAUUAAUUAAGUUAAUUAGAGGUGUUUAUUUUUAUAACUUAAUGAGACUUUUUAGAUAAUUUUGACUUAAUAAAAUGAGCCAAUUUUUUUUGGCUUUUUACUUAAUGGAGAAAUUUGAAUUUAGUCAAUUACUUACUAAUGUCAAAAAUAUCUAUGUUUUAUAAUUUAUUUUUCAUGUCUAUCCCAAAACUCACCCAUAGACAUUUACCCCACAUAAAAAUAUCCCUAUUUUUUCUUUCUUAUAUUAUAUACGAUAAAAUUUGAAAUUUAUGGUAUUUUAUAUAUUAAAAUUCUAAAAUAAUUAUGUAUUCACUUGAAUAUAGUUUUACUUAUAACUGUUAAAAUAUUGUGGUAUUUAAUAUAUUAUUUAUUUGACAUUAAAAUUUAAUAAGGAUACAAAUGUAAAAGUACAUAUUUUCAGUUUUUUCAGUUAAAAAAAAAGCAACUUAAUACUUAUUUUUCGAGAUUCAGACGAAAAAAUAAACAUAUUAUUCAUAUUCAGACAUUUAGAUAUAUUCAGAAUUCAAACUAAUUCAGGUCUAUUCAGAUUUUAGACAAAAAAAACAAACGCCACCUCAAUCAAUAAACACACCAUAAAUGUAGAGUUGUUACUAUUAGAAUACAUUAUAAUUCAUCACAAUUAUGAUAGGUAUAUACGUGUGUAAUAAUUUAUAUAAGAUGCUAAAUUUUGAAAAUAAUAAAAAAUCAUUUAUACAUAUUUAAAAAAAUCAUUAAUACAUUAAAAUGUGCAUCACAUAUACAUUUACAUAAUAGCAAUGACCAUAGUAUAAAAAAAACUCCUAAAAGAGAACGACUUCGUUAUUUAUGUUAUUUUAUAUAUUUUUAAUUGAUUAUUAAAAGGAUCAAUUGUUAAUUAUUAUUCUCCAAACAUAAUCACCGUUAAACAUUUAUUCAAUUUAACAAUAGGUAGAUGUUAAAUAAUAUUGGAAUAUUUAAUGAACAAUAUAAUCACUAUUGCAGUUGUUUUUUUUUUUUAGUAAUGGAUUAUUCGAAACUCAAAUUCAUUUUUUAGCCCCCUUACCUCUCUUAAAAUUCAAAUUUAAGUGACUAAACAAAUAAAACUGCUUAAAAUCUAUACGACUACAUCUUUGGGGACCAAUUAAUAUGGAUGUUUAAAUCUUGAUUUAUUAUUAAAUCUUUGAGUUUCAACCACUAAUAACAUCAUCAUCGAUUAAUGACAAAUAAAAUAAUACAUCAUCAAAACCAUUAAACACGUCCAUCAAUAUCAAAAACAAGUAAAAAGUUUAGCAUGUAUUUCAAAUAUACUUUUCAUCCCAAAAGUUGUAGAGAAAGUCUCGAUAUCAAUGUCACUAUGAGACGUAAUUUUAUAUUUAAAGUCAGCGCAACUUAAAAAUUACUAUGAAUGAAUAAUACACCAUAAAAAAAUUAUUUAUAAGUAUUUUCAUCAUGUAUUUUUAUUUAACAAUGGUGACAUUUAUUUUUUAACUUAAUGACUUAAAGUGGCUUAACUUAAUUAAUUAAGUUAAUUUUAGGUGUUUGUUUUUAUAACUUAAUAGGACAUUUUAGAUAAUUUUGACUUAAUAAAAUAGGCCAAUUUUUUUUAACUUUUUACUUAAUAGAGAAAUUUGAAUUAAGUCAGUUACUUUCUAAUGUAAAAAAAUAUUCCUACUUUAUAAUUUAUUUUUCAUGCAUAUUCAAAAACUCACCCAUAGAUAUUUACCCCACAUAAUCUCAUCUUUAUUUUCUUCCAGCCGUCAUGGAAUCCCUCCUCACUUUGCUUCUCUCCUCUAGUUCUUGAAUCUCCCUUUAAUUUCUCGCUAGGCAAAGCACUUGAAUUGGGCUUUUUUUUUUUCCUUUUCAAUUACGUUUUCCAACAUUCACUUAUAUAAUAAUCAACUAGUUGCUACUCUUUUUAGUGAUAAAAUUUGAAAUAUGGUAUUUUAUAUAUUAAAUUUUCAAAAUUAUGUAUUCACUUAAAUGUAGUUUUACUUAUAAAUAUUAAAAUAUUAUGUUAUUUAAUAUAUUAUUUAUUUGACAUUCAAAUUUAAUAAGGAUAUAAAUGUAAAAGUACAUAUUUUUAAUUUUUUAAGUUGAAAAAAUAACUUAAUAUUUAUUUUCAGAUAUUCAAAUAAAAAAUAUAUUAUUUAAAUUCAAAAAUUUAAAUCUAUUCAAAAUUUAAAGUAAUUCAGGUCUAUGCAUAUUUCAAUCAUAAAAACAAAUGCCACAUGAGUCAUUCAAUUUCUAAUUAAGAGGAUAAAAAAUAGAUUUGGACUAUCCUAAGACAAAAACAAAAAAAAAAACAAAAAUAAGAUUUCCUAAUAAGUGUACUAACGUGGUCACGCGCCUUGAGAAACGCUUGGACCUAACACACUAUUUUAAUCCGAUAUGCAAAAAAAGAAAAAAAAAAAAAAGGAAAAAUUAUGAGAUGUAUAAGUUUCUAGAGACGUGUUAAAUUUUGAUGAAACAAUGAAGAAAGUCGGUGGCCGAAGUUGGUAUGGGGCAAUGCGAAUGGUGGUUGGCCCACGUUGCCCUGUAAUUGGAGUUGUUAUAAUUUUUCUUAUAAUUAAUAGGACUUGACACAGACUGCAGCAUCAGCCGUUGGAUGUGGAGGGAGAAACUAAACAAUAGAAAACCGUAUGGUGGGAUGACGGUAGAUGUUUGUUACAGAAACUGUACCAUAGACAGGUCCUAAUUAAUAAGCUCUACGUUUUGAAACAAUAAAUAAACUCCAGAUGACCAAAAUAUCAUUUCAUACUGCUACCUAGACAUCUUGGCGAGGGUGGGUAAUGUGGGGCCCGGAGCUUGUUUGAUCGUCAAUUAUUCUCUGGUUUGGUGAAACGAAUGGACGGACGAUGGUGAUGGCUUUUAGGAGAUUAGUAUUAUUAUUAUUAUUAUUAUUAUUACAUUGAGAUCGUAAAACAAAAAAUUCAAUUAAUAAUAUAAAAUAUUUAUUUAAUUUAUUAAUUAUUAUAUAUACACAAUAAAAAAAUUUAUAUACAUAUUUAUAAAUGUGUAAAUAAAUUUCAUUCAAUAUUAUAUCCAAUUAAUCAUUUAUAUUUUUCUGCUGUACCGUACAUCCGCCUUGGCCGUACAGCAGUAAAGCUGCUGAUGCUUUAUCGCGAAUUCAUGAGGAAAAUGUGAUUGAAGAACCCAAACCAACAACUCUUUGUUUGUCGUUAGACAUUUACCCCACAUAAAAAUAUCCCUAUUUUUUCUUUCUUAUAUUAUAUACGAUAAAAUUUGAAAUUUAUGGUAUUUUAUAUAUUAAAAUUCUAAAAUAAUUAUGUAUUCACUUGAAUAUAGUUUUACUUAUAACUGUUAAAAUAUUGUGGUAUUUAAUAUAUUAUUUAUUUGACAUUAAAAUUUAAUAAGGAUACAAAUGUAAAAGUACAUAUUUUCAGUUUUUUCAGUUAAAAAAAAAGCAACUUAAUACUUAUUUUUCGAGAUUCAGACGAAAAAAUAAACAUAUUAUUCAUAUUCAGACAUUUAGAUAUAUUCAGAAUUCAAACUAAUUCAGGUCUAUUCAGAUUUUAGACAAAAAAAACAAACGCCACCUCAAUCAAUAAACACACCAUAAAUGUAGAGUUGUUACUAUUAGAAUACAUUAUAAUUCAUCACAAUUAUGAUAGGUAUAUACGUGUGUAAUAAUUUAUAUAAGAUGCUAAAUUUUGAAAAUAAUAAAAAAUCAUUUAUACAUAUUUAAAAAAAUCAUUAAUACAUUAAAAUGUGCAUCACAUAUACAUUUACAUAAUAGCAAUGACCAUAGUAUAAAAAAAACUCCUAAAAGAGAACGACUUCGUUAUUUAUGUUAUUUUAUAUAUUUUUAAUUGAUUAUUAAAAGGAUCAAUUGUUAAUUAUUAUUCUCCAAACAUAAUCACCGUUAAACAUUUAUUCAAUUUAACAAUAGGUAGAUGUUAAAUAAUAUUGGAAUAUUUAAUGAACAAUAUAAUCACUAUUGCAGUUGUUUUUUUUUUUUAGUAAUGGAUUAUUCGAAACUCAAAUUCAUUUUUUAGCCCCCUUACCUCUCUUAAAAUUCAAAUUUAAGUGACUAAACAAAUAAAACUGCUUAAAAUCUAUACGACUACAUCUUUGGGGACCAAUUAAUAUGGAUGUUUAAAUCUUGAUUUAUUAUUAAAUCUUUGAGUUUCAACCACUAAUAACAUCAUCAUCGAUUAAUGACAAAUAAAAUAAUACAUCAUCAAAACCAUUAAACACGUCCAUCAAUAUCAAAAACAAGUAAAAAGUUUAGCAUGUAUUUCAAAUAUACUUUUCAUCCCAAAAGUUGUAGAGAAAGUCUCGAUAUCAAUGUCACUAUGAGACGUAAUUUUAUAUUUAAAGUCAGCGCAACUUAAAAAUUACUAUGAAUGAAUAAUACACCAUAAAAAAAUUAUUUAUAAGUAUUUUCAUCAUGUAUUUUUAUUUAACAAUGGUGACAUUUAUUUUUUAACUUAAUGACUUAAAGUGGCUUAACUUAAUUAAUUAAGUUAAUUUUAGGUGUUUGUUUUUAUAACUUAAUAGGACAUUUUAGAUAAUUUUGACUUAAUAAAAUAGGCCAAUUUUUUUUAACUUUUUACUUAAUAGAGAAAUUUGAAUUAAGUCAGUUACUUUCUAAUGUAAAAAAAUAUUCCUACUUUAUAAUUUAUUUUUCAUGCAUAUUCAAAAACUCACCCAUAGAUAUUUACCCCACAUAAUCUCAUCUUUAUUUUCUUCCAGCCGUCAUGGAAUCCCUCCUCACUUUGCUUCUCUCCUCUAGUUCUUGAAUCUCCCUUUAAUUUCUCGCUAGGCAAAGCACUUGAAUUGGGCUUUUUUUUUUUUCCUUUUCAAUUACGUUUUCCAACAUUCACUUAUAUAAUAAUCAACUAGUUGCUACUCUUUUUAGUGAUAAAAUUUGAAAUAUGGUAUUUUAUAUAUUAAAUUUUCAAAAUUAUGUAUUCACUUAAAUGUAGUUUUACUUAUAAAUAUUAAAAUAUUAUGUUAUUUAAUAUAUUAUUUAUUUGACAUUCAAAUUUAAUAAGGAUAUAAAUGUAAAAGUACAUAUUUUUAAUUUUUUAAGUUGAAAAAAUAACUUAAUAUUUAUUUUCAGAUAUUCAAAUAAAAAAUAUAUUAUUUAAAUUCAAAAAUUUAAAUCUAUUCAAAAUUUAAAGUAAUUCAGGUCUAUGCAUAUUUCAAUCAUAAAAACAAAUGCCACAUGAGUCAUUCAAUUUCUAAUUAAGAGGAUAAAAAAUAGAUUUGGACUAUCCUAAGACAAAAACAAAAAAAAAAACAAAAAUAAGAUUUCCUAAUAAGUGUACUAACGUGGUCACGCGCCUUGAGAAACGCUUGGACCUAACACACUAUUUUAAUCCGAUAUGCAAAAAAAGAAAAAAAAAAAAAAGGAAAAAUUAUGAGAUGUAUAAGUUUCUAGAGACGUGUUAAAUUUUGAUGAAACAAUGAAGAAAGUCGGUGGCCGAAGUUGGUAUGGGGCAAUGCGAAUGGUGGUUGGCCCACGUUGCCCUGUAAUUGGAGUUGUUAUAAUUUUUCUUAUAAUUAAUAGGACUUGACACAGACUGCAGCAUCAGCCGUUGGAUGUGGAGGGAGAAACUAAACAAUAGAAAACCGUAUGGUGGGAUGACGGUAGAUGUUUGUUACAGAAACUGUACCAUAGACAGGUCCUAAUUAAUAAGCUCUACGUUUUGAAACAAUAAAUAAACUCCAGAUGACCAAAAUAUCAUUUCAUACUGCUACCUAGACAUCUUGGCGAGGGUGGGUAAUGUGGGGCCCGGAGCUUGUUUGAUCGUCAAUUAUUCUCUGGUUUGGUGAAACGAAUGGACGGACGAUGGUGAUGGCUUUUAGGAGAUUAGUAUUAUUAUUAUUAUUAUUAUUAUUACAUUGAGAUCGUAAAACAAAAAAUUCAAUUAAUAAUAUAAAAUAUUUAUUUAAUUUAUUAAUUAUUAUAUAUACACAAUAAAAAAAUUUAUAUACAUAUUUAUAAAUGUGUAAAUAAAUUUCAUUCAAUAUUAUAUCCAAUUAAUCAUUUAUAUUUUUACAGCGGUUUAAUAAUAAUAUUUACUAAAUACAUAUGAUUAUUUUUAAAAUUCACAGUAUUUUUAAAAAUAAAUUUUAUAAAAUUUUUAACUAAUUUUCUUUACAACUAACUAUUGAACGGUUUAACUAAUAGUAAUUAUUUUUAAAAUUAUAGUAUUAUCAAAUUAGUCCUAUGUCAAAUUUGUUAUUGCUGUUUUUUUUUUAAUUAAAAAAUUACAUAGUGCAUACGUGCAUAAUAUGCCCAACUCAAAAAUUCACACAAAAUAUACUAUUUAACUUUAAGGCUUUAAUUGAAAAAAAAAAUUAAGAUUAAGAUGAAUAAAUACUAGAACAUAACAAAUAGAUAAACUCUCCCAUUCUUUAAAAAGAUUAAUUUUAUUUUAAACUUACACUUCGAAUUCAAAGUAGACAUUGAUUGAUAAAAUUAUACAAACGGAUCAAUAUUCCUACAUUUUCUUUUUAAUUUCAAAACCAACAGAUAUUGUUUGUUCAUUAUAUGACCUCCAAACAAAUAAUUUCAUUAAUAAAAUAAUAAUGAAAAGUGUCGUGAUGGGUAUAGAGUAAUUAGGUGGCUAAGUUUCUACUUUUCAUUCUAACUCUUGAGGUUGGUAGGCGCGUGGGUGGUCCACAAAACCCGUGGACGGUAGCAUUCAAACAAAGACUGGAGGCACCAGAAAAAUGUCCAAAAAGUGUGAAACCGUGACGUGUUCAACAUGUUAAUAAAUUUAGGCAAAUGUUAAAGUUACGGAGCUGGCUACGUUACAGAAACUGUACGUAACAGCCAUGCAUUUUUUAUUCGUUGGAUCUAGAGACUGAAAUUGGAUGGUUGGGAUUAAAGGCCAGAAUAGAAAUUAAUCACGGGCAACCGUUUUUAACAUUUAGAAGGGUUUAUUUUCAUGCACACCCAAAUAUUUUGACAAAUAUCAAUAUGCACCCAGUAACUUUUUAUGUAAAACCACAUAACCGACCCGUUAACUUUUCUACUAUUGAAUUAAAAAACUAUCAUGCCUCAAUUGAAUUAAAUUGAUCAGGUAAAAUAUCUUUUAUAACUUGUCAAUUUUUACAGUGAAAUAUACGAGUAUUUAGUAAAAUCAAAUUUAUUUUUUAUUCAGUAAUCAAAUUUUUUUAUUUAGUGAAAUCAAAAUUAUUUUUCUUUAGUUGUAAGAUUUUUUUAACAAAAAAAUUCUAAAAUCAGAUUUAACUCAUUUACUAUUUUAAAAAAUGAACUUUUUACUAACCAAACUAGAGUUUAUCUUUAGUCAACAUAUUUUUUUCUCUAAAAUAACCUUUGAUAGAAUUACUUAUAUAAACAUGUCAGUAUCAAAAUUACUUCAUAUUUUACCAUCCAUCAAUUUAAACUAGUGUGAAAUUUUUUUAGUUUGAUAUUGAAAAUAUGAUAGUUGAUGAGAGAAAUCUAAUUCAAAUUUACAGAUAGAAUAGUUUCUUAUAAUUGCGUACAUGGUAUAUCAAAAAUAUUUUUUUGUGAGUUUUUAAAAAAAUUGUGUCACAAGAUGAAAUUAUCUCUUGAUUUUUCAAUUCCUGGAAUUUAUGUAAAACAAUAAACACAAGUAAAUCUUUUGGUUUGUGACUUCUUGAAGGAAUGUUUGGGAACGCACAAGUUCCUCUCUCCUUCAAAAAGAAUGAUAAGUGCAAAUACCAACCUAGAAAAUUGAUUUAUAAUUCAAAGAAGAUUUGAUUGAAGAUGAUUAAUUGAAAUUUAUCUUUGCAUGAUGUCAAACAUUUUUCAAAAUGACUAAGUCAAGUCUCUUUGUUAAUUCAAAUCAAGAAAAAUUAGAAAAAUAUUAAUGCAUAGAAAUUCUACUAAGAGUUAUUUAUGAAAUUCUCAAACGAAUAGAAAUUAAAUUAACAUUUUUAAAUUUUAGUUAUGGGUUUAUUUUAAAAAUGGGUUUAGAAAGAAAUUUGAGGGGUUUAAAGAACCCCGCCCUUUCUUUAAUUAUUCGGUGAAUUUGAAAUAUAUUAAUAAGGUAUAAGAAUAUGUUAUUCUAAUCUUCUUAUGCAAAAUCUAUGCAAUUAAAAAAAAAUUCACCAAACGGUAUUUGUCUUUUUAUUGACAUUUAAUAAUAUUGAUGGCAAAUAUAUACAAUUAUCAAUCAAUUGUUAUCAACUAUUCAAGAUAACUGAAAAACUAAUUGCGUGAAGUUGGAGUAAUGAUUGUUUGAAUUGCCAAGAGUUUUUUUUUAAUAGAAACUAUUGCAAUUCAUAUCAUUAAAAAACUUAAAGACUACAAGUCGAAUAAAAAAUCUUUCCUUAUAAAAGAAUUUGACCAACUCAAAGUACAGUGUUAAAUCCUUGAGAUACAAUGAACCUAAAAAUCCUACUUUGACACACCACAAAUAAUGAAUCUAACUUAACAAUCAAUGGAGAUAAAUCAAUUUUACUAGCAAAAUAUAAGCCAAAACACAAGGCAACGUCUUCACCAAAAUCAAUAUCAUUCAAAUAAUUCCCCUUGUGAACGCCUGAAGCUAUCAUAAAAACAACAAAAAAUAAAAAAAUAAAAACAAGUAGACAAGCAAAAAAAUUCCCCAAUAACAAGUUACCCUACAAAACUUUUCCUUGUAGAACAUACACAGAAACCGCAGCUAUAGGGCUAUCGAAAGUAGGGAUGGCAAUGGGGAGGGGAGGGGAGGGGACCAAUCUCCCCAUACCCAUCCCCGAUAUUUUGCGUAUGUCCCCGUCCCCGUCAGAAUUGCUUGAGAGAAUCUCCAUCCCCUCCCCGAAUAAUAACAGGGGAUCCCCGAGGGUCCCCGGUCUUUGGAAAAGCUAGGAAAGAAAAGGGACGUGAAAAACAAAGGGGGUAGAUUUUUUGAAGGGGAAAGAAAAAGAAACCCUAGAUCUAAAUUUUUCUCUUCUCUCUAUGAAGAACUAAACCUAUUAUUCUGGUUGAAGAUUAAUAAAGCUUUGGUUCAUCAUUACUGUGAGAUCUUUCUUAUGCUUUAAUUGUUUUAUUGCUUUUUGGGUAUUUGUUUAUUCUCUAAAUUAUUGUCAUGAUUAUAUUUGUUAAUUAGAUAAUUGGCCACUAUUUAAUUAUCAACUUAAUCUAUUGUCAAUUAAAAGAUUCAUCGUAUGAAGAUUUUAAUAUUUGUGACAAAUAGCAUAGCAGUGCGUUGUGUUAUGAGAAUAAACAAUCUAAUUUAAAUGAACCAUCGUAUGCGUUUGUUGAUUAGGAUUUGGGUCUCUCUGAUUUUUCAGGUUGUCAAUUAAUUAAAUCCUAUGAUUGUAUCUAGGGUUAUCUAUUAAUUAGGGAAAUAACCAAUGGUCGUACCUUAGUUAUCGACUAGUUAAAGAGAGAUUGGCUAUUAAAGGGUCUCAGUAGCUAGGGAUGGCAAAAAUCCCCACGGGGACGGGCACCCUCGGGGAUUUUCCCCAUUCGGGGAGGGUACGGGGAUAAUUUUAUACCCAAUUUUUUUUUCGGGGAGGGGACGGGGAAAAUUUUUUACCCAAUUUUUUAUUCGGGGAGGGGACGGGGAUGAGGUGGAAUCCCCAUCCCCUACCCAUUUCCCCAUUUUAAUUUUUAUUUUUUAUUUUUAAAAUUACUAAUAAAUAUAUAACAAAAUUAUAAAUAUUGGCAAGAUAUGAGUGGAAUUUUGGGUGUGACAUGUAUAUUUGAUCCAAGGUAUAAAAAGAAGUUCAUUGAAUAAUACUUUUCUUUUUAUUUUUAAAAUUACUAAUAAAUAAAUAACAAAAUUAUAAAUAUUGUUAAAAAUAAUAAAUAUCAAAAUAGUUGUAUGUUGGGAAAGUGGUCACCCCUUACCAGGAAUUAGUGGAAGAGUAUCAAUUGAAGUUUUCACCAAUUGUUUAUUGCUUUGAUUAUACUGGUUGUAGUUCUUCUAUUAGAUCUACAGGGGAUUCUUAUAAGAAAGCAACCAAAUGGAUGACAUGUUUUGAUGAUUAUGUAAACAAUGGAGAUUGUGCAGUUGUUGCAGAUGAAUUAGAUUCAUAUUUGGAUGAAAAAGUUAUACCCCGGAUGGAAGAUUUUAAUAUUUUGAGUUGGUGGAAGACAAAUGCUAAUAGGUAUCCUACAUUAGCUCGAAUUGCUACAGGACGAGCAGGAGGUAAAUAGUUUUAUUAAAAAUAUUAAUUAAGUAUCUACAUUUAUUUCAUUUAUUUUAUUGCCGAUGUAAAAAAUAUUUUUUUUUUCUUUUUAUUGUAGGAUUAUGAAGAUUGAGACAUUGAUAAAGAUAAUUAUUUUAAUAAUUUAUAUUUUGAAUGUGACUUUGUAAUGGAUCAAUAUUAAUGUAAGAUAUAUUUUAAACUUUAUUUUUAUCUGAAUUUUUUAUUUUAAUAUGAUUAAUUUAAAAUCAAAAAUAAAAAAAUGUAUUAGACUAUUAAUUAUUCGGAGACCGGGGACCCUCGGGGAUCCCCUGUUAUUAUUCGGGGAGGGGAUGGGGAUUCUCUCAAGCAAUUCUAACGGGGACGGGGAGGGGACGGGGACAUACGCAAAAUAUCGGGGAUGGGUAUGGGGAGAUUAGUCCCCUCCCCUCUCCUCCCCAUUGCCAUCCCUAGAUUUUUGCCAUCCCUAUCGAAACCUCUACCCACCACUAUUAGAGUUAAAAAAAUCUCUGAUAUGAGUGUAUUCUUCUAAUUUGAACUCUAACGUGAUUUUUUGAGAGAUUCAUUGGAAAAAAACCUUAAGGAGUUAAAGAAGAAAUUUAAAAAAAAAAUCAUAAAAAGAGGAAUGAAAAGAAAAAGAUGCUUUACCAAGAGUUGAUUGACAGUAAUUGGUAAAUUUGAGCAUGCAAUAAAAUUUACCCAUAUAUUCAUAUGACAUAAAAUAUAAUUUUAUUCAUUAAUUACACUACUAAUUUGUCUAAAUUUUAGUUUUUAAAAAAAUAAAUUUCUAUAUAUUUACAUAAAUCUUAGUUUUUAUAAAAAUAAAUUGAAAAAUAAAUUUAUGUUUUUAUAAAAAUAAAUUUAUGUUUAUUUUUUUACAUUGACCUGAAGAAAAGACUAGUACUACUAAGCUGCUGUACGGCCAAGGCGGAUGUACGGUACAGCAGCAAUUUGACUGUUUGGGGGUGGGGUUGAUGGCUUACAUCAAAGUUAGUGUGUGCUAAGGAUUAACAAUAAUAAUGGGGUAAAUAUGAAAUUAAUCCUUGCCCAAGCAUUAGAAGUUCGUCGGUUUUCUUUUAACCGGAUAAUUACCGGUGAAUAUGUCACGCGUUCCUACACGUGGCAGCAUCUAAUUUAUUCGCUUGUCAUUUCAGUUUCUGUUAGUUACAGUUUCUGUAACGUAGCUAGCUCCGUCAGGUACAGGCAUGUUGUAACUUACGUUUCUCGUAAAAAUCAUAUAAGUUCUAUUUCUACCGCUAGGGUGAGCAUGGGUUGAUUUGGAUUAAAUUUUAAGUUAAUUUAAAUUAAAUUAUAAAAAUUUGGGUGUAAUCUAAAUUAAUUUAAAUAUUUUUAACAUAACUCAUGGGUUGGUUAAAUCAAACUAUAAAAAUUUGGUCCAACUCAAAUUAACUCAAAUAUUUUCAACACAACCCAAAGCAACUCAGUUGGAUUUUAUUAAAAUUAUAAUAAUUAUUAAUUGUUUUUAAACCAACCAUUUUGAGUUUGGUUUGGAUUUUAUUAUCAAAAUAUAUUUUUUAUUUUGAGAAAUUUAAUUUUAUCAAAAUUAUAAUAAUUAUUAAUUGUUAUUACUUAUUAAAUUGAUAAUAACAUAUAAAAAUUAUAAUUCAUAAAAAUUAUAAAUAACAAAUUUUACAAUAACUUAAUCCUUAAAUUAAAGAAUACUAGAAAAUUAAAAUAAAGUUUAAUCACAAAAAUCAUUAUUUAUCAAUAAAUAAGAAAAUUCUAAUAAAAAACUUCUACAAGCACGAUAUCGACAAGUAAAUUCAAAGAAAGAAAGAAAGAAAGAAAAGACUAGUACUACUAAGUAUUAACCCUAUUACAACACAAACUCUAACAAUGUCCAUACAAAUAAAAAAAAAUAAGACAUUCUAACUCAAGUGUCAAAGCAAUCCAUCAUAAUCAUUUCCAUCCGUAGUACUUUAAUCGAGAGAUUCCACGAUUAACUGACAAAAUGUAUGACAAUGAUAAUUUACAUUGAUUAUGACAUAAUAGAGAUGGAUUUGUCAAAGCCAAAUCAUUUGCUGGAAAGGAAUUUAGUUGAAGUAGGAACCAAAAUUCAACUUAGAUGGAUCUAUAAAAUUGGUCAUUCAAUACAUAAGUACUUUAUCAACAGAUUCAACACAUUAUAAAUUUAUGGAUUCAACUAAGUUACAACCAGCUGCAACUUAUUCCUCUCACAUAAACAAUAAUACAGCGGUAGGCUAUAUUAUUUACAAAAAGUACUUAUGUAUUGAAUGACCAAUUUUAUUACCUGCAAAAUUAAUUAAUCUUUCACUCUAUCAUCUAACUAAUGGAAGGCAAUCUUAUUUUAGGUUGUAAUGAUUAGAAACUAGCAGGAAGUGGGGGCGAUGCUCCAUAUUAAUUUGGAUAAAUCCCUUUCUAGUGAAGAAGUUAAAAUUAUAAAAUAGAGAUCAAGAUAGAAAUUUAAAGGCCCCGAUUGUUUUUUACAGACUUAAAAAUGAUAUUGAAAAAUUAAAAGCUAAUUUUAGUAUUUAAAAAUUACUUUAAGAAAAAUCACCCUAUCUUCCUGUAAAUUUUGAAAAGCAUGAAAAGAGCAGUUUUUCAAAAAUUGAUUUCGAAAAUUAGUUUCAUACUUAAUACAAUUCCAUAUAUCCUAACAUUUAUUAUAAAAAUUCAAAUUAUCCUUAUUAAAUUAGGAAAUAAAGUCAGUACAUUUAAAUAAGAGUGAUGAUAUAGACACAAACUCUUGUACCAACUGACGUAGCAUUAAUUUAUUAGUUGAAUGAAAAUAUAAAAUAAUAUAAAUAAAUCAUGUGGGCCAAGAAAUAUUUAAUUUAACCAAUUUUAUCAUGUCACAUUAUAAGCAACUUAUAAACUCAUUGGAUUCGACUCUUUACUAAAAUAAAAAUAAAUUAAUAUAUAUAUAUAUAUAUAUAUAUAUUUACAUACAUAAAAUGUGAUUAUAUACACAUAUUUAUAAUUGAAUAUGUACAUAAAUUCUGUAGAUUUAUGUCUAUCUAUACAUUUGCAUUCUUACCACAUUUUAAAAGUGUGAUUUACCAAAUACAUGGGACUUAUUUGAAAUUUAUAGCACUUUUAUAAAUAAAAUUUAUCAAACGUUAAACAGAUUCUCUAUUUUCGCGUAUAUAUCCUCAUGUAAAUUAUAAAAAUUCAAAAUUAUCUUUAUUCAAUUAGGAAAUUAAAUCAUUAUUUUUAAAGAGAUUCUUAUUAUUACUAAUUAGAUUCAAAUAACCAAAAAAAUACAAUCAAUAAAAUAAAAAUAUUUAUUUUAGUUAUCAUUUAUUAUAUACACAUAUUUAUAAAUGCAUGUGUAAAUAAAAUUUUAUAGAUUUAUGUCUAUUUAAGUUAUUUGCAUUCUUACAACAUUUAAAAAAUGAGAUUUACUAAACACAUGUGAUUGUUUUUAAAAAAGUUACAACACUUUUAAAAAUAAAAUUUAACAAAUGUUUAAUUGACUCUCUCCAAAGGUAAUUGUUUUUACAGUAUAGCUAAAGUAAUUUAUAAAUUUAUGAUAAGUAUUUGUGAAUAUUGGUCUAUGUAAAGAAGUAAAAACAACAUAUAUAUUAAGCAGCAUGAUAUUAAAACUCUUAGUAAAAUACAUAUACUAAUAAAAGAAAGACAACAAUGCAAUAAAUAAGCUUAUAAUAUAAAUUAUUAAAAUUGUAUAUUAAAAAAUUAUGCAUGAAAUUCUUUUUCUAUUUUGGUGAUAGAGAAUGCGAUAUAAUUGAAUUAUUUGAUUUAAUAAAAAAAAAAUAUGACUGUGAAGGAAAUUAACAAUUGAAUUGUGGAAUGUUAUUAAUUGUUAUUGUAUCAUUUUGCAACGUUCUAAUAAUAUGGACAAUGUUACAGUAUAUUGAUGGGCGGUAAUAUUUUCACCUCUUAAAUUGUGUAAAGUCAGCUCCAUUUAAAAAAAUUAUAUAUAAAAAGCCCAUUAGUUUUAAUAGUUUCAAAUUAAGAUUAAAUGCAAAUAAUUAACCAAUUAAAUCCUUAUUAAUAAGAUCAUUGAGCUUUAAUUAAACUAAUAAAAUGCAUUUGAUAAAUGAAAUUUACGAUAUUUAAUUACAUGAAAUUUAUUGACUACAUGAAUAAUAUAAUUGUUCAGCUGUUUAAACUUUUUCCCUAUUUAAAUUUUAAAAAACAAUGUGAAAUUUUGUAAAUAGUUCUUUGAAAUGGGGUGGAUUUACACCAUUUGUGCAGUGCAAAUAUCCUAAUUCUAACAUUUUUUUUAAAAAAAAAGACCAAAUCAUAACAUUUUUUGUAUACUAAGUUAAAGUAGUACUAACAUUAUAGCCCCCUAAUGAUUUCAAUUCAUUCAAUGAAUAUAUAAUUUAAGCAUGUUAUAAACUAAGUCUCUAAAUCGAAUUAAAAAAAGAAAAAAGAGCUUAAUUGCUGACAUAGUUGAAAAUAAAAUAAAAAAUUUUAUUAUUAGAUGAAAAAUUAUGAAACUUAAGGGGUAUAAGCGAGUCGGCAGCUGCUCACCAGGGCAUAUGUAAUAUUUGUUAAUACAUUUCAAAAUUUUAGGUUUUUUAAUAAUAUUUUCAAUACAUUUUCUAGAAGGUUUAGAAAAAAAAAAUGACUCAAUACUUUAAUCGAGCUAUGAAUAAACUCAUGUGUUAAAAAAUUUCAUAUUUACACCCAAUAAGAUUAAUUAAUGGGUGAUACAAAUUUAAGAUAGUUAAUAAUAAUAUAUAUCAUCUUAAGUUAACUUCAACUCAUUAACCUUGUAUAAGGUUUGAUGGGUCGUGCCGCAAAUUAUCACCUCUAAUCCUUUUUGCAACAGGCAUGAUGAAUGCUAACAAAAUGAAACUUCUAUAUAUUUAGUUGUUAUUCUUUUUAAUGAAAUAAUAAGGAGCUUUGCUGCAAAUUUCCAUCCAGCAUGGCAUGGACGCACGUGAAAUUUGCUAGUAUGGUCCUGGACAUGCGUGGCUGAGAUGCUUCUAAAGGCAAAGAAUUCCAAGUUCAUACCAAAUAUAACUUUCUGAUAUUUUUGUGGUAUCAAGUUUGUUUUUCACAAACUAAGGUGUCGGCGUAAAGUUGUUGUCCAUGCAAUGAAGUUUUAUACAUAAAUAUAUUAACCUAAAUUGUUACUAAAGUUCCAUAAUUAGCAGUUCCUGAGAGUUUUUACUAUAUAUUUUUUUGUUUUAAUUCAACAUAUGUUUAUUUAAUACGAUUUUAUUAAAUAAAUGUGCAUAUUUACCAUAUUUGUCUACGAUCAAUUAGUUGGAAAAAAAAAAGAAAAUUAAUAAAUUUAUUUAUUUGAUUGUUAAUGGUUUAGGCAUUUGAAUUCCCACAAAGUCAGGGUGUCAGCUCUGGACUUCUGGUGAUGUAUUUUUCUAAUAAAGAAAUAAAAUAUUGUUGUCAUUUUUUUAAUAUUCUAAUUUACCAAGCCUACCAACCAAUUAAUUUUUCUAAUUAGAUCAUUAAUUCAUUACACGUGCAUUCGCUGGCCCAGUGCUCCAAUCCCAUGCAUGCUGCACAACUCAAUGUGUUUUAAUAAGAAAAGGUUUGGUUAGCCUGUGCUGAUGCCAGAAGCCCCUUAAGGAGUUCAGGUAAACGUAAAUAUGUCCAGAUUUAGAUUUGAAUAUGUAAACGUAAAUAGGUCCAGAUUCAGAUUCGUUGCGCUAGAGAGGGGCACGCACGAUCGGGCUGCUGUCAGGUGGUACGUUGGCGUGGCAAUUCUCAACACGCGCUUCUCCUGGUGCAUACUUACGGCAAGUUGACACGUGACCCGUGUGGAUUGAGUGGACAGAGUCACGGGCACUGAUUUUUGUCAUCCAUAACGACUAACGUCGGAGACUUCGAGAAGAAAGAAAUUGUUGUCGUUUCUAAGGGGAAAAAAAUAUUUAAUUUGUUGAAGACAAAUUAACGUCGGAGAUUUUUUUUAUUUUUUAUUUUUAAUUUUGCAAUCUAAACCAGUCUAAUCAAAAUGUCAAUUUGACAAAAGUUGGACUGAUUUAGAUUAGUUCUAUUAGUUUGAUUGGAUUAAAUUGAAUUAGAUCUUGAACAUCCUAACACUUUUCAUGAAUGUUUUCCUUUUUUUUUGAAAAAAAUUAAUAAGGAGAAUUCCCAUGAAUGUUAAUUUUAUUGAUAAACUUGGCAAUUUUAAGAAAUGUUUUGACGCACGAAUAAUGCAAUUCAUCAACCCACAUAGAUAUGGAUAUAGGAAGCAGAGACCAGAUCGAUCUUGACAUAACGAAAACUUGUAUGUGUAUAUGUAUGUUACAGACCAGAUCGAUCUGUAGCAUAGACUUCUCCUAUAUGUAGGUUAUAUUCAAAUUACAAAAUGAACACAUGUUAAGGAUCUACAACUUCUUCUUUAAUCUAAUAAGCUCCCUCAACUUUAUUCCAAAACAAAAAAGAAUCAAAUUUUUGUUGGAAAUAUUUAUGAAUGAAGAAGCAAAAAGCGCUUGUAUCAAGGAUCUAAUUAAAGAACUGCCAGAGGCAUAGAUCUAUCAAAGCUCCCUCGCAUGACUCUUGGUCUCGGUGGCUUCUUCUUCUUCAUUCCGAAUUUUCCCUCCAUCUGAUCUCUUCCAACCUUUCCAUUUCCAAAUUGAAUUGAAACUUGCCUCAUAUUCGUUUGUUGAAUCCCAUCUUUUGUUGCACCACCAUGCAUCAAAAUCCUUGAAAUCCCAGCAUAAUGCAAGGACUCAGCUAUUUGCAAUGGGGUCACGUUCUUACUUGUCCUUGCCUCAACAUCAGCUCCCUUCUUCACAAGCAAUUCAGUCACAUCUGUGUGGCCAGAUUCCACCGCACAAUGCAAAGCUGUGUACCCAUCUUCAUCUUUAGCAUCAACAUCAAUCCCUUUAUCAAUCAGAAUCCUCACAACCUCAAUCUUUCCCUUAAACGAAGCCCUAUGCAAAGCAGUCCAUCCAUGUAGGUCUUUCCCAUUGAUCGCGGCGCCUGCUUCGAUCAACCUCUGCAUUGUCCUCACUUCCCCUUUCCUAGCGGCAAUACACAGGCUGUCACCAAGCUUCAACGCGUCAAAGAGACGGGAGUGACCGCACUCAGCAGCAACAUCAUAAGCGGUCUUUCCGCUCUUGUUUCUAAUAUAUUUAUUAGCACCCUUCUGCAAUAACAGCUUCACCAUUUGCUCAUAUCCCAAGCUUGCGGCGAUAUGCAAAGGCGUGUCACCGUCUCUAGCGUUGCGUAUAUCAGGCCUUGCUCCGUUUGCUAACAGAAGUCUCGCGCAAUCUCUUCUUCUGUCUUCAACCGCGAGAUGCAGAGCUGUGUUACCAUCUUUUGUUAAAGCAUUGACAUUAGCACCUUUGAUUAAGAGAAGCUUUAGUACUUCCAAAUGGCCGCCUCGUAAGGCCAAGUGUAUGGGCCCCCAUGUUGAUGUUCCUGAUCUUUCUGUGCUGGCUUUCCUCGCCAACAAGAGCUCAACAAUAAGUGCUUCCCCUGCAGCCGCCGCGGCUUCAAGUGGAGUACUGCAGCCACACCUGCCUUGAGACUCAACAUCCGGCCCAAACUCAAGCAAAAGUUGAACAAUAUCAGGCCUCCUUUGAGCUAUAGCAAUAUGAAGCAACGUUUGUCCCUGCGCAUCGGCAGAAUCAGCCGGGUUCCAAGCCGGGUCACUCCGCUCAAGAACCUCUCUUAAAUCAUCCAUUUCACCAUCCUUAACAAGCAGAACCAAAACAGGAGACCCAACGAACAUGAUCUUGAUUCCGCUGUCGAUGAACACUUGCUUCUUCCUCGUUGUGAACCAGUCACUGGGGACGGAAUCAAGCGUCGACGUUGCAUCUUUAAUUCCAGCUCCAGGAACAACAACGCUGUGCAAGAGGAAGGAAUCAUCACAGUGAGGGAAAGAAUCAGGAAGAACCGAUCCUGGAGGGAGAUGAUACGCAAUCUCUACGCUUAGUGUUGCGAGUGGUGAUAUGAUUCCUGAUUGCGGCUUCACAGUAUAACGAGCCUUGUUUGUAGGCUGAAUCCUGAAAGCAACAGGCAUCGUGUGCAUGACAUUGCGGAGAGUCAGCUCCCCGGAACAUUUCUGCCCUGGUUCAAUUCUGAUAGCUACAAGGUUCGACGGCUCCAAGCUUACAAGCCUAUCCAUUGAUUAAUUUUCUCUCCGUUUCCCAAGGACUGCUGAAAGGGGUUCUUUGAACUUUUUGAUUCAGGCUUAUUUUCUUCACUUUUGGUGGCAUGGGGAGGAAUUAGAGGAGUAACUGUAAGAGCUGCAAGUGUUGGUGUAAUCAACUGUAAUAUAAGGAGAAGAGAGGGCCGGCUCUAAUGGGAGACUGCCACGUGGUGGUGUUAAAAACAAUGAGACUUGUUCUGUUCGGCGUCCGGAGUGUAUAUACAGUUGUGUUAGUGGUGAAAGUUAAAGAAAUCCUGAAGUUAUUUUCGGAGUGGCUUCUGCAAAGUCACUUUCAGGAUUGUAUUGUAUCAUUAAAAAACAAAGCCAGUUUUUGUUGUUCUAGUAAAAGGCGAAUCAUUGGACAAACUCGUAAGAAUAUGUUGCCAAAUGUAUAAAAUAUGAAAUUCAAACAAUGAUUACAAUGUGAAAUUGGACAAUGGACAUGGCCUGUGUGAAUUGUUUUGUGGGCUUACUAAUUAAAUUAAUUCACUAAAAAUAAUGUCACUUUUGUGUCUGUGAAGAAGCCGAAAUGGCACAGUCAUUUACGUGGCCAACUACGGUGACUACUUCGUCAGUAGCUGCUCGAGCACUUGGUCAGCACAAGUUGCUUUCUUUCUUGGCGGGAUUAGUUUUUCUUCAUUGCUUUAAGUGGUGCAUUUCUGCAGUUUCAUUUUGCUUUGCUUAUGCCAUUGGAUUUGUGCCCCAUAAAUAAAUAUAUAAUUAAGCGGAAAAGUAUCAAAUUUUGAAAAAGCUUAGGUUUUGUGUGUGUGUGUGUGUGUGUGUGUGUGUGUGUUUUAAGCCGAAUUACUCGGCUAAAAAUUAAUCCGAUUAUUAUUGUUUUGGUGCUUAAGAUGUGACUCUAACCUAAAGCUCAUUUGAACUCUCUUGAUGCUCAUAUGGUAUUUUUUGUGUUGUGUCGUGCUGGCCCUUACACAUCUCGGCUCAUAUUUUUCAUGUUACUAAGUUCUAAUAUGUACAAAAGAAAUAGAGCAAUGUCCGGUGGUAGAUCCAAACACUCAAUUUGGGGUGCUUAUUUUUCAGUCUCAAAUUCGAUUAUUUUCUUUUAAAAUAUUAAAAUAAUAGUAAUAAAAUACUUAUUUUAAAUACUGAGCUCAUUACAACCACAUAUGUAAAAGUAUCAUUUAUAUUUUUUUUCUAAAUAAUCUUCACAAAAUAUUUUAAAAAAUAAAAUUAUGUGACUAUGGGGAUUUGAACCAAGUCUCUCAAACUACUAAAUAACACUUUUACCACUAAAUUACAAAUCUUUUAACAUAUUAAAAGUGCAUCCAAAUUAUUAUUAUUAUUUAAUUAUUUCAUAAGAGAUUUGGGGCACAUUUAAAAGAAAAAAAAUUAAUGGUGCAUAAAGGACUAAAGCCUCUCUUGAGUCCUUGACCUUAACUAGGUCCACCCAUGGUAAUGUCAGUGAUACCCAACUUGAAAAAUAUACAAGAAACUUGGAAAUUUAAAUUAAUGAAUAAAUAAAUAAAUAAAAGGAAACUUAGUGAUUGUAGCUGUUGUAUUGUAUUGUGGAUCAAAGAAUUACAAGUUCUUGGUUUCUCGGUAUUGGCUAAUUUUGAAGUUAAAUGAAGUUCGAAAAUAUUUACAAGCAAUAAAAUUAUCAACUGAAUGAGACAAGGAAAGAGUAUAAAGACCUUAGCAAAUUAGCAAUCCUUCUUUAAUUUAGUAACAGUGACGCUUAUAAAGUUAGAAGACGUAUCAAAUCUAAUUUAGAUUUUGCCCCAUAAAACUAACUUAACUUAUAGUGCGUCUUUGUUUAAUUAGUAAAUAUUCCACAAAAACUGAUCAGCACUUUAUAGGAAAUUCCAAACACGUUUAUAUUCACAAGGAAUAUGUCAAGGAGAAAUGAGAAUAAAAAAAUGUAAAAACUAAUAAAGCUUCAUUAAUUAGAAUUUAUAACCAUAUGUGCUCCUAUACUACUUUUAUUAUUAAGAAUUUGAAGUAGAAGGUAGUUGAUUAUCAUGAAAUUACAAAAUUGUAAACGGAUUUGUUCUUUUGGAAAAAGAAAAAAAAAAAAAAAGGAAGGAUAGUUGAUUACUUGAUUAGUGAGAAAUCAUACGUAUAAAGGACAAAUUGAAAAAUGGGACCUGAAUUGCAACAAAGCUUCAUUGGAAUUAACUGCCGAUAAAAUUAAAUUAGUAUCACCCUACCCUUUCAUCUUAAUAUAUUCGAAAUUUCACCGAUCAAAGUUUCUAGCUUCGAUUUUUACGAUCUCUCAUCCUAAUAACACCAAAAGCAUAUUCAUUCGUUUGUAAGAUUAUGUAACAAAAUAUAGUAAAUAGCCUAUAAUUUUUUUGUUUUACUACUAACCUGUUAUCAUUCUUUUCUAAUAAUACAUGUUAAAAUAUUCACAGAAAAAAUUUAUCCCUAUUACACCCAACCACCUUUUUUUGUGUUUUUUUUGUUCAAAUUUUAGCAUUAAAGGGACAAUAAUGUCCUAUGAAAUAUGCAGAAAGACAGUUAAUAAUAUUCAAAAAUGUAAGUGGAGGUAUCUUACGCCACACACACAAAUUACACGACUCUCAUUAAUGUGUUGUUGUUGUUAUGUGUGGCGUAAGUUACAGUUGAAUGUCAUAUUCAAAAAAGUAAGUGGAGGUAUCAAUCUCCCUAAAUAAAUAAUUUAUGGAAGGUUGUUAGCUGUUGUACUUUUAGUUAAUUUUAAAAUCACAAUAAUAUGGUUAAUGUUAAGUUACAUGCAUGUAACUUAGGAGGAUCCCAAUAAUAUACCAUAUUUUAUUAAUAUGUACAGUAUUUAUAAUAUUUAAAAAUUAAGGAAUUAAUGUACGCAUGUAAAAGCUGCAUUGGAGCCAGUUGGAAAUCUUACUGUCUUGAUAUAUGCAACGAUUGUAGCAGCUAAAAAGGCAUGAUAUUUACUUAAUAUUAUUUCAAACAAUAAUUAUUUAUUUAAAGCAAAUAAUAAUAAUGAGGGCAGAAGGACUAUUCUAGGAUCAAUAUGGUGACAGUAUAAAUAAAUAAUAUUAAUUAUUAAUGCAUUGAUGAGUAUUGUUAAAAUGACAUAAUAGGUUUGUUUCAUUGAAUUGAACCUUUUCUCUUAAAAUAGCUAUAAUUUGUUCUCUCUCUCUCUGUGUUUUUGUUUUUGUUUUUCACUUUAGUUUUACUUCUCUUAAAAAACCAAAAAAAAAAAAACAAAAUUAAUGGAAACUGAUGAUGGGAAGACGGACAAUUUUCUAUAUUGUUAAAUAGAAAUGGGCACAAAUGUGAGUUUUUUGGGGCAAAAAAAUAUAGUCAAUGUACGUAGCGUUUGUCUAUUUGAAAACCCGUCAAUAUAAAAACAGGACGUAAAGCUUUCAGACAAAGUACUCUUAUGGCCGUACUUUCCAUAAACCAAAUCAAAAGAAGGAAAAUAUUUGUGUCUGGCUUCGAUGCGACUGUUAACAUUCACAAAUAAACACCUUUGCAUGGUCAGAAAAAUUAACAAGAAAUUAGAAGGCGAUGUUGCGUUCUACUUAGUUCUCUAGGAUUUGUGUCAUUUGUUUAUGCUACGGUUCGUUCCCAUUUGCAUUGCGUGGAAUAAUUGGCCGAAUAUUAUUAAUCUCAAUCUUAAUCUCUCAACUCUUGUCCCUUUAAUUUUUGUUUGUAUCUUUUUCUUUUUUUUUUUAAAUAUCACAUACAAUGCUUUUAAUAAAUAACUUCAUAGAAAUAUUUAAUAAAAUCCAACAUAUAUAAGUUCAAGAAACUCAAAAAAUAAAAGAAAAUAAACUCACGUUGUCACUGGAGAGACUCAAACAUGCUACCUUAAAAUUAAGUAGAGGGUGCAACUACUUGCACUUUAAAAAAAGAAAAGAAAAAAAAAGGGGCUUUGAACGCUCGUGAUAAUUUGCAAGUUAUGGAGGAUAAUCAUUGUACAAUGGGGAGAACUCUUAUGGAACAAUAUUCAAACUGAUAUUGAAAGCAUAUAAGAAUUUGGCUUGGGUGUUUUGGUGCCAUGAAUGAGUGCAGAAACAAAGAGGAAGCUUUGUCCCUUUAAUUUGAUCUGCUGUAUUAUAAUUAUUGAGAUUAAUCAAAUAAAUAACCGAAACAUGGUUACAGUUUUAUAGUGUAUUGCAAGUCUUUGGAGAUACUAUGUACCUCAAAAAAAAAUAUCGUAUAAAAGAGUGUUUUGUUUCACAGGGGUUCAAUGAGAUUUGAGAUGGCUGUAAUGAAAGUGAUGUAAAUUUUUUGGACUCUAAUGAGGUGUUUUUAGAUGGAGGGGGAUUUACAAGUAUUUUAUAGGGGUGAUAAAUGACUGUAUACCCACCAAAAAGGCCCAUUGUUCGAGUCCAUGAGCAUUACAGUUUUUUUUUUUUUUUUUUUUGAAAUUCAGAACAUGCAGUUUGUUUGAUUCAACUUCCGAAUUACAAAAUUAGAAUAAGAAAAAAAAAUGUGGAUGUUUUUUCUUUAAUUUACAUAAUAAUACAUGGUGUGGACGAUGUCUAUUGAGGGAUAAAAGAGGAAUGGGGGCACUGUGAAGUUUGUGUUUUUGUUUUUUUUAAAUUAUCAUAUUCAUACUGUCUAUAAAAAUAUGCAAGUUAAAAAAUUACUCAUGAUAUUGUUGUUUUUGUUUCAUAUAAUACUACUUAUGCACAUCGCCUCAUGCAAACAUUUCUUAGUUAUGCUUAAAAAAAUGAGAUUCUCACCAUGGGUCACUGUAAAAAUCCACAGAAGCCGUGGAUCACAGUAGGAAGCCCACUUGAACAGAAGAAGCUACCGAAAGCUUCGACAUUGUAUUUAUGAAAUGCUUAGUAAAUUUUGUUUUAUUUUGAAUUUAUAUUAUAAAUGGUGUGUUGCUAAAUUAAAAAAUAAAAAAGAAAUGCAAUGUGUCAAAAUACAAGAAUCUUACGGACAUUUUUGUCACAAUAUAUGUAAAUAAUUCAUAUCUUAUUCAUAUCCUAUGUAAGCUUCACUUGUUUAACACAAUGGUGGUUGAAUCUUCAAAAAUUCAUAAUCUUAAACAACCAAAUUUGGAAUUAAUUAAGCAAAUUGCCUCUAUAAAUUGAUUACAACAACCAACGACGUGUGAAGCCACAUGUCAAUUUCCCUAGACAGCCCAAAUAUUGAGGCGCUGUGAGGGAGCAAGGUGCAAUCGGAUGGGGGAAAGAGAGAGAGCCAAUGGUGAGAAUGGAUCGUGGUGAGGGAGAACCAACUGGUGGUGAGAUUUGUGGCUUCAAUGAGGUGAGUUUCGUGGCGCUGUGAGUGAAGUGAGAUUUGGCAUGAGUGUGAGGGAGAAUGCGUGUGUUGUGUGAGUGAGGUAAGCUGUGUCUGUUGUGUGCAUGGAGACUCUCACCACAAUUAGAAUUUAUAGUUAGCACAGAACGAAACACAAUAUUCUACGCUAACUGUGGAGUUAACCAUGGUGAGAAUAUCAUUAUUGUUUAUUAUAACACUUUUUUUUUUAAUUUGUUUUGACAAUAAAAUAAAGAACCUUGUAAGAAAACCUCAAUAACUCAAUUAAAAAACCAACUCAACCGAUGAUAGGUAAAUUGAGAAAUUUUCAACUAAAAAUUAUUAAGAUUGGUUUUAACUUCAAAUCAUAGUCACAUAGUUUUGUCCUUAUAAAGAUCAAAAUAAUGAAUUCUAACUCCGAAGUUUUUAGAUUUAUGUGACGAACUGACGAUAGUAUAUUGAAAUCGAUUGAAAUGAAAAAUUUAAUUAAAUGCAAUUCAAGAUGUAGUAUCAAAUUCAAACGAUUCGGAUUGUUUUAAAAAUUUCAAUGCUUUAAUCUAAAUCGAUUAAUCAAUUACACUCUUGCAAUUAUAUACCGUUAAAACUAAAAUAUGUAAAAUUUAGGGUGCAUUUAUUACCAUUUUCAAUUUGUUGUUUUUCGUUUUAUGAAAAGGAAAAUACAGAAAACUUGUUUGGUGAGCUCAUAUUGGUGGAAAACUGUACAGUGAUUAAAAACAAAAAAAAAUUCAUUUUUCAAUGUUUACAAAGGAAACAAGAAAACGCUAUUACACUGGGUUCUCUAUUUUAUUUCACUUUUACUCUCUGCCAAGGCCCUACCAUCUUAACUUUUAUAACAUGGUGUAAUAAAUUACGUGGGCCCAUUUAAUAAAGAAAUAAUCUAAUAAAUAAAUUAUUAUAACAAAUAUUUAAAAAUAAUAGCAUUCCAUACCUUACAGCUUAAUUACUUAAUAUAUUACCCAAAUUAUUUUAAAUAAAAAGUGAUAUCAUAUAAUUAUUAUACUAAAUUAUUACAUUGUUCGACCAAUAUGCAGUUAUUUAAAAAUUACUACAAACUUUCUUACAUAUAUUAAUGAAAAUAUAUCAAUAAUAAAGUUACAUCUUGACAGUUAAUAUAAAUAAAUAUAUGAUAAUUAUGAAAUAAUUAAAGAUUUUCUCAAUUAAUAUUAUCUUAUAACUACAAUUUAUUUACAUAAUUAAAAGUUUUUAAGAAAUUAUUAAAAUAUCUUCAAACCUAUAUGCAUUUAUAAUAAUAUAUAAUACAUCAUAAUAUAAUAACUAAAUAGAUAAAUUAUUUAUUAAUAUAAAAUAUAUGUUUAUAUUCAUUAUAUAAUAUUAUUCUUUCAUAGUAGUUUCAUUAAAUAAUUCUCUACUCUCUCUCUUUUUAUCUUUAUUUUUUCGGACAGACAAGUAACCAAACACCGCUUCACCUUUUUUUUAUUUUCAAAUACUAUUCUUAAAAUAAACUACCAAACAUAUUUUUAUUUUUAACAAAAACUAAUCAUUUUUAUUUUAUAAAACAAAUUGAAAAGUACUAUUUAAAAUAUAAUACCAAACUUACCCUUAAUAAUUUUAUAUUUGUCAAAAAGAUGAGAAGCUAAGUGGCACUAUCGUUUACCUAUUCAAACUAAACGUGGAGUCACAAUAUUGAAGACACUUUGGUGGCCACAACACUCUUUUCUUUAGUACGGAACAAUCUGGCUUACAUGACACUACAUAAAAAUAAAUAAUAAAAAAUCACCGAUUCCAACUGCCCCGGACAAAAAACAGGCCACACGUAAAAAGGCUUCUAUUUUUAUUUUUAUUUCUCCCCAUUUUAAAGAUGACGUCAUGGUGAUUAUGAAACCAGAAAAUAACAAAUUUUAGUUGUCUGAUUUUGUAGUUAUCCAGCGAAAACUAAAAAAACAGUGAACGCAGCAGCAGAUCUCCGUGUUUGUCGUCGUUCGAUGAGAGAUUCCGAUUCGUGAGCAUCGCAAGUGUUGAAAUGGAAUCAGACGAAAUGAGGAGUUAGCCUCUUAUUAUAUAAUAAUAAUAAUGAUAAUAAUAAUAAUAACUAAUCUCUUUUAUCAUAUAAUUGAUAAUGGAAAUUCACAUUGACAAAAGGCAAAUUACACACUGACUGGGCAGAAUAAAAAACAGUCUCUCUCAAAAGCAAUAAUUUAAACACUAACACCACCUUAAGGAGACACCCCAAAAAUAAAGCAGCAAGCUCUUACUGUGACCACACACACACACACACACCAAACUUUUAUUAUAGAAUAAAUCUAAGAUGAUGGAUGAUGGAUGCGUCACAUAAAAGUUAAUUAAUUUAAUCGCUGUCACUGCUGCUGCUGCUCUCGUGUCCGUCCUCGUGCUUCUUCUUCUUCUCCUUCUUUUUCUUCUUCUCUUCACCGUGGGCGGCGCCCUCGCCGCCGCCGACACCGGGGAUCUUCUGCUUGAUCUUGUCCACCAAGCCCUCCUUGUGUUCGCCCUCCUUGUGUUCCCCGCCGUGAUGCUGCUGCUGAUGGUGAACAUCAGUAGUGCCGACACCGGGGAUCUGCUGCUUGAUCUUGUCCACCAAGCCCUCCUUGUGUUCGCCGCCGUGAUACUGCUGCUGAUGGUGGACAUCAGUAGUGUGGUGGUCCCCACUAUGGUGCUCUCCCUUGUGCUUGUCCUCCUCCUUUUGCCCUCCUCCCAUGUGAAGGGCUUCUCCGAUCUUGUGAAUAACUCCUGACAUUUUCCCUUAAAAUGACUCUGUUCCUCUUCUUUUCUUUUCAAUGAAAAAUAGUUGUUUGCGAUCUUCUUCUGGUUGUUGUUGUUCUUGUUGGGUGAUCUUGGCUUGGUAUUUAUAGGCUCCAAAAGGAGGGACUAGAAUUAGGAUUAGAUUAUAGAUUAUUUUAAUACAUUUUAUGGCAAAUUCUGAUUUGGAAAGAUAAGAUUAUCCUUUUGGUUUUCCUUAUUUACCCUUUUGCACCCAUUACGUGUACGCGUCUUCGUGGGCUUUUUGGGUAUUUCAAUUAUAUCGCCAAUGCUAAAUCGACACGUUGCAUAUCAGCCGCGGUACUGCCGUAUGUAGUUGUCCAGAAAUCGAGUCGAUUCUCGAUCGUACAAUAAUUAAAUAAUAUUUCAUACGAAAUGAGUUUAGAUAUAUUUUGAAAAUUUAUUUUUAAUUUAAUUAUACGUGUUAUAUAUUUGUUAAUCGAAUAGAGGUCCCACGUAACAGAGUGUUUCUCUAAUCUUUCAUUGCUUUUAAUUAAUUUUACCCAAAUAAAAAAAAAAAGGAAAAUUUAGAGAGAGAGAGAGAGAUAGCGAAUUAGAAGUUGAUUGUAAUAUCGACACCUGUCAGACAAUCAAAUAUCGUUAGUUAAAAAUCAGUUGUCCAUAGUCAUGGUCAUAGAUGGCGAAAUUGAUACUUAUUUUAAAAAACAAAACAAAACAAAACGAAACGAAACUAAACUAACAGAUGUUGAAAUGCAGUUCCGUGUUAACAGUCUGUGAUGAAUCUUUAUCUUUGAGUAUACCAUUCAAGAAAUUAUCAUUCAAAAAUUUAUUUAAAGCAGCAGCAAAUCACCUUCUAAUUCCUGAAUCAAAUUAAUUCGAUUUUUUUCGAGUCGAUCAAUUCAUUAGAGAAUUAACGGGCUAAGUUAAAGUUUUGUUAGUUAUUUUUUUUUAUAUUCCUUUAGAUGAUAUGAUUGUCAUUGUCUUUCUUUCUCUGGGCAACAAUAAAUACAAGAUGUGCAAAAGCGUAGUGGAACAUAAUUCGAUUAUGGGUAAAGGGAUCAGUCCGCAUAAUGAGGAUAAAGUUUUUCUCUUUAAAAAAAUUUAACCCAAAGAAAAGGUCGUAGUUUGUAAUAGCCGACACGCAGAUAGAUCACAAAGCAUGGCGGUCCUGAUGGCAAUAACUAACUGAUAUCUUCUGCGAUGAGAGGAGAUCACGUGGUUCUGACACGUAUCGCCCCAUCAACUGAUGUUGUGGCUGCAAUCGCGGCCCAGUCUUUAGAGAGAAGAAAGAUCUGUUAUAACGGGACCUACUUUAGCAUCUAUUUACGACAAAGCCCCUAUUUACUCUACUUAGUAGUAAUAAUAGCAAGUGUCGGGCUUGGAUUCCGUGUUGCUUUAAAUAAAUAUCCGCGUAAAAAGAAAAUGCUUCUUUAAUCCCUUCCUUGUAAUUUUUCGACACGUGGAUGGUUGAAAUUAGCGUGCCGACAUCUUAGGAAUUUUAUCUUGGAGACGGGAACACUGCAGUAGGCAAUGCCAUUUUCUUCGGAUGGUGUGUGGUGACAACGCCUUGGAUUUUGACGUGCAAAGAAUUUAAAUUGAAAAAGAAAAAAAGAAAUUACCAGAAUAAGCAUAGAAGAGAUAUUUUUCUUUUUGUCCUUUUUGGAAUGGAAAAAGAGAUCAAGAGAUUGUUCCAGUAAGUAUUACACAUGUCACAGGCUUAUUCAUGCCCCAUUAUGGCAACUUUUAUGCCUCGCGGUGCCCUCGGUUCCAGCAUAAUAGCUAAGACUUCAAUUUUUCUAACAUAUUUUUGUUACAAAUAUGAACGGAGUAAAUGUAUAACUUUAAUCCUUUGAAUAAAGAAAUGGCGGUUCUCCUGCUCGUUAAUCUCACUUGAAUCCCACCCAGGCAAAAUUUCUUUAUUUUAUUUAACAACAAUUUAAAGAAAGAAACUUUUGCCAGGUUGAAUUUCAAGUGAGAUUCAUUCGUGGGAGAAGUGCCAUUUCUUUAUUCAAAAGAUUAUGGUAAUUACAACUUUCAAUUUCGACAUAAAUUAAAAUUAUAGGCUAUACAAUAAAAUUGCCCUAAAUUAGUCCUAAUCAAUUCAGAUUAUAAAUUUAGGUAUAUUUAUUAUUUUAAUAUAUUAAUGUUCUAUAUAUAUAUAUAUAUAUAUAUAUAUAUGUGUGUGUGUGUGUGUAUNNNNNNNNNNNNNNNNNNNNNNNNNNNNNNNNNNNNNNNNNNNNNNNNNNNNNNNNNNNNNNNNNNNNNNNNNNNNNNNNNNNNNNNNNNNNNNNNNNNNNNNNNNNNACAGCAGAAAAUAUUUGCUAUGGAUAAGGAGACAUGGUCCCACGUCCCACCGUCCCAAUGCAUAUUUUGUAUGUUUCCAUCUUUUCUGAAAUUUUAAUAAAUAAAGUUUUUUGACCACUUGGCCAAAGAACCUUACCCUUACACAACUUUGUGGUUGGAGUCCUGUGAUACAUGUAAGAACUUAUUUUUUUUCUUAAUUAUAAUAUUUUAGAAUAUAAUUAAGUGAAGUAGGUUUUUUUUUUAAAUAUGAGUAAAAUAGAUAUUUUUUAAAUAUUAAAGAGAGUAAAAUUUGAAUAAUAAUAUAUUAAAAUUAAUACAAACUAAUUUUAAUAAUUAUUUAAUUAUAAAUAUCAAUUAUAACAUCAUAUAAUAUCAAUUAUAAUAUCGUACAUCUCAAUUAAUUCAAUAAUAAUAAUAAUAAAUGUUUUUUGGGAUAAGUAAACAGUCGCAUGGCGACAAUAGUGGAUCUGGAUUAGAGUGAAGUGGUCCCAAGAGGCUGAGGCUGUGGCUGUGGAGUUCUAAAAGUCAAAAGCUCCACGCACUUUGUUUCAGUACCAUACACACUGAAAAAAUUUGCAUUUGCAAUGACGAAAACUUUUCACGAAAUCAAAACACCUCUAAACUAUUUUGUUAUCGAUAUUUAAUGGAGGGGUUUCCUACCUUUUUAACACUCGAUUCACGCCUUGACGCAUCUCACAGAAAACCUCAUGAUCCCAUUAAUCUUGCGUAACAUAUCUCAAAGCCAAUGCAAGUGAUCUUGUUGCCUACUUCCCUUUGACGAUUCAAAAUUGUUGAAAAUAAUUCUUUUUUUUUUUAACCUCAAGGAAGUGACAAAAUAUAAAAGAAUAUUUUCUACACAUUAAACAUCUAGAUUUUUUUUUCUUUUCUUUUUAGAGUACUUGCACAAACCGUUUCCAAGAGAGACCUUUUUUUUUUUUUUUUUUUUCCGGGCUUGGUUACUAAUUUGGUGUGAAUACUCUAUGGUGAAAAAGGAAUCACAAAGCUGUAAUCAAUUUUUUUGCAUCAUUUAGUUGUAACUUGAACAUUGGGAGGUUUAUAAAGAAUUAAAUUAAUUAUAAUGCCUCUACUAGGAAAAGUUCAGAGUAGCCCUUCACAACUUUUUAAAGGCUUAAUAAUUUUCGCUUUCUUCCUCUCAUAACAUAACAAAAAAUUAAGAGCUUUACUCGUACACGUCCUAUGGCUAUAUAGUAUUGGGUUCUCUACUUCAAUCGGCUAUCUCAAACCGAAGGUUAUUUGGACACACCAGCAGUCACGUUUGGAAACUCUCAAAUGCUUGGAUUGUAAUUCUUGUGGAUGAGAUCAUCUAAAUCUUGGGCCCAAGCCGGACAAUGGGUGGACAAAGAACCCUAAAAUACAGUAAAGCUUCUAACACCCCACUAAAACUCUUAAGAAAUCCUACCUUUUAUUUUUAUAUCUCUUUCUUUUAGAAAUUAUAGAGAAGACAUAGCAUUUUAAUUAUUUUCCCUGCCAUUGAAAAUAAAUUCUGUAAACAUAUUUUUUCAUAAUAAAAUUAUUGUUAUUAGAUAAUUUAUUUCUUCAUUGUUUCAAAAUUAUUAUAAUUUUAUCAACAAAAUUAGUUAUGUCAUAUAUUAGGAUUAAAAUUAAUUAGGAUCCAUAACUUGUAAAGACAUUUUAGUUUAAUUGAAUUCAUAUUUGUCAUUUUAUGUAAUUUUCAAUAAAAAUACGACUAUGAGUGCAAAAGUGGGAUGACAUAAUAUUAAAAGAGUGUGAAAUAAUCGGUAAUUGAAAUGGAUUGAAAUCAUAAUAGAGUAUGAAAAUCAGAAUAAAUUGUUUACUUUAGUUGUAGAAAUCAAAAUUAAAAUAAACCAUAUUAUCAUUGAUGUAUAUAUGUUUUCUUGUAAUCGAAAUGAAUUCUUAUAAGUUACUAUAAGACCCUUAUGGUGUGUUUACUAAUCAGAAAUCAGAAUGGAGUGGAAUUUGAAUAUAGAAUGGUAGGGGUAUUCGCGGAUCGGAUUUUACGGAUUGGACAUUAAUUCAUAUCCGAUCCAUAAUUUUACGGAUUAUAAAUUCUCAACACAAUCCAAAUCCAAUCUAUAUGUUUGCAGAUCGGAUGCGGAUUUGACUCAAUUCAUAUCCAAUCCACUAUUUGACGGAUUGAUUUUGGAAUUAAAAAUUUUUAAUUUUGUCCAAUCUAUGAGGUAAUUAAAUUUAAAAAUCUAAUAUAAAAAUAAUUUAUUAAAUAAAAAAUUAACGUAAAAAUAAUUUUACUACCAAUUAAAUUCAAAAUUGAACAAGAUUUAAAUAAAUUAAUUAUUUAAAUAAAACUAGAAUAAUUUAUUUAAAAUUUUUAAAUAUAACAUAUCGAAAAAAAAUUCAUUUGUUUAGAUUAAUAUAUGAAAAUUAACUAAAAUUAUGAAUUUAAAUGUUGAAAUUUGAGAGCUUGGAUGUAACAGGAAGAAAUUAAGAAACUUGAAGAACUUGAAAAGAAAGUAACAAAUUAAGCUUAACUACCUCUAAUGGUGAAGUGAAACAGUGAUGGUUUGUGCGUGCAAUGGGGUACAAAUUUGGCAUUAUAUGCCAAAAUAUUUUGUUUGGCUUUAGAAUUUUUAAUGUUUAGGAAGCUAUAUUUGUUUAUUUAAUUACUCAAAUAUUUAAUUAUUUUUUAUUUUAUGUUAUUAUUGAAUAAGAUAUAAUAUUGUGUUAAUUUAGCUAUACUUUAAUUAAUUAAUUAAUUUAUUAGUAAGUAGCAUUGCUACAUUUAUAAGUUUUAUUUUUUAUUAAAUAAAUACUUUUUUUUUUCAGAUUCACGAAUUUUUACGGAUUUACAGAAAUAAAUCCAUAUCUAAUCCAUCGACUGUGGUUUUUUAAAUUUUCAUUCCAAUCCGAUCUACCAAUCCACAAAUUAUAUUUUUACGGAUCGGACGAAUUGAGCGGAUCAAAUUGGGUUCUGAACACCCCUAGAGAAUGAGAAUCAAAAUAAAUUAUUUACUUUAGUUGUGUGAAUCGGAAUUGGAAUAAAUUGUACUGUCAUUGAUGUGUUUACUUUAUCUUGGAAUCAGAAUGAAUAAUUUCAAAUUACUAAACUGACCUUAAUUUUUUAUUGUAAUAAUAAUAGUAGUAGUAGUAGUAAUAGUAGUAAUUUUCUAUUAUUAUUAUUAUUUUCUCUCUCUUUUGUUUUUAUUUUUUUAUUUUUCUCUUCUUCUUCUCUUCCUCUUUUUUUAUUUUUCUCUAAUUCAUCGAUACUUCUUCUUCUUCUUUUUUCUUUCGUUUUUAUUUUUAAUUUUUCCCUUCUUUAUCGUUCCUUCUUCUCCGUCCAUUCUCUAUCUUCAAACUCUUUUUACUUUUUCUCUUAUUCUUCAUUACUUCUUCUCCCUUUUUUUUUUUUUUCUCUUCUUUAUUAAUUCUUCUUCUUCUGCGUCUAUUCUUCAUCUUCAAAUUAUCAAGUGAAAAAUACCCACGGUGCCUUACAAGAAGAAUUGGUUUUGUUUGCUUCAAUUAUUUUUUGUAUUUUGUACUUUUGAUUGUUUCAAAAGAGGAUAAACUUGUAAUAAUGCAAUUUAAGUAGGGAUGUUUUAGACAAUUUUGGGUAUGAGAGUCUAAUUCCCAACCCCCCACUCCCUCGUAGCAGACUCCCAUUCUUCAUUCCUAACUUGGUGUUGGACCUACUAAAAUAAAUCCCAUUCCCCUUCUUAUUUCAAGAAGCAAACACGAUUUUGAUUUCAAUUCCCCAAUCCGAAAGUAAACGCACAAAAAUUGUACCCAUAUGAGAUUGCUUAUCCUCGAGUUUUUAGAUUGAAAAAAAAAAAGGAAAAAAGAAUGGCCCCAUUAGGAAGGGAUUUUAAGUGUUAGAUAAAGCCGGUGUUAACCAUUAGAAGGUCUCCGACCUUCAACUGUAAUAUAUUAAACCCAGAUAAAUUUACAUAUAAAUCACACAAACCAACAUGCCAAUCAAAUAAAUUACAUCAACUAACAACAAUUGACACAUUAAUUUUCAUAAUACAGAGGAUGCAGAAAAUUAAAAUGUUUUAUCUUUUCUCCUUAUUUGUGAAUUGGAAAAUGAAAAUGUUAAACAUACAGAAGAGUGAAACAGGAUGGAUAUAUAUACACACACACACACACACAGCUUUGGAGUUCAAUGUCAUCGUAUUGCUCCAAGAAGAUUGGCGCCAUCAAGCUUUGCACCUUCCAGAUGCUGUUUAAUCAUCACCAUAACACCUUCAGUAGACAUUAAUACAUAAUAGAAACACAAAAUUCACAUGAUCUGAAUGUCUGGUCUAUUUUACUUACCGUAUCUCGAAGAUUUACGUGCCGUAAAUAAGCUCUUUGAAGGUUGGCACCCUUUAAAUUGGCAUUACGUAGCUUUGCACCCUGCCGCAUAAAUGUUCGAAGUUUCAACAAAUUAAAGUCUCCUGAGAAAUACAUGUCACGAAAAAGUAGGGCUGAAACUUGCAUCUAAUGUACAAGAUUCAAUCAGGGGUGCUUGUCCCACAGUGAAAGUGUAUGGGGGAAAGUGCACUUUCACAAACCAAAGGGGCAAGAUGUGAUUAUCACACGAUUACAAAAGGACUGUAGUCAAGAGAGAGAACUGAACAUGCAGCUUGUAUUGAGGCCAUGAAAAUUGAUGAAAAGCAGUAACAAGCAACCAUUUUGAAAACACUUCAUAUGGUCGAAUCAAUAAAUCAAAGCUAAAAUGAUGUUGACGAUCGAUAGCUUUUAGGUGAUAAGAGUCUUGGCACUACAGUUAAAAUUAUUAUCUAGGAGUGCACACAUUAAUAAAAAAAAACACAACCAAUAAGCAUGCACUCUUAAUCAGCAUAUAAAUUAACAAGUUAGUUGCACCUUAUGUUGUUCCACAAACAGAUUGCUCGAACAAUUCACAAUCUUACCUUCAAAUUAGCUCCUUCCAAAUUAGCUCCCUCUAGGUUGGCAUUAGUAAGAUCAGCAGUCUGAAAAGUCAAGAGGACAAACAGAUUGCAAUUUGAUUAAAAUCUCAAAGUAGCAACAUUCUGCAUGAAAGAAGAGCAGCACAAUUGGCAACAUACAUUUUAGAUUAAGAGGAUGGGAUAAAAGCAAAAUUACAAGGACAUGAAGCAAAUGAGCCAUGUUUAGUAUGGCAAUUUUGACCCAAUAAUUGUGGCAGGUCUUGGAGAUAACAUAGGCAUACACAUAAGGCAGAAGCAAAUACUGUCGCAAACUCCUAGCUAACUACAAAUGUUCCAUAUAGAAAAAAACACCUGCAAAAGUAAGGGAAAAAGCAACAGAUAAAGAACUCAAGAUGCUAGACCUGUAAGUGUGCAGAUCGCAGGUCUGCUCCACAGAAGCUGCAGUCUAUCAAGCAAGCAUCUGCAAUGAUUUAAGAUAAAUUUGAAUCCAAAUGACAUUUUACCGCAAGUAGUUCCAGCCAUUUUGGGAACAAACAAGAAAUGCUAUUUUGUAUUCAUUGUAAUUCCUUAAGCUAAAUAACAAUCAUGUGCUAUCUUAACCAAGGUACAGUUGCAAAUUCUGAAAUUGUGAUGCCAUAGGUUGUUCUUAAUCUUUUUGAACUGAAUAUUGAAAAAAUAUUCCUUCAAUCAUAAAUGUUAAAUAAUUAAAAGAACUGUGAGGGGGGNNNNNNNNNNNNNNNNNNNNNNNNNNNNNNNNNNNNNNNNNNNNNNNNNNNNNNNNNNNNNNNNNNNNNNNNNNNNNNNNNNNNNNNNNNNNNNNNNNNNNNNNNNNNNNNNNNGGGGGGGGGGGGGGGGGAAUGAAUAAGCGGAUGCAUACAGAAAAUUAUGGAAAAUCUGUUAUGGAAAUAAUAUGAAAAUGGGUAUGCAUAACUACAUACUGAAUCUUGACUAAUUUCAAUUUAAUUCAGAUAAGAAAUUCCAGUAUGGGAAUUGCCUUGUAAAUUUGCACUCUGAAGAUUUGCACCAGCUAGUAAAGCUCCACGAAGGUUUGCCCCAGCAAAUUCACAUCUUCCCUAGGCAAGAUAAAACCCUUAAAAGGCAAUUUUGAAAAAUACAUAUAAUUGGGAGAAUAUCCAGUAUUGCUUUGACUCUCUUACUCACGCAAAGUUGCAUUGUGAAAAAUGGAACCCUCAGCAUCCACAUCCUGUAUCAAGAACAGACAGAUUCAGUAUGAUUAAUAUAACUGGUUGCUGGAAGACAGGACAAAAUCGCAUCUUGUCACUGUCAACUUGCAUGUUAAGAAUUAAACACGAAAACUGCAUGCUGUCCAAUUAUAAGAAACCUAUAAAAUUCAAAUCAACAUCAAUACUGGCUUAAGGAAGAUAUAAAAAUAAAAAUUAUACCAACCCGAAAUUUCGCAGAUUGAAGAUUUGCACGUGAGAAGAAAACAUUUCUAAGACACGCAUAGCUGAAGUCCACAAGUGAAAGAUCCUGGCCAUUUUAAUAAGAUAGCAUCAGAGGAAACAAUAUCUAAUGAAUAUAUAAUGUUCUUUCUUGCUUAUCUGAGAAUACUAAUGAGAUUAUCAAAAAAACUCUAAGCUACUGCUAAGAAGUCUUGUGUUACAUGAGUAUGAAUUGAGGAGGUAAAGAAGACCCUUCUCCAAUAAGUUACCAUAGAAGCCACAUAAAACCCUAAAGCAGUUACAAACUUACAAUGACCAGAAUAAACCACCCCAACUAUCUAUUGGCAAGUAAAAUCACUUCUCUGGAUUUCUGAAAACUAGCAAAACAAAUGCAUAAAUUGGCAAAUUCGAUGAUUUCCUCUGAAAACCAAAUUAUAGCAGACAUAAAACUUGGAAGUAUUCAUAGAAUAAAAAUCUUUCAAGCACCUCAAUUCAGUAAUUAUUACCAGCUUAGAAAGAUCAAGGCCAGAAAGAUUAAGUCCUCGAAAUCUGACUUUUUCAGACUGUAUACACUUGAUGAUAUCAAUGCGUGUUAGCUCAGUAUCUAACUCAUUAUCUUCCUUUCUCUUAUUUAUGACAGCAUGGAUUCUCUCAAUUAGUCCCUGAAAUGAAACACAUUAGAUGCAAACUAUUAUUUGAAAAAAGAAAUACAUUUUAUCCACUAACACACAUGGAUUUCAACAGCAAUCAUACAAUAAUUGAGGAAGGACGGUCAUAUCAGACUCAUCUGCCAAGAUUCAAUAAGCACAUCAAACUUGUUUACAUGUAAUUUCCACAUUCCACGUGAAUUUAUAAGGUCUGCCUAAGCAAACCAAAGAAGGCUACACUCAGUACUGUGUGUAUACUGCCUUACCUUUGCUGUUCCCCAGAUACCGUCCUGCAAUCCAGAUACUUAGCUGUGAAGUUUCAAGCCAGCGAAACCAUUUUAAAAGUACACAUGGACACAGAUACCAUUAUCUGAAUCAUCUUCGAUAACAAAUUAAAAUGCCCUAGCGUUCAAAAAACUUAGGAUCUCUUUAAGUGAAGUUCCUUUAAAAAAGUAGAAAAAAACUGAACAACAAUGUCAUGCUAAUAAAAGGUAAAAAAAAUAAAAUAAAAUAAAGCAUAAGGACAGAAGUUCACCAGGAGCAUGCCAGUAUAAACCAAAACGACCACAAAUCUCAACCAUAAAAUUUAAAGUAGUAAAGUAAAUAAUCAAGGGCAUGCAGUUGGCACAGGUGCUUCCAAAUAAAAUGAUGAUUCUUUUCAAACAGAAAAAAGAAAUGGAUGUUAAUAAACUAGAAGAAACCAUGUCUUACAAGUAAUUGAUAAUAUUCUGCUUCCCGUAGAAGCUCUAAAAACUCUGACUCUGUUAAUGUGGGGACAGCCCCAUCCCUUAACCAAUUCAGAAUAUGCCGAAAAUGUUUUCCGUCCCUAUCAACAAAGAUAUAGCCCUGCAAUAAUUCAAUAUGCUCAAAGAUAAGAAUCUGAAUAAUAUACCCAAGAGAAGUGCUUUUCCCUGGAAUAAUAAAAAGAAAAUAAGUCAAAACGUUUUUCUUAAUGGAAGAACACAAAGGAACAGCUCUAUGACUAACAUGAAAACCAUAAAUCAGAAUAAGAACCCAAAACUGGUCAUUUGGAGUUUCACCAGAUCAAAAAGAUCACAUGGAAAUAAAAUUGUGAAAAUGGGAUUAUUUAUGCCGAGGUCAUGGCUAAACUGCAAUCAUUACUCCAUUUUUGGUAGAAGGAGAAGAAGAAAGAAGAGUAGGUGAGUCAUCAUUCUUUCAGGUGAGUCAUCAUUCUUUCUCUGUGAUUAAUUGAUAUGAUGGAAGUGUUGUAGAUAUUAAUUUGAUAGUGAUUCCUCCCUUCAAAAGAAUUCAUUCCUUUUUUUAUUAUUUCACAAAGUUUAACUAAGACUGAGUUUUCUCAAUUUGAAGGCAUCGUGCACUCUACCCCUUUCUUUUCCUCACAUUGCUUCUUCCCAAUCCCAAAGGGAAGAAAUCAAGAAACAAUUACAAUUUUUAACUAUUCACCAGCAAAAACAAGGCAAAGAAAGAUGCUGAGUGUAAGCAAAAAUAAGAGAGUUAUACACCUCAGAGUCUUGGCACACAGUAUGGCGACCGCUGAACAUAGCUGCAAGCAUAGAUUCAGGCUCACGACGAGUCAGAGUAUCAAUUGUUGUAUAAAAUUUCUUUCCCCCUGGAUAUUAAUACAUAAAAUAUAAAUUUGUUCACUUAAAAGCAUGAAUUGUGCAAAUUUGUCAAUAAUGUCAUUCUUUCACAAACGUUCACCGAAAUGUAUAACAAUAAGUGCAUCAUAACAUAACUAAACGGCUUAAGAACUGCGCAGAUAUUACAUACAGUAGAGAAACAAGAAAUAGAAAAUGAGAUUUGCCCUUUUUAAACAGAAAGCAAUCAAAGAGUAAACUAAAGAGCUAAUAAUUCACAAAAUUCAGUUGAUUAAACUCAUUUACAAGUAAUUAGCAACAAAAUCCAAGCUAAAUAAAAAUAAUGAAAAUUAGGUUCUUAUAACAUCCGUCAAUUCUAUGAAAGUUUACCACGAUCAGCAACAAAUAGAUAAAUCGCAAUAAAGAAAAACCGACGACAUGUCGGUUGUGUAGUGCAUAAGUAAAGGAAUUUGCAGAUGAUGUAAAGAGAAUGAGGGAUAGUAACUGACCGAUGUUGAGACGAACCAUUGAAGACGAAUCGGAGUCCUUCGCCAUUGUCGAGUGUAAUGACUUGUCGUCUUACUUGCGCUCAUAGGUAUUUAUAUCAUAGCUGACACUGUUCGAAGGACAGCAAGGAUUUGGUGGGCACAAAUGCAUUUUGGAAAUUGGGCUUCGGCCCAAGAAAUCGAAAAUCAGAGGCUUUUUUUUAAAAAAAAUUUAAAAGGAUUAGAAUGUCUAUAAAUUAAUAGGGCUGAGACCAUCUUAAAUCUAUUAAGUAAAAGAGAUAUUAAAUAUUUUAUUAAUUAAUAAUUUAUUAAUUUACAGAAUUAUUUAUAAUUCAAUUAACAUACAUUUAAUAACUAAACAUUCAAUGUACAUAAUUUCUGAUUACAAUUCAAAGCACUAACAAUACUUCAUAAUUUCUUAUUACAAUUCAAGAAUUCAACCUCAUAGCUUUUAGAUGCAAUAAGAAAAAUAAGAAAUAAGAUUCAGUUAUAUUUAAAUUUUAAGAAAAAAACAAUAAAAUCAUAUUUUAUGUAAUUAAAAUAUCAUAGUCAACUACAUUUGUAAUUUCAACAAAUUAUUACUCUAUGAUUUAAAUGAGACCACAAAGUUAUAUAAGAUUUUAUCGAAAUUAUUAAUUUAAUCCAUUAGUCCAUGUCAAGACCUUGAAAAUUUAAUAAUUAUAUAAUAGAGAUUAUUAAUUUAUCGAGUAUUAAUUUAUAGAAGUUCUGAUUGUAUAUUAUUUUAUAUUAAUAAAGAAUAAAGUAGCAUUCUUUUUUAAUUCCGAAGUAAUAAAAUUAUGGCUAAAUUAAGAGAGUAGAUAUAUUUUAUAACUUGGUUUAAUAACAUCACGCGCCUCCCUUGUAGUUUUGCAGCUUUGAAGCUUUAUAAUGAAUCCUAUUAGCUUUGGCUGGAAAGUUAUAUUGUUAAAGAGAGUUUAUAUAUUAAACAAGGUGAUCUAAUAUUUCCAAAACUAAAUUUGGGAUCAAAAAUAGAAAACAUUUGCAUGUUUUUACCUUUUGGAAGAAUUACUUGAUAAGUGCUUCACAGAAAAAUGCUUGCUAUUAUAGAGCACCCUAAAAAAAAUCCUUAAUAAUUGAGGGAUCAUAAUAAAGUUCAAUUCUAAAUCUGUCAGAUAGAUCGAAAGUAACAAACCAUAUAUAUUUAAAUCUAUUUAGUAAUCCAGGGUUACAAGCCAAGCGUGCAAUAGCCAAUUCUGAAAAUCAAAGCUCAGCCUAUGCUCUCUGAGCACAAAUAAGAUCUGAUAUAUACAUAUCGAAUCCUCCAUUAUGUGGAGUGAAAUUUCCAUCGUGUACGGUGUACCUAACAAUGAGAAAGCAUGGCAGCAUAAAUUCAUCUUCCAUGUUAUUCUACUUAUUAGUACUGGUUCCCUCAUAACUUCUCCAAAUCGGGGAGGUCUGCAAUGUGUAAAGCACGUAAUCAGAUAAAAGAAAGAGAGCCAAAAAAAAAAAAAAAGGUAACAGCCAAAAGAUUAAAUUUCUUUGAGAAAUAGAAAAUGGGAGCUUUUGGCAUAGGCACAGAAUAGAAAGUAACAGAGUCAUUUACAGUUGUUCAGAAUAUGCAAGCUGAAAACAACUUUGAAUGCAAUGGACAAUUCCUCCAACAAACAAUCGAAUUGGAUUGUGGAAGAGACAAAAGCUUAAUGAGGUUAUGGUUUUGGCUAGGUGAACUCAAAAUUCUUUUAUAGACCAAGUAGGUAAAAACAAAUCCCAUAUAGAUGGAUGAACCUCAUACCAUGAACAGUUAAUCGCGAACACUUGCAGGCUUAUGCACACGACUAUGAAGAUACUAAGGGUUUCACCGAUGGUAAGUGAAAAAUAUAUGAUGUAUAAUUUAAAUGGAAGCACAUAGUUUCGGAUUGAAUUCAAGGUUAAAGUUCCACAGACAGACAGAAGAGAUGAAGCUUAAAAACUUACAGAGCAUUCCUUCAUCAUCACUGCUUUCAUCAUUUUGGCCAACAUGCUGAAAAAAGAAUAUGAUUCAAGUUAAAUGAUUGAGCAACAAUAAAAAACGUGCAAAAUUAAUGCUCUCUCCACAAAAAUUUCAGUCUAUAUUGGUAAGAAGAAACAGGAAGAAAAAAUUACCUCAGCAUCAUCGUCAUUGGAAGCCAAAUCAGCUGUAAAGACCACAAAAUGUUUGGUUAGAACCAGUGGAAGUCUUACUCUAAAAUUUUUAAUUUUUGAAUUUCGAAAGAUCUCGUAAUGACAAAGAUUUUCAUAUCCAGUGACCAAGUUUUGAAAAUUAGAAUACGGAAUGACAUCAACUAAAUUCACUAAUAUAAGCUAGAGGAAUCCCUAGUAGAUAUAGCGCACAUGCACACAUGAUAUGCAUCCGAAUACACAAUAAUAAAUUAUCUCAAAGUCAAUAAGAAGCCAAAAUUAGAGAUAAACUUUUAGCCACUAUAAGGAAGACUGAUAUUUGCAGUGUGAUUACAAUAAACAAACAGAAACUUCACUACCCAUAAGUAAAACAAAAUAAAUAAAGGAUAAUAACUAACCAAGAAAUGGAAAAGCUCACAUUCUCUGAACACGCACCCCAAAAAGAAAGAAAGAAAUAAAUGUUCUCAUUGGAUCUGAAGCACAAGCAAUCCACUGACAUCCUUCUAUAAUUAGGUAAUUUAAAGGGGUUAAGCUCACAUCUUUUACGGAAGUAAGAAGAGAAUUAACAACCUUCCAGAGGAUUUAGGGAAAUACCACGAGGCAAGAAAAAAGAAAUAUCCUUCUUCAAUCUAGAUAUCCUGAUACUGCUCACCAUCUACAACAGUCUGUGGCUUAAAAAGCAGGUCACUGAUCUCUCCCUCCCUCUGGCACCAUUUUCUCUCAUGUCUCAUUUUUCCCUUCCUGCCAACUCCCACUACAGUAUUGAAACCUAUUCUAUCAACUCUUCCCCCUCCAAUAACAAGACCAAAACCAAUUUUACUCGCCGGUUAGCUAGGUAGUAAAUGGAAAUUUGUGAAUCUGUCAUUCAUCCGUAGAAACAAACCAGAACUGCAUAAAUUCUCUUCUCUCCCAACAGCUUCUUUUCUCCAGAAAUAGGCACAAGUAUUUGACAUGGAAACAGUUUAUCUAACAUGGCCACCUUUAAAGACAAAGACAUACUAAGGACGUGGUUUUAGAUACGGAUACAAGAAACAAUCACAAAAUGUAAAAUCUAUACAUAUGAUAUUAAUUUCCAAUGGAUACAGCAAUUCAUUCUUUGACAUAACUUCAUCAGAUUACUAGGUUUGAUUAGGUUAUACACACAUUUAUUCAUUUAUUGAAUCUACAUGCACUUAGAAUGAGAGGUACCUAUAAAAACAAGUUACCAGAAAACAAUACAGCUAGAAAACAUUAAUCUAAGUAGUUCUAUAGGUUUAACUAACUGCAGGAAAAAACCAUUGAUUUUGUCCGCCAGAUUAUCGAGAUCCUAAUUCUGGUAAAAAGAAAAUGAGAUAAUAGAAAAUCAAAAAUUAAAUAGACACAAAAUGAGAAAUCAAGAUCAUAUGGCAACUAAUAUAUAGCAUGGGCUGCAGCUAACAAGCAAUAUAAGCCAUGAUAUUAUGCCAGAUACAAAUUUUGAGAUCCAAGAGAGAUCAAGAAGCAUGAAUACCACUAAAAUAUCGAAAGAAGUGAGUGCAGAAGGAUAAGAAAUCAGGUUGAUAUUCUUCAUACUUUGGAUCAACACGUAGUGAUGCAAUAAACUUGUAAUUAGCUUCAAAUGUAUAGGCUACCAUGUCAACAUUUCCGAAAACACACAAGAUUGUGCUGGAUUCAUACAUAGUACAUAUAUAAAAAAACAAUCUGCUUCUAAACUUCAUGAGAACAUCGAAUAAUGAACUUACAAUUUGAUCCCUCAUCAUCUUCAUCGCACCAUUUGUUCCAAUCAACCUUAAUGUAAGGUGCUGGUUUCUCUUCUGACUUGAGUAGCCUUUUCCACCAACCUUUCUCUUCUUUUUGGACCGAGCAUAUUAUGUUCCUUAAGCCAACUUUAGUCUUACAUUUCUGCACCACCAGCAACAAAACUCAAAGCAUUACAAAAGAGGUAUAUUUAGCCGCUCUUGACUCGAGUGAGAGAACAGGAUAAAUAGCCUAGGUAUAUCCACAUCCAUGUUAUGAGAUUGAUUAUGCAACAGCUAACUUUAAUAUAAAGCUUUUGCUUCAACAAAGACUAAAAUGUUUGUAAUUGUUAUGCUUUUGGAGCUAAAAUGUUUGGCAAACACCCACUUUUACUCUGCACCUAAUAUCUACCACCCACCCACACACUAAGUCUCUCGUUUGGUACAGCUAUUUAUCAGUAGUGGCUUUAAGCCACAACAUUUAAAGCGAAUUUACCCUAAAAUUUUACAAUGAAAAACCUAUACUACCUUUAACAUUGUUGUCAAAAUUAUUAUUAUAAGUAAUAUUUACCAAACACUAUCAACUUCCAAUUCAUAUCAAAGAGCUUUCACUCCACAAUAGCCGUGUCUUCUUAAGCCAGAACAACACAAUACCAAAGGCCUUAAGCUAGUGAUUUGAUUUCACAACAACUGCAGAUCAAGCCUCAAUCCCAAACAUACAUAAAUCAAAUGCAGAAAGCAAAAAUUUAACAAUAUGUUUGGUAUACUAAAUGUCUUUCAUAGUUUCAUUUCACAGGGUAUUUAGACAUGCAAUGAUAAAUUGGAGCAAUUUCAAGAACCGAAUUGACCUCAGGUAAAAUUUUGCCAAAAAGUUCCAAGCUGAAGUCGUAAAGCUCGCCUUGGACUCCGACGGCCGAGAAGCCAAAAAUCCCCUGAGGCUCGCAUUUCACAGAAAUGUCUUUCGCAUCGGGUAAUGAAAUGGUAAGGUAUACUUUAUCGGAGCGCUGAGCCCAAAGAACCUCCGGAUGGCGACUGAACAUAAAAGAAAUAAUAAUAAUAAUAAUAUUAUUAUUUUUUAUUGUGACAAUUUUGAACUAAUAAUUAGAGACAUUUAACAACAAUAUUGAUUAAUAUUGGAGAAGAAAAAUAAGGUUACAAGAGAGAAUCAGAAAGAUUACCUCAUUCUGGUGGAUGAUUGAAAACGGUGGGUCGAUUGAUGAACAGAAGUGUAACUGUCUGGGAGUGAGAGUGACUCUGCUGUUUACUGGGUAGAGUGUGCUUACUCGAAGAAAUUGAAAGUGAUAAUCUCGGGCAAGCCAACACGUCGAUUUGGUCAACAGUGGUCCAACAAACCAGGAACUAGGUUUUUUUUUUUAAAUGAUUUUUUUUUUCAGUAUUAUAUUGCCCCGCCCGUGGGCUAUUACAUUUUGGCCCUUUUGGGGACCCCUCGUUCUCUUACAAGAAGGGAAUAUUCUUUUCCAUCCACCGGUUUGUAGGCAGAGUACAUAUACUCUUCGAAAUUAAGGACAAAUUUCUGAAUCGUGCCGCAUUAGAAUUAAAUUGAGUCUCAAAAGAAUUUUGGUUAUAAGUAUAUCGUUCAAACGGUAAUAUAUUAAAAAAAAUAAUAUUUACUACAAUGUAGACCUAUCGGGACUUUGAAGCCCAGACCAAUUCUUGAGUCUAGCCUAAUAACACCUCAACAGAUCAAAAUUGAAAUCCAACUUAAAUUUCAAUAUUGUGUAGGGAUCUGCCUUAAUUUAGAUAUGUCAAGACCUGCCUUAGGCAUCAAAGUGAUCUAUCUUAACAUAACUAAGACUUUCUUUAAACAUCACAAUGAUUUAUCUUAACGUAGUCAAAUCUAGCCUAAAAAAAUCUAAAGAAGGAAAAAAGAAAUUAUUUUCACGUAUUGAGAGACUUAAAUUCUUAACCUUAUUCAUAAGAAAAAAAAGUGUAUUACUUAACUAAAUCGUGACUAAAAAUUAUAAUUAUUAUUUUUUGUACAUUUAGCUUUAAAAAAUCAUUAUAUAUAUAUAUUCAUAUAAGUUUUGACAUAAUAUACAUACCACUUAUUUGUUUUUUAAAUUAUACGAGAAUGAAAAAACUCAAGCAUUAAACACCAACUUUUGUUUCAUGCUAUCAAUCAACUUGAGAAAUUUUAUAAUAUAUCGGAAGUUCUACGUCACAAUUUAAUACGAAGCCUUCGAUUAAUAAUAAUUAGACACAUGACAAUAGAUGCUAGAGAAAUUUUAAAUUCCCUCUUUUCAUUAUCCCUCCAAAUUUAGAAUUUCAAAAAAUUAGAGAAUAAAUGUUGCUUGCUCUCUUUGUUAUCUAAUUCUAAUUAUUAUUUUUUUCUCUCUCUCUCCAAUCAAGUUGCUAGCAUUUUUUAAAUCUAUUGAAGAAUAAGAAGAAGGUUUUUGUCGAUGAAAUGAUUUUGGCAGCCUUUUUUACCCAAAGCUAACAUGAUUGCUGCGACUACCAAUGAAGAAAAAGAUGUGUUUUGCUGGCGAAGAAGAUGAUUUUUGAAGCAUGAGUGGCUGCCGUUUAUUUUUUUCCUUCAUAUUUUUCGAUGUAGUGGCUGUCCUCAAGUUUUAUUCAUUUACUUUUCAGUUGGCCUACUAUUUAUUGGCAUAAUGAAAAAUUUUAUUUUAAUAAGCAUUUAUAGAUUAAUUUGAGGAGGUUUCUUUUGCAAUAUUAGUGUGGUUUCUGCAUUGGUAUGAUUUAAAUUACGAACUUGCUACAAUCUUUAAUUAAACUGUCAAAAGUAAUUUAAAAAAUCUUUAAUUAAACCGUCAAAAGUAAUUUAAAAACUGACAGUAGAUAGAUUAGAGAUAGGCUUGACAAUUUAGCCCGACUCUAUUUUUAGUCUGAUUGAUCCGAUCCUAAUUUUUAAGACUUUGGCCUGAAUUUUUUGAUUUCGGGUCGGGUUCGGGUCAAAAUUUUAAGGCCCGAACAAAUUUAGGGUCAGGGUCGGACUUAAAACCAACCCGACCCGACCCUAUUUAAAAAAAAAAAAACUAACACACGCACACAACACAUGACAGUUCACUCUCUCUAAAUCGUAAAUCACACACACAAAAUACACUUACACAAAUUCACAAAAACCCUAAGCCAGCCACCCAGCCUGCUGCCGUCCUAUCAGCCAACAUCGUGACCGUCCGCCGCACGCCAGCCAAUCAGCCGUCGUCUCGUCGUCGCAUGUCUCACCAAUCAGCCAUCGUGACCGUCUGCGACGCUGCGACAUGAACUUGAACCAGCCGCCCUUUGUCGCCGUCCUGCCGCAUCCGCCUGCCAGCCAACGAUCAAUGCACACAGUUGAAUUGUGGGGUGGGAAAUGGUUUCGAUAGGGUCGGGCUCGACCCGACCCUAACUAUAAAGAGGUAGGGCUUUUUUAGGGUCGGGUUUUAAUUUUUUGUUGAUCGGGUCGGGUCGGGUUUGGCCAAACCCGAGCCCGACCCGACGUUUUGCCAUCCCUAAUUAGAGAUGAAGAUUGGAGAGAGAGAAAAAUAUAAUUUGAAUGAGAUAAUAAAGAGAGAAGAAAUUCUAUAAUACAUCAUAAGUAAUAUAACUCAUUGAUGUAUGCAUGAUAUAUGUAAUUAACCUUAAUAUAACUAACACUUGUAUGGUGAUAUUUCAAAAUAAAUAUACAUAUGUUAUAAAAUCAUUUACUUAUUGUAUGACUGACAUUUUAUUUUUGAUGUAUUGUACAAUUUCUCAGAAGAGAGUAGUAUUUAUUAUCUCUAAUUUUUUGAAAUUCUAAAUUUUGGAAGGAUAAUAGAAAGAGAAAUUUUAAAAAUUUUUCAACGUAUAAUGCCAUGUAUCUAAUUAUUAUUAGUCGGUGUUCCACGUUAAAACGUAAUAUAGAACCUCUGGACCUUACUGUAUAAUGUACUGUAGAAUUUCCUGAUCACACACUUUCUCAGUUGCAAAAGAGGUGGGCAUAUGAGUUCCUUACGGGGAUUUAGUGUGAAUCCACGCAAAGCCCAUAUAGAUUUUUCCGGUUAACCGCUAUGGCAUCCUAGUUUUAAACUCAGUACUAAAUUUACAGAUCCAUUUAAACCCCCCAAAUCAGUCUCUCACCGUCUCAAGUCUCAAACAAAAAACCUGACCGGAACCCAAACCGCCAAAUCCGAUUCGAUGGUGGACUGUGCUAAAACCCCUAAAAUUCCAAGACUGACAUGCGGUAAAGGAGAUGGUGAUAGACUUAGCAAUCUUCCGGAGCACAUCAUUUAUCACAUAUUCUCGUUCAUGGAAACAGUUGAUGUUGUUAGAGCAAGCACUGUUUCGCGAAGAUGGAGGUACUUGUGGCUUUCCGUUCCUUAUUUGAACUUCGACUAUCACACAAUUUGGUCAGACCCGGAAAGUAGAUGGUCUCGUAGGAAAAUCAAUGAUAAGUUCAAAGAUUUUGUCAACUGGGUAAUAUUUUCUCAAAAUGGGUCUGUUAAUAUUCAAAGAUUUCGUCUUUGCUGCUGGGAUUAUUUAGCAAGUUACGAUAACGAUAGAACGAUUUACAGAUGGGUUUCUGCUAUGGCACGUCGAAACGUGCAAGUGCUUGAUCUGGCUAUAGCUUCACUAUACCCAUUUGAGUUUGACUUGCCACAUAGUCUUGUAACUUGUGAUUCAUUGGUGGAACUGAAGUUGAGUUUGAGCUUUCAUGUUCACCGAUGUUUUUUAAAGCUGCCUACUGCUGCUGGUUUUAUUGGGCUCAAGUCUCUUGAUUUACAAAGUGUUGCGUUGGAUGAUAAUUUGUUUCCUGAAUUUAUUUCAAAUCUUCCCCUGCUUGAGAAUUUGUGUAUGUUGUCAUGUGUUUUUCCUGAAUUGAAGGUUCUUGACAUUUCUUCCACUAAUUUGAAGAAUUUGGCUCUGGAAUCCAUUGUUGGCAAUGAUAAUGCUGGCAAUGAUGAUGCUGGCAAUGAUGAUGCUGGCAACUACAAGCUUAAGAUUGCUUGUCCAAAUCUUGUGUCUUUUAAUUAUAUAGCUUUAGCUCCAUGGUUACCUCACUUUGCUUUUGAGAGCUUAAACUCCUUGCAAAAUGCAUUCAUUGACCUGGAUGAUUAUAACGAGGAUGACAUGGAGAACGAAAGAUGUCAUGUUUUAUCUACAAUCUUCAAUGACUUUCGUGAAGUUAAAGUUUUGAAAUUAUCAGAAGCCAUUCUUCUCGAGGUAUGAUUUCAAAUACAUUCAUUGCACCAAAUCAUGAUUCUGCCAGAACUUGUCUACACUUUUUUAUUUUGACAUUAGAAAUGAAGCUUAAGUAAACUGAAUCUACUUUCUUUGUUUGGUAAAAUAAGAAUUCUAUUGAUUAUGGAACCUUCCUAAAUGCUAAUUUGUUCUUUAGACUGUGUAUAAGUCAUUGUGACAUUGUAUGAAGUCUCAUUUAUCUGAGUAAUCAAUUGUUAUUGAUGUCAAAGACUAGAACUCAUUGGUGACUUGAGUUUAUGUAUAUUAUCGUUUGUUAGAUUUUUUGUGUGAUUAUUGCACUUAACUUGACUAAUGUAUUCUCUUUCUUUUUGCCAUUGUUCCUCCAGGUUCUUGAUCCUGAUCCUGCUCACGAAGAACCAGCAUUUUUUUCCACUUCAUUCAAUAAUUUGAAGUCCUUAAUACUUUCUGCAGGUCCGGGUGUAUGUCUCAUGCCAUCAAUGCUUAGGUUGCUCAACUGCUCUCCAAAUCUAGAAGCUCUUGCAAUAUAUUCUCCUAAGGUAAUCUUAACACCAAAAACUAUUCCAUUUGUUAGAUACCGUCGCUUCUAUCCAUUUUUUUUAAAAAUCAUAUCUCCCAUUUAUGUGCUAAAAUUUUAAUUUUGUUAAAGUGCAACUGGGCUUUGCUUAAAUUAUCGCAAUAGAGUUGAAACCUGAAAGUAUUUGUGAUAUAUUAUGUUUACCGCUUAGAGCUUAAAGUAAAUGUUAAUCUUGUGGCCUCUUGGUUGUUCCCAUGCUAUUGCUUGUUGAGCAGAUGGUUGAAUUUAGAGUCAAUCAAUCGGUUGUGUUCUUCUGAGGUUUGUGCAAGUUUUGUAAAAGAGCAAAGUUUAGUAUUUGUUUAGUUUGUGAAAAUGAUAUAGCUUUUUCUAAUUCAUCUUACUCUAUUCUUUGCUUAAAAAUGAAUUCUCCUUUUGAUUUGAUUCCUUGACUGCAUUUCGGUCUGUUUUCUCUUGGCAGCAUCGGCGUGGAUAUAAUGCUUAUAGGAAAACACCGAACAAGGCUGCUAUUUCAUGUUUGACAAAUCAUCUCAAGACAGUUGAAAUAAAACAUUUUAGCGGUGAUAUGAAUCAACUUGAAAUUGUGAGGUUUCUUCUAAGGAAUGGACAUGUAUUGCAGAGAAUGAGUAUUAGAUGGGUGGCAGAUGUUAAGAAUCAAGGGAAGAUUAUCUCAAGGAUAAUGAAGUUUCGGAGAUCAUCUUCAAGUGUUGUGCUGAAAUUCCUAGAUCCUAAGCCAGCUGAUGAUUUUUCAGAUUAUUUAUUUGAUGAUGAGCAAAAGAACUAAAAUUAUGUUUAAAUUAAAAAAAAAAAAAGUGGUUUAAGUGUAUGUUCGAAUUAAAUAGUCUUUUGGAUUUGUAGAAACUGAAAGGAGUACAGUGCCAGUCACUGUGGCAGCCUUAUGUUUUGUUUGAAAAAAUUCGGAAGCUUCUAAAUUGUUAUAUACCUCAAUUCUGAAGUCGUUAGUAUGUAUAUUAUAAGCAAUACAUAUGUUCCAUUUGUCAUAUUUUAUUUUGGCAUUACGAUUGUUUUGUCUUGAUUAAUAUUGAUUAUAAUUUGUUUAACAUUUAUCUGGCAUAUGUAGAAUUAUACUUUAUCUGAGUAGAUGACGCUGCUGCGUACAUCUUCAGGACUCGGUCAUAAACUGUUUAUCUCUGCGUCUGUCUAGCAUCCAUCCACGUAUGACCUGUCGGCUUUUUGCCCGCAAGCAUACAGUUAGGGGUGGUAAAAAUAUCUGUCCGGUCUGGAUUCGGUUCGCACCCGGAUGUUUUAUCCGGCCCGGUCUUGGGCAUCAUUUGAUAAAUUCGGAACCCGAGUUUUAUUAAGCGCCUUGGCCGUACAGCAGUAUAUUAUUUUAAAUAUUUAUAUUUAUUUGACUCAUUUAUUACAUAUAUAUAAAGUUUUAGACACUUAAAGUUUAUAUUUUCAUGUCAAAUUUCAUUAAAAUAAAUUUAAAACUUAUAAAAUUACCAAAAAAUAAAAAAUAUAUACAUAUAUAAUAUUAAAAAAUAUAAAAUCUGGGUACCCAAAUUAAAACCCGGCACAAUCCGACCCAGGCAUCUAUGCAUCCGGGUCGGGUCCGGUCAUUACGAUACCCCGACCCAGCCCAGGGUUUUGCCAUCCCUACAUGCAGUGUAUAUGAAUUGCAGUUCUUGUACGGACAACAUGUCAUCCAUAAAACUCGAGUUAUGUUCUUUUUAAUCUUUAGUUUAGAUUACAUUUUGCAAAACUAAUAAACGAUAGAGCUCCUAGCAAGGUCAAUAGUUAACUGCGAAUCCAGAAGAUCGGAAUGCUAUACCUUUCAAACAUGCAUUUCAAAGCCAUCUGCGGAAAUGGAAAACAAGCAUUUCAAACUCGUUGUUAAAACAAUGAUAAAAGUAAUUUUAAUCCUAAUUUUUAAUUCCAGGCAUGAAGCUAACUCAUAUACAAAGAGAUAUCAAGUAAGCAGAGGCGAAAGCUAAAAGCUUUGGUUACAGGGGUCGGUGUGAAUAAUGUAUAUAUCGUUUAGACAUAUUUUUGAAUAUCUAUUUUAAUUUAGGGGAUAUUAUAUAUAUUUAAAAAAAAUUAAAAUUUUUACGGGAGCCAUGGCUUACUAUAGUCUCCAUUAAGAUUCACCCUCCCUACUUUUCGUACUUCAUUAAAGUAUAGGAUAAAUAUUUACAAUAUUAUAAAUAGAUUUUAUAAAAGCAGUCCAUAUAUGAAAGUCCUUCUGCACUCUGAAUUAAAUAAAAAUAACGUGAGACUAACAAUUUAAGAGUCUUUUUUGCAACGUAUAUCGUGCAGUGAUGUACUCUAUCGACGGAGGACUCUCUUCAUAUGCUUUUUAUUUUUCCAUGCCUGAUUAUAAAUAGGAUCACUCUAUGUUACAUUAAACGUAACGUACACACACUCACAACAACAGUAACAAGUCCCAUCAUUAGAACUGUUGCUGUGAGUGCGUGUAUGUUACGUUUAACGUAACAUAUCACUAGCCUUAUAAAUAACAUCACUUUUAAGGAUUUUUACAAAUUUUUAUUACAACCGUAACUUUUGUCCUCAUACAAUAACGGUGUCCAUUGUCCACAUAUAAAAAGUUCAUCAAUAAACAUAUAACCUAAUUAAAAUUCGUGACAAAAUCCAAAGGAAAGAAAGCGUGGAGUAAUAUAUAUAACAAAGGCAUUGAGCAUACACCAGGUGUAAUUUGCAUUGCAUGGCCACCCUUACGUGGCAGUUCCGCCGAUUAACACAUCUUUAAAAGUUAAAGCCCCCCUCUCUCCUUGUUAAGGGCGUUUCAACACAACACUCAUCAAUGCAAGCAAAGAGACAGUGAAGGAAAAAUUAAGAAACCAAUAUUGUCACUUGGAAGAAAGAAACAAUCAUUACAUAUAUAAUACGAUGGAUACUAAGAACAACAGGAAGCAUUUGUCCUGCAUUGCCAACGACGUCGUUCACAGAUGUGCACUGUACGUAUCUCUCUCUCUCUCUCUCUCUCCUUUUCUUUUUCUCCCCGAUCACUUUGUUUUCUUUAUAUAUACGAAUGUAUGUAGAACGUAGUAGGUUUUGUAUAAAUAUCUGUUGCACACAUUAUUUGAUGUGCAUUUAAAUAUAAUUAAUGGUAAUUGAGAUGACACACAAAGACAAUGCAAAAAAAGAAAAAAAAAGAGAGAGUAAAUUAAUGAAUUUGCCUUGAUCCAGUUAAUUUGUGUGCAUUUAGCUGACUGUAAGGUGGUUUCGAGUGUGUUUUUGUUUGGCAACUUUUCACACAAAAGCACUUUUGGGAAGCACUUUAUGUAAUGUAAGUGCCUCUAAAAACUGUUUUAUGUAUUACUGCCAAAUGCAGUGCAGAGGUUACAAUGGGAGGGUCGGUUUUAUACCUGUUCUUCGAGACUUAAUUUCAAUAGGAGAUUGAAAUAUUUAUGAGAAUUAUGUUGUUAGCAGACUUAAUUCUUUUGGAGGAAUUCAUUCCAUCGUAGACCACUCAAUGAAUUUGGUCGAUUGAGAUUAUUUGAGUGCAUGCUUCAAAACUGGAGCAUUAAUUCUUUGACAUAAAUGGGCUUUAACAUAAGGCGCGUUCGCUUAUUCCAUUUAUUCAAGAAGUUGGCACUCAAUUUUUUAUUACUAGCCUUUAGAUGGCCAGCAGCCUUUUGUAGCCCUUUCUAGUUUCUACUAAAGUGGUUAUGUGCAAUAGUUCUAUUCUGGGUUGCAAAAUUAUUGUGUCAGUAGAAUCCACAUACAUUAUGUACUUUUCUGUAUUUAAUUUCAAGAGGCUUAGUUAUAUCAUAGUUUUAGGAUUAUAAUAAGUCUGUCCGUUACCAUGUUAUUGGAAUUUUUUUUUUUUUCUAAAUUAGUUGGACACAUUAUUGGAUUGGUCAAUAAAGGAAAGCAUUUGGCAAGUACUUGGUUUGAUAUUAACAUAUAGUUGCAGUAAAGCACAUUAACUUGUGCAUCCUGAAAUUCUUGCAGGCAAGUAAAGGCUUCUGAGGAUUCAUUGGUGGAGGGGUUUGAAGCUGAAUGGAAGCCUGAAAUCGGACAGUAUUCGAAGAAAUUUGUGGAAUAUUGCAGCAUAAAGGCUCUUACUAACAUGUGCCAGAGCAUAGAAGAAAAGAUUAGUGAUGGAUCAUUUAGUCGACUCACAUUUGAUAUGAUGCUUGCCUGGGAAAUGCCUAGUGCCGCCGAUGAGGAGUCUCAUACUGUAAGCAAUCAUCAUAAUACUCAUAUCCUAUAUUUAUUUCAUGGUCCACCAAAUCAUUAUGAUAUUAUCCCAAUUUUGGUGUGCCUAUCUUCUCUUCAAGUUGCUUCUUCUAUUUCUUUUUCAUUAUACAUUCUCUGGUUCUCAUCAGUUUUCGCUCCAAUUAAAAGAAGCAUGAAUUCUUUCACUUAUCUGCUGAAUCUGUUCUAAUGAUUGGGCAAUAGAUUUUUAUUCCUCUCUGUGGUUACUACUAUUUUGAUCUUGUGCAGGAGUGCAUGGGAAAGGAGAAUGAGGAUAGAAAGGCUGUAAAAGUCACUUCAGAUCAUGAUGAAAUUCCUCUCUUCUAUACAGACAUCAUGCCUCUUCUAGUAAGAGCGUCUCUUUCUGAUCAUUUGAGUGCUAAUGUACCGACCAAGCAUUAGCCUUCACUGAAACUCGUAUAUGAUUUCAUGAACAUUGAUUAAUUGUUAUUUUUGCUAACUACUCUAUGAGAUCUGAUCAAAUUAGAUAUAUAAAUGUUGCGAUUGAUCUUGGAUUUGCUUUAUAUUUGGCCAUCAAUUAUAUUUUACUCUUCAUUUUUAUAUUUGUUUGGUUUGAUAAUUUACCCUCUGGCCCAUAUAUAUGAUGGUAGGUUAAUAAUGAACCGAGUGUUGGAGAAGAUGCAUUUGUAUGGAUGGGAUCCUUAGUUCCUCUAGUUUCAGAUGUUAUUAAUGGGAGAUUUACAUAUGAAAUUCUGACAGCGCCAACAGGAAACCGGCUCCAUUCUCCAGCAUAUGAUAUAUUUCUAAAGGAGAUGGACAAGUAAUUCUUCCAAUUCUUCCAUGCAGCAAUUUUACCACUCAGAAACUUUAAGUGCCGUUUGGUUUUGUGACAUGCAAAUUAUCAUGGAACACUCAAAAUGAGUUGUUCUUAACAAUUUCUAGAAUUUGCAAACUCACUAACCAUAUCUGAAAAUGCAGAAGCAUUAUUACCACUUAUUGAUAACAAUAUCUCUGCUCGACUUGUUUGGGUGCUUUCAGCCGUUUUUCAUUUUCUUUUGGAAAUCUUGAUUUCAUAGAUGCAUAAAACAUUUGCAAAAACAAGCAACUCCAAAGGGUGUUGAGCUGGCUGACGAUGAAUUUAUACUGCAUGUGGAGGGAACUGCAAGCACACAGAGAGUAGUGCGCCAUAUUGGGAAAACAAGUUGGCCUGGUAUGUCUUUAGUUUGAUGUCUUACAUCUUUUUAACUGCUGUAGAAAUUGUUACUUGGAUUUUACUAAUCAUAAUUGUUGUCUCUAGGUAGGCUCACACUGACAAAUUAUGCGCUCUACUUCGAGGCUUCGGGAGUAAUAACAUAUGAAGAUGCUCUAAAGAUUGACCUCUCAAAAGAUGCUGAACUAUCUGUUAAACCAACUGCCACAGGUCCAUGGGGUGCUCCGCUUUUUGACAAGGCAAUUGUAGUCGAGUCCCCUGAACAGUAAGCAUAGUUGCACUUAUAUGAAAUUACUGGAGCUAUUAGCAUCGUUAUUCUUAUUUUAAAAAUUGUUAAAUGCUUGGUAGUUAUCCCAUAAGCUAGAUUUUAAAUGCAUAACAUACAAGGCAGACAUCAGAAAGCAUUCUGAUUCGUUUAUUAAAGUUUGUCUUUUAUUAAGCUAAAGAUAUUAAUGCUGCUAGAUUUUUCUAAUUUGGUUGUAGAUAUUGGUUAGUUACACUGUCAAAUGAGCAAAUCUCGUGGAUAUUUCAUAGUGUGGUUAUGCAAUUGUUUUUUGCCCUUCACUUUUCUAGAUCUGAGGGAAUUGUCCUGGAGUUUCCAGAGAUAACUAGCUCGACAAGGCGUGAUCAUUGGCUGGCCCUCACAAAGGAGAUAAUGUUAAUGCACAAAUUCCUGUCAAAAUUCAAGGUGGAAUGUCCAAUACAAGCAUGGGAGAUGAAUGCAAGGACAAUACUUUGCAUCAUAAGACUCCAUGCAGCAAGAGAAAUGCUGAGGAUAUUGCCUCCAGAUCCCACAAAAUUCUUGAUUUUUGCUUUGUAUGAUGAGUUGCCAAAGGGAGACUACGUGCUAGAAGAGCUUGCUGAGAGUCUGAAGAAAGUUAAUUGUGGACAUCCUUCCAGUGCUAGCUCAAUUCUGAGAUGUAUGAACCUGUCAAUUGCCGCAAGUGGAGAAGUAAAAGAAGGAAAAGAACUGGAGGAACAUAAACAUAUAAGUGAUGAAAGCUGUUCAUCACUGGAAACUGCCAUCAAUCAAUCUAAAGAGCAAGCAAAGGCAAUUGAAAUUGCUAAGUCUACCACUGAGGGCCUGAAAGAUGAAGGGAUCAGUGAUAGUAUCCUUGUUCUCUUGGUAUGUUUUUACUUCCAAAUUGUUGUUUAUGCUGCUGAUUUUAUAUUGACAGAAUAAGUAAUGACAUCUCAACAAAUCAUGGUAUUGAGAGCUUGUUUGACAUUUAUCAAACACAGCAAAGAAAUUGAAUUUUAUGAAAUUCCUAUAGCACCCUAUAAUUUGUACCAAAAAAUCUCUGCACCUUUGGCAUGCUGUAUGGUAUGGAAGUAUAGCUGUCUCAGAGAGGUUACUGUUAUUUACUUUAUUUGGUUUUGUAGUAUUGAUGUUAAGUUUGAUUUAAUAAUGUAGGAGCUACUAAAGCCACUUAAAAGUGUUUUACCCUGGAUUCGAGAAGUUGUUUCAUGGGAAAAACCAGCAACCACCCUCACUGUGAUUGCAACAACUCUACUAAUAGUGUACAAGUAAGUCAGUGCUCCCUCGUAAUUUUCUUAUAUACGGAAAUUUUUUUGAAAGUGCAUGUUGAUCAAGAACCACUUCAUUACUUGGCCUAUUAAUGUGUAAACUUUGCAAAUGACUAGUAAACUAUAUAAUGGCAAUGUAGGGAGUGGGUAGGCCAGGCUAUAGCUGCUUGUUUGCUCACCAUCGUGGUGAAGAUGCUUCAGGCAAGAAAAAAAAGGUUGACAGACAAAUGCAAUGAGAUAGUAGUAUGCACUGCUUCAGAUCAGAGCACCGUGGAGAGCAUUGUGUCGGCUCAAUACAGUUUGAUAACUAUUCAUGAGAUGUUGCAGGCAGCAAACAUUAUGAUUUUGAAGAUAUGGUCGAUAUUAAUUUCAAAGGCCCGCAAGGUACUCAUUUUGAUAACCUAUGCUUUCAGCUUAGCAAUUAAAUAUCGUUUUCAAUCAAUAUUGCUUAUUCGUCGUUAGCUGAAGUUCGUUUACCUACUACAUUUGUUGGAUGUCUUCAAUUAUUGAGGAGUCUUAGUUGCAUUUCCAAAUUGUUCUAAAUCCUCGUUUCAUUUAAUGGGUUGCAGCAUGCGGACACGGUUAUGGUGGCAUUGACUGGGUUAGCAAUAGUAUUAGCAGUUGUUCCAUUCAAGUAUAUUGUCAUGGGAGGUGUGCUGUACGGCUUCAUUAUGAACUCGAAGCCAAUGAAGUACCUGGGAAACAACUCAAACGACCAAAGCGGCAACAGACGUCUAAAAGAAUGGUGGGAGUCAAUCCCUAUUAUUCCUGUUCGCGUCGUGGACAAGCUUCCUGAGUGCCCAAAAUAAUGUGUCGGCUCCUGCACAAUCACAGUUGCCUAAAUCCUCUGUUUCUGAACUUUUGUUAUCAACUUACUGCACGAUAUACACUUCUGAGUUUGCUUUUGCCAUCAGAGUAGAACUGUAUCUGAAACACAGCAUACACUUAAAUGCUCAUUACAAAUUUGGAGAAAAGCACAAGUAGAAAAGGAUUGAAGACAUUCAGUAACGUUGAAAUUCUGCAUUUUCUUUAAUUUUUGUUAUGAACAAGUUUCUUAAUUAUUUGUUCUCUUGAUGUAAAAUAGCAUAUUGCUGGGAGUAAUGAAGAUGUGACUGUGCUUUUCCUAUUAGCAUGUUAAUAAAAGCAAAAUGGAAAAUUAUUAGUUACGUCCUCUCGUUUUGCGGCUUAUUGAGCUAACAAGUAACUUCUUCAUUACUAGCGUGCAAGUUUGCAACUAGUGAAUCUCAAAUAUAACUCUACCCAAUGGAUGGAUGUACGAUGGAUGUACCUACCCAAUCAUUUAUUUCUCAUUAAAUCUGUUAAAACAGAAAAAGUCCCGACGUCAUAUUCUUCGCGCCUUUUAAAAAACGACACGUGUCGUAUCCCACUACUCGCGUGCUGGAAACUUUAACCCACUCUGACUGCGUGACAGCAGAUCAUUCCCAAUUCAUUUCAGUUUCACUGUCACUUUCACUCCUCCUCAGGCGCCUUCCGACAAACAGGAAGAAUGCAAACUUGAAAACCCCCAAAAACCCUAACGUUCCCCCGGAGACCCUAACCCACCAUAAACCCUGGCUCUUAAUCCUAGCCACUAUGAGCGACCAAGACGAGCAAUCGCGAGCUCAGAAAGCCGCCCAGUUAACAAGUCCGCUCUCAUCCUCUCUCUCGAACCUUUCUUCUUCUUCAAGAAGCAUCCCCUCUAAUCAAGAUUUCCAUUUCUUCUACAAUUUCCCUGAAUUCAAUCAACCCGUCCAAGAAAUCGCGAACCAAUCGCAGCUCCUCCUACAAUCCAUCGGCUCAUCGGAGAUUUUUAACCAACCGAUCAAUUUUCCUGAUGAGGUUGACAUCUCGGACGCCUACGACUGGCUUGUCGACGUAAACGACAACGUUUUCGAGCGUAUGGAUGUUUCUUUCGACGAAUUUAGUAAAGUAAGAGGGGAAAAUGGGGAAGGAGAUGGAAAUGAAGGUGGCUUUCAGUUGGUUUAUGGGAAGAACAAGAAGAAGGGCGACAUUGUGGGUGGCUCUGCCCCGGCCAGUGUGAAAGUGAAGGACAGGAAAGAGAAAAGCAAGGUGCCGUUUCAUAUAUCGACUAUAACAAAACCGCAAGAGGAGUACAAGAUAGUUGUGAACAAUGCGAACCAGCCGUUUCAGCAUGUUUGGUUGCAGAAGAUUGAGGACAGUGGACGGUUUAUCCAUCCUCUUGUAAGUUUGUUAUUUUUUGAAUAUUUUGAUAUUGGAUUUGACUUACUGGGUUUGUUAAAUUUGUAAUCUGAAAAUAGUACCUUUCUUAGGGACUUUUUAGUGAUCAAUUAUUUCUUUCAUUUUCUUUUUGGGUGGUUUGUGGUAUAUGUUUACGCUUAUCUUGUUUGGAAUUUGUGUGCAAUUCUUAUUAUUCAUGCGAGAAUUUUAACACUAUCAUGUGGUUCAUGCUUGCCAAAAAUAUACCAAAACACUUUUGCUUAUUGCUAUUGCUUUAUUUGUACAGGACAAUCUUUCUGUUUUGGAUUUUGUUGAUAAAGAUAUAGGGGAUGUGGAACCUGUAAAACCUCCCUCGUUGGAGCAGACACCAUUCAAGCUUGUGGAAGAAGUUAAAGAUUUAAAGGAGCUAGCUGCUAAAUUGAAGAGCGUAGAUGAGUUUGCGGUAAAGUCUGACUUCUGUGAUUAUGUUUUAUUGAUAAAUAAUGCCGUGGUUCAGCCUUACUGCAGUAGUUUCUUUUUUUCAGCCUUUUGAUUUCUCUUUUCUGAUGGGGCAUUUCAUAUACAGAACUGAACACUGUCCUAUGUAGAGGAUAUAGUGUAGUUAAGGCACAUGUCACCGAUGUCAGCUACUUCAAAAUUAUAUAGUGCUGGAUGUGGUUUAAGCCAAUAAGACAAGAAAGGGGUGUGGCCGCCUAUGAAGAUACAUACAAAUAUGUUAAUAUUCGAAACAUAUACAAAGAAAUGUGCCUGUAAUAGUUUUCCUGUCUACGUAAAGUAGUAAACCAGCUGUCUAUUUAAUCUUGAUACAAGUUUUGCAUGUUUAAAAAAUUAUCUUUCAUCUUUAACAGUGAGUCCAUUUUUAGCUGUAAUCCUUUUCUCAAGCAUGACUUGGUUUUGCUUUCGUUUUCAUCUCAACAGUAAACCUGUUUGCAACUAGAAAACAUUGUAAUUUUUUUGUAACUUUUCUCUAGGUCGACUUGGAACAUAAUCAAUAUCGAUCUUUCCUAGGAUUGACUUGCCUGAUGCAAAUUUCCACCAGAACCGAAGAUUUUGUGGUAGAUACGUUAAAGCUUCGCGUUCAAGUUGGGCCAUAUCUUAGGGAAGUUUUUAAAGAUCCUACCAAGAAAAAGGUUGGUCCCUUCAACAUGCUCUCGCGUAGCUUUGUGAUAAAUCUUAUUUUUUCCCCCCCAAAUUAUGUUAACUUUUACUUUACUAGGUGAUGCAUGGAGCAGAUCGAGAUAUUGUGUGGCUUCAACGGGACUUUGGCAUAUAUUUGUGCAAUAUGUUUGACACAGGACAGGUUUUAUCCCUUGAAACUCUCUUUGAAAUUUGAGACUUUAUUGAUGAUCUUGUCUGGUUUUUUGUACAAUGGUUAAAUUUAUCUUAUCUUAUCUGCUUUUUUGUGGUCUAAUUUAUGAGUGUUGAUGCAAGCCUUUAUUCUACUAAAUUAGUUAAAUUGAGUUAUCUUUUGAUACUGUAUUUUCAAUUUUGUAAUUCAUCUUAUGUGUUUGAGUCAAGGUUUGGCUUCAAAAAGCCUUGUCAGUUACAUGUCAUCUCUCCCUUAAUUUUUUCAAAGUAGCUUCGCUUGUCAUUUGAACUAUUUGUAUCAUUAUUUUCAAUUUUGAUGUGGAACUUCCCCCAUUUAUUAAUGUUCUUUUGGUUGUUUUUGUGUAAUGCUCUUUUGUAAAUUUUACCGUGGCAUUUAUUUUGUUUUGCAUUUCAAAUAAUAGUGAGAAUUGCUUUUUUCAGUCCUAAGUUUAUUGGUUUAUUGUAAAUAUACUGUAUAUUUAUUUUGGUUUGCAUUGGGAGAUGAUCGUGGGAAUUUGUUUCUGUCUUUUCAUAAGGCCUCAAGAGUCUUGAAAUUGGAGAGAAAUAGUUUGGAGUAUCUUCUACAUCACUUUUGUGGAGUUAAUGCCAACAAAGAGUGAGUCCUUUUGUAAAGUACCUGAUCUGUUUCUCCUUAUAGUUUCCGCCCUUCAUCAUCCUAAGUCAACUCAUUGCAGAUACCAGAACGCAGAUUGGAGAGUACGUCCUCUUCCCGACGAGAUGCUGAGGUACCUUUGGUUCUCUUUUUAUCUUCUUUGUAACCUACUUUUCUAAUGAGUUCUCCAAAAAAAAAAAAAUUAUGAUCUGUUUGGCAUGAAAAUAAUUACUACUAUUUUAAAGUUCUUGUAUUCUUUGGAAAAGCAGAAAUCAUAUAUCAUCAUUUAAGUGUUUGGGGUUUCAUCUUUGCCUGUAUUUUUGUAGAAACUAAUAAUAUUUUUUUUUCUGUGGCUUAGGAUUUGAAUUGUGGGAAUAUCUAUGUUGGAAAUUAAUAAUGAGUGCACAUUGACUCUUGAUAGUGGACAAAUAUUUGGACAGCCAGGAAGGGGAAGGCCAACAAAAGUUUUGGGUUUUUAUAAGUUGAAGUUAUGAAUGGUUUUAUAAUUAAUUAGGUAUAGGUUUCCUCAUUUGGGUAUUUCUGGGAGAUCUGGGUUAUAAGAUUGAGAUAUUCCAGCCUGUAUAGAUAAUUGUAGGGUUGCCUGUGUUUGUGAUAUUCCAGCGCGUUUAUUAUUACUACUUCUUAUAUAUAUAAAAUUUUAGACUCUUUCCAUGUCUAACAAGAAGUUUUCAUGAUAUCACUUGGAUCCUACUCAUGCAGACUUGUAAGGCAUCCUUAGGUGCGGUUAUGUGAUCUGGUUUUUAUAAAUAUUUUUAAAUUUUUUGUCAGAGACAAUGCCUGUAGUGACAAUGUACUGACUUAUCUUUUGGUUAUUACCAAGCUGAAUCAGGUUGCCUGUGGUUUAUGACCAUACCAUUUGGUCUUAUAAAAUGUUCUUCCCUUCACCUCAUGUUCUCAUACUUUAAAGCAUGAAUAAUAUCUAAGGGCCUGAGAUUAUUUCAUUAAUUUUUCCCAAGUCUAGAUCCUUCCCAGAGAAAUGGAUGGAUUACCCACACACUCACCAGUAACAUGUCGUACUUUAUGACGGUUUUGCAUUACUGCUGUAUGUCAUUUAAUUUGCCCUUUUGAGGAUUCUUUAUUUUCUCUGGGCUGAUGUUACUUUGUGGUGCUUUUUUUUCCUAUUUAGUCAAAAUAUAUAUUCAUCAUAGAGUUUCUCUGUUAGAAUUUUCUUAGCUUUGAGGAUUCGUUAGUGGCAUAUCAUCCAAUUGAUUAUACUUGUGAUGACAGAUACGCUAGAGAAGAUACACACUAUCUGUUGUAUAUAUAUGAUAUAAUGAAAAUCAAGUUGUCCUCAAUGCCCAAGGAGUCUGAGAAUUCUGAUACUCCCCUGACAGAGGUAUGAUUUUUGCUUAACUGUUGGUGUUGUUUUGUAAAACUGUUGGGCAUCUCUAUGAUUAUAGAGAAUCCAUUUUUAAAUGCUUUUUUCAGAUCUUGUUGUGCCAUGUAUGACAGACCAUUGCGUCUGGAGAUUGGCAUGGAGCUUAAUAAUUACAAUGUUAAAAAUAGAACAUAAAAUAUUGGGAAGUAUCUAUCAUGACUAAUUCUUCAACUGUUUAAGGAAGAUAGUUUAAAUCCGAAUAUCCUUUUUUGGAUUGUGGACUAAAGAAAAUUGUCAACUCUUGAUUUCUCUUCCCAAGGAUGAAGACGUAUCAGUCUGUUGGCAAACACAUUUUUUGAAUUUUACUUUAGUUAUCUAUAAUUUUACCAUAUUGAGCAAACAUUUUGUUGCAAACAGGUCUACAAGCGCAGUUAUGACGUAUGCAGGCAGCUGUAUGAGAAGGAGCUUCUGUCAGAAAAUUCUUAUCUCCACAUUUAUGGGUUUGUCUUUGUCCCUAUUCAUCUCAGUUUAAGUUUUCAUUUAGUGGCCUCGCCUGUUUAAAAUCUUCUCUCAUACAGUUUUUGUUUGUUUCAUUCUUUACUUAGCAUUACUUCUCUUGUUUAAUUUUAGUUCUAUUUUGGACUUCGUAUUUAUGUGAUUUGACAGAACUUAAUCAGUGGAGCUUAUUUCUCUAUGUUGAAAUAGGUUGCAGGGGGCUGGUCUCAAUGCUCAGCAGCUUGCUGUUGUUGCGGUAUGUCAGUUCUUCAUGUGUUUUUCAAACUUUGCCACUUUUCUAUCUGGAUAUUAUAUGCAUGAGGAUGCUACUGAAAAUGUAUUAUCCGCAUGUUUUGUUUACUAGUUGCAUCUUCAAAUGAAACAAAGUCUUGACCCAGAAGAAUCCGUAACGCACCAAUAGUCACUAAUAGGAUUGUCUUGAGAAAUUUACUUCUAAAUUUUUGAGUGGAUGAUAGAAGGGUGGAUUUUAAGUAGCUGACACAUCAUUGCCAACUGCUGAUAGAGUCUGUUGCAUACUUGAGUAUUCUUGCUAGUUCUGGCCCCAUUGAUCCCACUUCAAUGAUUUGCAGGGUCUUUGUGAAUGGCGAGAUGUUAUUGCUCGUGCAGAUGAUGAAAGUACUGGCUAUGUAUUGCCAAACAGAACUCUGAUUGAAAUUGGUAGAAACCUGUCUGAAUUUCCUCCAACUCUCUCUUCUAUAUGUAUAUAAUCCAUUUGGUGAGUUAUGAGUUAAUCAUAUUUUCCUUUUGUGGUAAAAGCCAAACAGUUGCCUACUACUGCUGCCAAGUUACGUCGAUUGUUGAAAUCAAAGCACUCAUAUAUUGAACGCUAUAUGGGUCCGGUACUUAGCAUCAUAAAAAAUUCUAUGCAAAAUGCUGCUAAUUUUGAAGUCAUUGCUCAAAAAUUGAAAGAGGAACGUAUGGAAGUGGUAAGACCUGCAUGCUCAUGUUUGAUUGUUUUGUUAUAUCAGUGAUCCAAAUUGAUUAUUUUUCUUUGAGAAUUUGAUGUUAAUGCCUUCAAUGGAUUGCCAACAUACAUUGAUUUUCUUUUUCUUUUCCUUGGAUUUCGUUAGAAUCAGACCAACCAUCUUUUAAACGAGGAUGAUGGUCCAAAACCUUAAGGUCUACUACGAUGAAUUGCUACUUUUUGUGCAAGUUCUUGUAAUUCACUCAGCUGGUUGUCUUCGGCAAAUGAAAGGAAAAAGGAAAUUCAUCCAAUCCAGUUCUAUUGAAGAAAAAGAAUCCUAGUUGAUCUUACAAAAUUAAGCUUUCAUAAUUUGUUAACCCAUGGAAUGUGAUUAAAACUCAUGGACAAAGGAUGUUCCAGUUGAGAAAGGGAUUUGAGUGAUUUUUAGCAAUUAUCAGUGAUGUCUUCAUUAGAAGUAAGUUUAUGGUUUAUAGCAGUAAAUGCUCAAUAAUUAGGUACUCCUUGUAUAUUGGCUGACCGGGUCCCAUGUUUGUAGUAGGUUUUGUGAGCUACAGAGGAUUAACUUCAGUCAGUUUUCCAUGUUAUGGCUGUUAAGAGCUAUGUCACCAUUUUUCUUUGUUUACAUCAAACUAAUCUUUUUUUUUCCCCCCAUUUUUCCUUAUUUGUGUAGGCAUCAGAAGAAACUGAAGUUUUAGUUCUUGAUACUUCCUCAAACUUGAAAAUUCCGAAUGUUGGAAGGGAGAGUGUUGAUGGUGUUGAUGCAUUAGUUGGUACCACGAUGCCUCACCCACCAGCUUACACCCAGCUGAAACAAGAGCCUCCAAAGGUUGGAAGCAGUGUCGCAGAACUUGACAGAAAUGGACUAGGGUCUUUUGCGCAUCCUGGAGAAGCAAUUGCUUCAGAAAAUAAAGAAGCUACUCAUAUUUCAACACUUUCCAGCUCUGGUCAAAGUAGAGACUUGAAUGCUUGCAAGUCACCUUCACCAAGGGUUGUGAAUUUGAUGCCUUAAUGUGGAUUUUUUUUUUUUUUGGUUAAGAGGUUUAGCAUUCAAUUUCUUUUUCUUUGGUUGUGAAUUUGAUGCCUUAAUGUGGAUUGGAUUUUUUUUUUUUUUGGUUAAGAGGUUUAGCAUUCAAUUUCUUUUUCUUUAUAGGUUACUGAAGCUGCUGUUCAGGCUCUAAAGAAGCCGAACCGUGGUUUUGGAGCACUGCUGGGUAACCCAAAGAGAAAGUUUGAUGGCGAGAAAAAGGUGAGUUAAUCAUUUGCUAGUAAUGGUUGUUAAACAUCUGCUAUGUCAUUGUCACAUAGCAAAAUAACUAUUUCUGAGGCCUGCCAGUCACCCAGUUUGUGCAUGUGUGGUUGGGAAGAAGGCAACAAAGGAAGAAUAUAGUUAAACAUUUGCUAUGUUAUUCUUACAUAGCAAAAUAACUACUACUGAGGCCUGCCAGUCAGCCAGUCUCUGCAUGUUGGUUGCAAAGAAGGCAACAAAAGAAGAAUGUUUUUUUUUUUUGAAUCUUCAUUCCAUGAUUCACUUUCUUUUCAAUUUUUCUUGUCAACUAGCAUGUACAUUUGCCUUCUUGUUGCCUUUUUCGUUGCGUGAGUCAUUAUGAAUUAUGAUUUAUAUUAUACGGAAAUUGUGAGUGGGCAACUGUUGGGCUAUAAUCAAACAUGCAAAAUUUCGGGUCCCAUGACUAAGCGCUGCUAUCAUCUGGAUUUGUGUGUUGUUGCAUUUUAUAUUUGGUUAACACCCUUCUUAUUAUCCUCCUUUUGAUUGUUUGUUUGUCUUAAUUAGGACAAGGAAGCUAUGAAACUAGAGCAGAUUAAAUCCUCAGUCAAUCUUCCAUUCCACUCAAUUUUUGCAAGAGAUGAACAGUUAAAACCAGUUGAUGUGAUGAAGUCUGAACCAAAUAAGCCUGACAUUCCAUUUCCUUCAUCUUUUGGUAGUGGGCAACAAACGAAACCAAUCAUAGAGGAAUCCAAUAGAGUUACAGUAGUUUCCCAAUCAGAAGAACCCGCUCCGGCUGCUAGGUCUGAUACAGAAGAUAUUAUUACGUUGGAAGAUGAUAUAGAUGAAGAGGAACAAAACCUUGGUAAUUUGGAAACUGCAAGUGCGCCCGGAGAGGACGGUUCUGCAGGGUCUGCUUUGGAAAUGGGUAAACAAGAUGAGACCAUGUCUCUCUCUGAUUUAUCAACUAGUUUCCAGGAGUGCUUCCACUCUGCUAACAACAAUAGAAAACCUGGAAAGCCUGAGAGAUCUGAAGAACCUAGUGGUUUUUUGCAGCUUAAGCCGUUUGACUUCGAAGCAGCUAGGAAACAGAUCGAGUUUGGAGAAGAUGCCAAAGAAAAAUCAGCUGGGGUUGAUGGAAACAAAAGAAAACCAGUGAACUCUGGAGAUAAGAAAAAAGUUUCAGCUGUAGAUCAAGCUCAAAAAGAUGAUGGAACAAAAGAACUGUCACAAGGUAGACGACGUUCUGCUUUUCCUGCAACUGGAAAUCGAAGUGCAACAUUUCGCUGAGUCUCUGGUAUCAAUCAUGCUGCUCUGUGUAGCAGAAAUUAGUUGAAUUUUGGAUUUUCACAAUCAUGUUCUUGAUUUAAAUGGAAAUUAAUGCUGGUGGACAAAUUCGCAAUGGUUGUACGUAUAUUUCCAUUGCUUGAGGUCUUGUCUGAUACAGCAUGAGCUAACCUGAUCAUCUUUUGAUAUUCAGUAACAGGAGAGAUGUAUGGUCUGCAGGAGCCAAUGAUGGGCAAGUGAUACCUGAGGCCGGUGUCUAUUUGAAGGUAAAAUGGGCGAUGGUUCUAGGUUUCAUAUUAGGUUUUUGAUAGUCUUGAGUAAUUGCCCUACUAUCUUCAUAUUUAAAAAACAGGAUGGUUUCAAACCAAAGUGCGGUUUGUAAUCAAAAGCAUUUGAUCUUUUUGUUUUUGUAACUUUACGGGUUUUAUUUUUAGAAAAAUGGUUCUGUACUAUGGUUUAUUUCUGCCUUAUUUGAUAUUGUGGUCAUCUUAGGCUUUAUUUAGUGUAAUUUUUCAGUUAUAUGUUCGUUUGGGAAGAGGAAAUGAAGUUAAUUUUAUUUCACACUUGCAUAAGAAAAAAUUGUAAUGUUUAUAUUAUUUUUGUUAAAAUUAUUAUUUAAAAAUUAUAUUUGAUAUCUAUUAAUAAUUUUUAUUAUAAUUAUAAUUUUCUUUUUCCUCCAUCAUCUCAAUUGCUUAUAACUGCUGUUGAGGAUGGUUGGUGCGAUGUUAAUAAUUUGUAAAGGGCUUAGUAACAUCUGGUUCCGUGAUGUCGGCCAAACCAUAUCGAAGGGCUUAAUUUGACGGUCAUCGGGGCCUCCUGCCCAGCUGCCCUCCUUUACGGAUUCCGCUUCCGCAAAUUAUUUUAUAUAAACUGUUGUUACAUGAUAGUGGUGGCCGGAUGAAAAUACUACAUGACCAUAUAAUGCUUUCGGUGCAAUGAGUGAAAAAGAGAAAUUUUUAUGUAUUCUCGGAUUGAAGGAGAAAUUUUAAGAUUAAGAUUGUGGAGUGGUAGCAGGAGUAAAUUAUUUACUUACAUCACUAUGAGAGUGUGGAACGAAAAUUAGAAAUUAUGUAUUUUCUUUGUCUUAGAUUGAGAGUGAAUCAUUUUAAAUUAUAAUUUUAUCCUUAUUUAAAGAAUUGUAGUUUUUAAUUAUAAAGUAAAUAAAAAAAUAUAUUUGCACAAUAAAUUAUUUAUUUUGUUAUUAAUUUUAAUUAUAUAAAUUAAUAAUAAUUAUUAUUAUUCUUAAUCAUGUGAAUCAUGAUUUUUUUGUUAAUUUUNNNNNCGUACAGCAGAAAUAAAUAUGAUAUUUUUAUUUUUAAAUAAAUGUGAUAUUAUUUUUAUUUUUAUCAAUAUAAUUAUAUUAUAUUCAAUAAGGAAAUGAUAAAAAGAAAGAAGUGGGAGUAGAUUUCUACUUUUUAUUCAAAAACAAAAAUGAGACCCACAGAGUAGAAGCCUAACUCUCCUCCUUAGAUGAGUACUAAAACGUUUAAGUAGGAGAAAUUCAUAUUUUUGACUCCCACUCUACAAAGUAAACAUAAUAAUAAUAUCAUAAUAACAUUUGAUAAUUCUAUAUAUUUGUGACGUCAUAUCUCAUCAAUUGAUUAAUAAAAUUAAAUGGUGAUUAUUUAUGAAAGAACAAAAUUAAUUCAUGUGAGUUAUGGUUAAUAAAUAAAUAAAAUAUAAAAUGUUAAAUUUUGACUAUAAACUAAUUUCAAUAUCUAAUAAUUUAAAAGCUCAAUAGAGCUAUGAUAAAAACUAAAGGGAGGAUUCUUAAUCCGAUCCGGGAUCUUAAUCAGUUCAGGACCGAUCCACUUCCAGCUAUUACGCGUCAAACAUCCAUUUGACGAUUGACGUGUCACGCCAUCUCACUGUCCUCACAAGAAAACCCGUUACCUUCAAAAUGCUCCAAACCCAUCAACGCCGAAUUCAAAUCAAGCCCCAAGACCAAAUACAAAGCAAAAACAAAUAAACAAACGUCUGUUCAUUCAGUCUGAAAAAAUCAAAAGAAGUAAAAGGAUUGGCGAUGGCGAUGGCGGUUGAAGGAGGAGGGACAUUAUCGGAGAUAUAUCAAAGUGCGAAGAAGUUGCUGUUGAGAGCGAGAGACGGAGUUGAGAAACUGGAGAGACUGGAGAGCUCGACGUCGACUGGGGGAUACGAUUCGCCGGAGCUCUCCUUCGCUGUCAAGAAAGAUAUUUCUCAGAUCCAGUCACUCUGCGUCGAGAUGGAUCGCCUAUGGCGCUCCAUCGCCGACAAGUCUCAGCGCGAUCUCUGGAAGAGGUACCUAUUCAUUUACUGUUUUGCCACGUGGCACCGAAUCAACCUUGUGUCGUGUCCUAAUUGCUCUACGCCAGUUCGGUUGCAAUUCUGUGCAUGAACCGCAAUUUUUAUACUGAAUAUUACAUUAUUGAUUUUGUCUGAGCGACAAGGCAUGCUUCCACGUUUACUUGUUGCUUAGUUUUAUUGUUUUGCCUUCUAUGUUAACAGUCUAUAUAAGUUUUAUAUGUGUUACAGGCAUGUGUAUAUAUGGAAGUACAUUAAUAGCUGUUCAUGCUGUUGCUUGCUUGAGGUCGUUGGUAUAUUUGCAUUUGGAACUAAAUGUGCUUGGUGUGGGUUCGCUAUGUGUGUGUGUGUGUGUGUGUUUGUUUGCGUUUGAUGUUAAAUGGAAUUACCUUCUAUCGAGUCAGUGCCGCAAUUUGAUUGCUUGGUUUUUCAGAGGUGUGUUUUUAUGUUAUGUCAUGCAGAAAAGUUGAACAAGUAGCAGAAGAGGCUGAAUCAUUGAAAGAGAGUCUCGAUAAGUACUUUUUAAGAAAUCAGAGACGGAUAAAUGAAGCUAGAGAGAGGGCGGAAUUGCUUGGAAGAGCUGUAUGUUUAUUCAGUUUUCGUUAGAAGUUUUGAACGGAUUCUGUAGUGUUUUUCUUGUCUGGAAACGAGAAUUAGCUUUCCAAUCUGAUGAAUUUCUUUUAUGUUAUAGAAUGGAGAGUCGUCUCAUAUUUUGAGAAUUUUUGACGAGGAGGCGCAAGCAAUGCAGUCAGUACGCAAUUCAUCGAGGAUGUUGCAAGAAUCGUUUGCAACUGGGACAGCCAUUCUUGCCAAAUAUGCAGAACAAAGGGAGCAUCUAAAGGUAUUGACACUUAAGCUCCUUGUUUACAUGCACAGUUGCACACUAGAAAUUUUUGCCAAGCUCACUCAAACUGUGUGCAAACAAAGUUCACUAAACAGGGUCAAAUGAGAAAUUUACAUUCUUGUCAUGGUUGUAUUCUUAACAUGAUUAAAUAUUUAAAUGAGAACAAUGUUAGAUCCUCAAAGCAAUUAUCUUUAAUAUUGAUUUAUACUACUGCUAUAGAAAUUAUAAGUGUUUGCAGCACCUGCACAAAUGGCUGCAGAGAAUUUAGUCUGUCUAUGGUAAUAAUUUUAAAAGCUGGUAACUCCAAAUAUUCAACAGUGGCUGACAAAAACAAUCCUCAAGUUUUAAAGUAAAAGCAAACUUUGCUUUGAAAUAAUCAGUGACAACAAUGACGUGAAAGUGUCACCAACUGUUUAUAUAUAAUAUCUCCAAUAUUCCAGAAUUUAGUUUCAUAAUGGCUGGCAAAGACUUGGUUUUUUUAAGGUUUAAAGUAAAAACGAUCUCUGCUUUGAAAUGUUCAGUGGCAACAGUGAUGUAAAAUGAUCAGCAACUGUUCAUAUCUAGUAUCUCCAAUGUUUAGAAUUUUGUUUAAAAGAUCCGUUCCAUCCAUAAAAAAAUUUCAUUCUGAAUAAGCAACUCAAGAUUACACUUCGCAAGAACACACCAUCUACCAUUUCUCACAAAUUUAAAUGUCACAACCUAUGAUCCAUUACCAAUUGUGAGAAACGGCAGAUUAUUUGUUCUAAUGAAGUGUAAUUUGAGUUGCUUAUUUAAAAUGAAAUUCUUUUAUGGGUAGAAGGGAACUUCUAAACGAAGUUCUAGGAAUCAAAUUAGCUGUUUAGAUUUGAAUAGUUGGUGAUGCUUUGAUGUCACUGUUGCCACUGAUUCUUCUCGAAAAGAAACAGAUUUUUAAAUGGUAUUAUAGAGGUCACAGAAAAAAAAUAGUCAUGCUAUCAUUGAUAGCACUUGCCACUGAUGUUGAUAAUGAGUUUAACUGAUUAACUUCCAUCUUUGGUUCAGAAAGCACAAAGGAAAGCUCUGGAUGUUCUCAACACUGUGGGUCUGUCCAAUUCAGUAUUGAGGCUCAUUGAGAGGAGGAACCGUGUCGAUACAUGGAUCAAAUACGUAGGAAUGGUUUCUACAGUGGUCAUCUUAUAUUUCUUCUGGAGGUGGACUAGGUGAUCCGAUCUUCAUACUUAGCCACGCAUAGAUCAUUAAUCCGCAUACUUUGGAAUGAUUAAGUUUUGUUCUUGAUAUUUGCCCCAUAAGAGGGUUAAUGAGGAUGUACAAGGCAUUCUUUGAUGAGAGACUAUCCUCUUAUGAGGAUGUAUAAAGCAUUCUUUGUUAAGAGACUAACUCGUAUAGGACGGACUCCCAAAGAAGGUUCUUUGCAAUUCUUGAACAUUUAGAGCGAAGUUGACGAAACGUGCUAGUUGUUUUUGUAUUUUGGCAAAAGGGGAAUUACAGAGUUCGAAGAUUCUAAGAAAUGCGCCAAUUUUGUUUUGUUGUCAGAACGCAAAAACGGCCUGAUUGUGGACGGUUAAAUCCGGAAUUAUGUAGUGGAUUUGCAGUUAUUGAAGGGCAUGCUUGGGAAAAUAAUAUGGUCAAAUAAAAUCAAGAACAAUUAUAUUGUAUCUGCUGUUUAUGCGUCCGUACUUGAAGGUGUCCACGUGGCUGGUGUGUGUUUGUUAAACCAGUAAAAUUAAGUAGUGCGAAGUUCUGAUCGCCGCUCAUUGAUUGUUUUUUUUUUUAACUUUAAAUAAACUAUGAGAAAAGGCUUUGAAUGAGUCGCAGAUAAAUUAAAGUUUUUUUUUUCUUCUUCUAAAUUUAUAUCCAAUGGUUCGGCACAUGUUAUUUUCUUUAUUUUUAGUGCACACGGUAAACUAUUGAUAGUAUUUGGUGUAAACUCACUUUCAAAUCGAUGCUUCACGAAAAGUCCAAAUGACGCGCUAUGAAAGUAAUAUAGAUAACUAGGAUAAGUGGAAAUGAUAAACGAAUAAAAUGAAGUAAAAAGAAUUUUUCAUUUUUAAGGGUUACAAAAUAAGAAUAGUUAAUUACUUAAUUAGUUGACUUGCUAAAAAUUUUUCAUGCAAACAAAUGGUCUGGACUGGAAUCCGUUUAAAUGGAUAGGAAGAAAAUUAGAGUGUCGUAAAAGUACUGGAGUUUCAAAUCCCCUCACGUAGUCACAAGGAUUAGAAGAAAAUUGAAUUGUUAGGCAAAAUGAAAAAAAAGAAAAAAGCUUAACAUUUUUAUUUUCUAAAAAAAUGUUUUUCUUAGUUGUUUUGUUUUUUAAUUUUAAAUAUAUUUAAAAUUUUGAAAUUAAUAAAUGACUUUGAAAACUUGAGUGUGCUCGAGCCUCGAGAUCUACUCAAAUUCUUUUACAUUAUUACAUUAUGAAAAAUUGUAUGAUGUCGUGAUUAAACUAUUGUAUCAAUACUAUGAUAAACAUAAAUUUUAGAAAUUAUAUAUAAGACUAGUAAGUGAAAUGUAAAAUAAAUUAAUUAAUAUAAGAGUGGUAAAUAAUGUUUUAAAAUUAUAAACAAAACAAACACUUAUAAAAAUAACAUAAAAAUUAUAAAUCAACAUUAAAUUUUAAUGUAAAAAUAGUUUAUUUAUUUAAUUUAUUCAAGCAAAGAAAAACUUUACUCAUCAAUUGAAAACAAAAAUUUUGUAUUGAAAACAAUGGGAAUAAGUUUUAUUAAUUGAUUUAACCAUGAAUUUUAUAUUCAUGUCAGGAUAUUUAUAAACUGUUUUUUUUUUUCAUUUUCUAUCAUAGUAUUUGUUUACUAUACAAGUUGAUUAAGUAAACUUAUUAUUAUUAUUAGUAUUAUUAUUAUUAUUUAUGUGGAUCAAGCCAAAACAAAAUAAAAAUACAUUUGAAUAUUACUAGACAUAUAUGGAAUAUUAAUACAAUUGAAUCUAACUUUCAGUUUUAUACAUAAUUCAUCUAGUUUCAAAUUUUACUUCUUAUACUAAAAGAUCAUUUGAGGUUGCUAUCGAGGAGGUUUAAAAUGAUGCAAAAUCACUUAUAUCACAAAUAAAAUAUGAAAAAAAAUUUCUAAAAUUUGAUUUUGAGAGUAAGUUUUAUCCUUAAUAAAAUUCCACAUAUAUUAUCACGUCUAUUACAUAACCACAGAAUUAUCAUUAUUUGAUUUAGAAAUAAAAAUAGUAAAUAUAUAAUGUAAUCAUUAUUAUAGUGAGUUUUUAUUUAUUUUUUCAAUAACUCUUAUAAUAUUUACUUAUUUUACAUUCAUUUACAACUCUUCUAUUUUACUUUUAUAAUUUAUAUGUUAUUUUACACUUAAUGUUGAUGUACAAGUUUUAUAUCACAUUUGUAAACAAGUUUUACUUUAUAUUUACAUGUAUUAUGUUUUAUUUACUUAAUUCAUGUUUUAUUUUAUACUUAAUGUUGAUUUACAAGUUUUAUAUUAUAUUGAUAUAAGUUUUUAUUUUAUUUACUAAUGAUAUAUCAACUUACCACUGUUAAUUUACUUAUUUUACCUUCAAUUUGCAAGUCUUGUGUUUCAUUUACAUAAUUUAUUAUGUUUUAUUUUACGUUUAAUGUUGAUUUACAAGUUUUAUGUUAAAUUUACACCUCUUAUAUUUUAUUUACACAAUUUAUGUUCAAUUAUAGUAUAUUAUAGAAUGACUCAUUUGACAUUACAAUACAAAAUUAUAAACAUAAAUAGAUGUAUCAAAAAGUCUUGUCGAAAAAUGAAUCCACCUUAAUACGGACCUGUCUCAUUGUUUUAUAAUUAAAGUUGCACACUCUUACAAUGAACUUGAAGAAAUUGAAUUCUCAACAUCAAUAAUGAGGUGUCUAUUACUAAUAAUAGUUUAUAAAAAAAAUAAAAAAAAUAAAGAAAUAUGAUUAAAUUGAUCAAUGUAAUUUUAUUAAAAAAAAGAAGCAUUUUUAUUACAAAAGCAAUCUCAAAAUAUAUAUUUUUUGUAGUUACAAAAAAUCAUGACCUAGUGGCGACCUAGUGGCGACCUGGUGGGCGUAUAUACAAAAAUCAUAAUAUUUUUAUACUGAUUACAUAAAUUCGGUGAUCACAGACCACAGUAAAACCCUGAAACCGCCCAACGGGGUUCUUUACCAGAGGAAAAAAGGGAGGAAAGAAAAUGACUUUUUAAUAUAACGGCACGGGUUUAAGCCAAAAACGGUGGAAUCAAAUCAUUGACACGUUCGUGCGAUGCCUUCACUCCUCAGGCAAACCAGACUCCCGCAUGUGAAUGCCACGUGAACGUAGCUUCUUCACAUAAUUUUUACCCCAAUGUCCAAAUUACCCCUUAUCUUUUACUCCUUUUUUUUUCUUUUUAACUUUGCCCGAUUUUGAAGUCUAUUACGUAUUGCGGACUGCUGCCCUCGCUUGACGUGUUUUUUCUCCUUUUUUUUUUUUUUCCCUCUCCAAACUAUUCUUUUCAAUUUUAACUAAAUAAUUUUUUUUUUUAUUACGAACAUCAACUUAAAAUUUAGGUUAGUUAGACACUUCCCCACUUCAUCCUUAAAGUCAAGUAUUCAUAUCUAUCUGUCUAUGGUGAAUAAUUUUUUUUAUUUUUUAAACUACGAACAAGUUAUCUUUUUUUUUUUUCUUUUCCAAUAUCACUAUUUAUCCACUUUUAGUUUAAUUCUUUCUGCCUAAGAUGAUCAAUUUAAAUUAAAAAUGGGAUUUUGAAAUUAUUUACUAAAAAUCAUGAUUGUUCUUUUGACGUAUUUGAAUAAAGUUUAUUUGGAAAAAUUAAUGUAAAAAAAAAAAAUGUUGGAAGAUUACGACAAUGGAAAUGUAGUCUCUGGUGAAAUGCUCUGAUUCAAUCAAUCAUCAGCAAAUGCGGUUCGCACGUUGGCAAUGGAACUCGUGAUAGCACAACCGUGAAAUGUCCUUCAUUUGGGAGUCCACGUUAAUCACAUGUGGGUCCAUCUUGAGUGCUUUUGUGCUUUACAAUUAAAAUAGACAGACAGGCUGAUGACCUGACAAUUUCGAGCCUGAUAAAGCCCCUUCAUCAACUUGAUCAGAAGGACAGGACAGCUAUUAAUAGAAAAAAGCAGCAGACUAGUACUAAUCGAGAAGUCAAACAGAUAAAAACUAAAACUAAAUAAUCUAAUCUCCUCCUAAUUCACUAAAUUAUUUUAUUUCUAUUGGUAUAAUUAAUUAAUUGAUUGAUUAAUCAAACAUGCCUUCACAAUUAAAUAGUUUCAACAGUGUAAGUUGAACCACGUGUCAAGCAAAAGCAACCAUCAUUUAUUAUAAUUUUUUUUUAUUUUUUUCGAAAAAGGAAAAAUCAAAAAACAAGGCAAGUUGAUGCCAACAGGAUCUGAUCCGGAAGGGUAACCGAGUCAUUUCGCCGUCAUGCAUGCCUCAAUCCGGAUUGCCUGCCCGCCCCCACGUUGGAAAACCAGGGACGCAUCGAUAAGCAGUUUCAACACCCAAAACACAAACUUGGGGGCGGGAAUUGCAAAACGAAAUAACAGCUUUUGCUUUUGCUUUAAUUUUUUUCCGUUUGUUUUCUUAAAAAGAAAGAAAAAAAAAAAUACUCCCAGUUCCACAAUAGAGCCCCUGGUUUUGCCUAUUUCUUUAAUCCUUUUACGCAGACUCAUGAUAAAUAUCUCCAUCUAUCAGUCAGUCCAUACGGUUUCCUUUCAUCACCAACCCCACCAACGAAAACAAAAAAAACAAAACAAACCCCCUCUUCAGAAAUAUAAUUAUAAUUUUCUUUUUCUAUUGAAUUAAGCUUGUUGGGUAUAAUUUGCUAAUUAAUCAAAGAUCGAUCUAUGACGACGGAAGCGGUCAGCAAGGUUGGAUAUGCGCAUAGUAAGGUUGCUAUGAAGAAGAAGAGCGGUUAUCGAGGUCGAUGCAGGAGAAGAAAUCACGACAGAUAUGCACCCGAUAAUAAAACGGUGCCGAUGGCGCUGCAGCGUCUGUUUCUUUCUUGCAAAGACGUCUUCAGAGGCCCUGGAACCGUUCCCGCUCCUUCUCAUGUCCAAAUGUUGUGCUCUAUUCUUGGUAAGUGUUUUUUUUCUUACACUUCAUCAUUUCUGGUCCAAUUUUCUUGUUUUUCAUUUGGCCGCUGCACUCGCAUGACGUGUAUGUUGUGAAAUCUGAACCCAUCAUCAUCCUUCAUCCAUGCACAUAUAUAUUAUCAGUCAUGAGAAAUUUUGAAUCAGCCAUUAAAAAAAGAAAAAAAAAAAGAAAAGGAAAGAUUCAAUAUUAUCAAAUCAAUACCAUUUUGUUUCAUGAGAUGAUCUAUGAAAGAUGGGAAAGGAGCACUGCUCCUUAUUUCAUUUCCUGUCACGUCUGUGUUUCAAUCAAUUGUAAUAAUACAUAUAGCCACGUAAAAAGCAAGGGGCAAUACUCUUUACAGCACGAAAACCUUCUCAAAAAAGGGGCUUUACUUUAUUGGCAGUAAUGAAUUGUUUUGAGCAAUUCAAUUCAUCAGUGCACUUAUCAUGUUUACGUAGUUUGUCAAUUUGGUUCCAGUUUUUGGUUCUUUUUAUUGGAUUCAGUGCCGAAAUGUCAUGUGUGUUCAUAGGACGUACUGGGAAAAGGAUUAGAAAUCUGUACUGAAUUUUUUUAAAUUUUGGGGGGGGGUUUUUUUUUGGGGUGGAUGGGGUUAUGGAUCUAAGUGGAUGGUACCAAUUUUCAAAAAUGUAGUUUAAUUAACUUUCCAGUUGAAAUUACAAAACCAAACCAUCCGAAAUGGAUUCUUCGAGAAAAGGUGGGUUCAGAAAACAAAGUGGUUGCUUCUAGGUGAAUCCAGAUUUUUUUCACGCGGACACAUGGUACCUUUUGGUUGAUUACCCAGCCACAGUGUUGCUUGAGGGGACAAAAAUAUCAUAUUUGUUUUUUUUUUUUUUUCCAAAUUCCUUUUUAAUUCGUAACUCAAUCUCAUGGGAUCCUACUCAGCAGCCAUUGUGAUUAUUUUUUUUACCUGACGACGCAAAAAUCUUUGCAUUAGAAAGGAUACAUAAGCACAUUUGCCUACUGUUGCUACGUGUACAUGUGCAAUGGUUUGGUUGCAAAACUGGAAGCAUUGGCACAUUAUAUAUAUGUGUGUUUUUUUUUUUUUAAUAUGUAUAAAUGCAUGGAUCAUGACACUUGGCUAAGUUAAAAUUUCCAUUUUCUCGUUAUCAUAAAGAUUGCCAGUGACUCAAACAAGCUUUUCUUUUUAAAUUUAUGAUGCUACAGAUGAAAUGAAGCCAGAGGAUGUUGGGCUUAGCAGUAAGUUACAGUUACUUAGUGCCAAAGAUGCAAUGAAAGGGACGCCAAUUGUCACAUCCACUACAAUAUACAAAUGCCAGAACUUUUCGGUAAAGACAUAAGCUAUUCAUAUUGGGCUAAAUUAAAUUCUUUUAUUAUCGUAUACUAAUUUGUAAACCAUACUAAUUAAUAGUGCAAAUUUGAUUUAGAACUUGAUAGAUUACCUUUUGGAUUCUCUUUUGUGCAGUUGUGUCUUUUCUUUCUUCCUCCAACUGCUGUGAUCCCCUUGCACAACCAUCCGGGAAUGACUGUUUUUAGCAAGCUUUUGCUCGGGACAAUGCACAUAAAAUCGUACGAUUGGGUCGAUCCUGUUGACGCAAACGAUUCUGCAGCCCCCACAAAACGUGAGUACCGCUUACCUUAUACAUAUAUGUCCAUGUAUAAUGCACACACGAACACACACACACACACACUCACAUAUCAAAACAACACGAUAACUUGAAUGUGCUAGCUCGGACUAGGAUGAUCAUUUGUGACUGAAAGUGAUGAUUUAAUUAAUUUGCAGCGCGAUUGGCGAAGUUGAUAGCCGACAGUGAUUUCACAGCACCUUGCAACACUUCUGUGCUAUAUCCAACAACAGGAGGCAAUAUCCAUGAAUUCACAGCCAUUACGACAUGUGCCGUGCUCGAUGUGCUUGGACCUCCCUACUCUAAGGACGAUGGUCGGGACUGCUCAUAUUACAAGGAGUUGCCACUUCCCGCGGUUCCAAGUAAGCGAAACAAAACCACUUGUUACUGAUUAAAAACAACCUCGUUUAAACCUCCUCGAGUAGCGCUUUCAGAGGUCUUACCAAUUAAACCCACCGAUUUUGUUAAUGCAGAUGGAGAGAAUCAGGAGGCAAAAGAGGAUGAUGGUGGUGAGAGUUGUAGGUGGUUGGAAGAGAUUGGGGUGCCAGAGAACUCACACAUGGAUGAAAUUGAGUACUUGGGACCGCAGAUAAUUGAGUAGUAGCUGUAACUAGCUUCAGCCCACAGUCGCGUGAUAAAAAAAAAUUUCAACGCAUUAUCUUCUUUUGUUUCAUAGCUAGUCAAUGGUUUUGUAUUUAUAUAUACACAUAUAUUACGUUGUUUCCUGACCUGAGUUUUCACUAUGUUAAUAGCAAAAUUUCAUUUCUUUUUCUUUUUUCUCUUUAAUCCCGGUAUCUUCUUUAAUAACUUGAUUACUUGAGUACACUGUACCAUUGAAAUCAUGGUUCAUGCCAUAGUUCCCUUAGAGGAAGGUCCAAACCCGGCUUAGGAGAAAUGGAGGUUUGGGCUGUCGAGGGCCUUGGUGUUGCUAUGUUCCCAAGAGAUGUUUACUUGGGCUGUCGAGCGCGCCGAGAAGUGCUUAAUAUUACAUCAAUGGGCCGGGCUUGUAACCGACUACUACACAUUCCCAUGGCGGCAAUCCUGAUCAGUAAUUAACUUGGGAUUUUGCAUUCAAUGAUUGCCACAAUAAUAUCAGCAAACUUUUCAGAAGAACCUUAAUUGAUAAUUGUCAUUUUGCAAUCAUAGGUUAGUUGAUGGAUAUACCAUGGGCCCUGAAAAUUAAUUAAAAUAUCAAACAUUGUAUGCUCCUAGGUUGGAAAUUUUUCAAAAUUUUCAAUAGAAAAAUAACCUCAAAAUCAAUAUUUUACAUGUGAAGAUCUGUUUCAUUAACAAGCGCGAUGGGCCAAACGGAGGGAGCCAGGAAUUUUAAGCUGUUCAUAUUUGACGCCCUAAUUUGGGAUUUGCUAAUACGGAAAAACUUUGAGCUGCUCACUAAUUUAUAUCUUGACUUCGAGAAUCUGCGCAAUUACUAAUUAGUAGCCAUCAAUAAUUGUCAAAAAUCAAUUUUGAAUUUCGAUAUUUUUGAAUGCAUUGGUGUUACGUGUUUCUCCAUACGCGUUAGUAAAUUUGAGAUGGUGUAAAUUUGUAAUAAACUAAUAAUAUCUUCUUUUUUUUAUAAUUUGAAAAUCAACCCAAUCUGAUUCUCUAAAUUAACAAGAUCAAAUUGACUAUCCAAUGUUCAUUCACUAGGAAAGUCCUAAAGGUCCCUCUAAACUAGAAAGUUACUCAAAUCUAUGGCCAAAAUAAAGUCUUCUUAUAAUUAAAGAAACAACCCAUCUUUUUUUAAGAUCUUCUGACAAUGAAUUUUCAAUUAUGAUGGGGUUUGAAGUUUUGAAAUUUUCUAAGAAUUAUUAACAACUGAAAAGAGAAAGCAAAAGAAAAAGGACGAUGUGAUAUGGCAUGGGACAUGGACUUCCCACCACCUUUACAUUGCCAUCAUGCAAAAAAAAAGCUCUCAAUUUUAUGCUUAGCUUGUUCUUGUUUUCUUUCUUUUAUCACUUCUUUAUUACGUGGGUCUUGAAUUCUCAAUAGUUUCUAAUUGUUAAAAAACUCCAUGAAAAUUGCUUUCCCUAUUGUAAUACCUCCAUUAAGGAGAAUGAAGGGUUAAAAAUGUACCGACAGAUACUGGAAAAUUAUUGAAUGAAGUAAUCAACAUGAUUGUUCACUGACAAUAUUAUAUUCGGAAUAAUGAUAGCUGGUUGUUUUGGAUUGUUUUAGAUGUUGUAUUAGCCAAUUAGGCAUAUUGGUAUAUAUUAUUAUUAUAUGAAAUACUAUUGCCUUUUUUAUUAGCAAAAGACUUUCGGUUAAGAUUUUGCUUAAUUACACGAUUGCAUCGUGAUUGUUUUUAAGCUUCAUCAUUCAAUUCCAAAACUUAACGUAACAAAAGAUCUUACUAACAAUACUAUUUUAAUACCCAUUUUUUUCCCAGUCACGUGAGUGUAUAUGAUCUCCAUAUCUUUGGUACUAUAUCUAAAAAAUUUUUCCAAUCAAAUUAAUUAACACCCGCAGCUACAUUUAAGCAAAUUGUUCUAAGCCGCUAGGGUUUAAUCUAGUAGUUAAAACACAACCCUUACAAUUGUGAGAUUAUGCGUUCGAACCCUCACAACAAUACAUUGUGGGGGUUUAAUUUUCUUCUCUAAUUUGAGUGAAAGCAGUCUCAUAAAAAUAUGGAUUGUGCUUGUCCCAAAAUUAUUUAAUUAUAAAUAUCAGUAUACUAAUCUCAUAAAAUAUAAGUAAAUACGAGUUGGAAUAUGAUCAAUAAUGUCAUAUAAUUUUUUUUAUUUAAAAAAAAAAAAGCAAAGUGCUAUGCAAUCCACUUGAUAUUACGACAAUAACUGGCACACUAAUGAACAACUAGUAAAUUCAUUUUAAAAGAAAUAACACCCCAAAUCAUUAAUAUUUAAAAAGAAUCAUUUGAAAAAAUCUUAAAAAGUGUUCGGCAAUCCACUUGUCAUUGUAACAAUCACUCACACGCCACUGAUCAACUUUAGUUUCAUUCAGUAUGCCGAGAAAUAGAAUUUAAAAAUAACAACACCUCAAAAUCAUACAUAUUUGAGAAGAAUCACAUGAAAAUUGAGCAGGUCAAAUAGUUGUGUAUAGAACAAAUUUUUUCAUGAGACAGGCUGGAUAGCAAGAAAUGGAAGCCAACUGUGAGUUUCGGUCUUUCAUAGAAUUUGGCCUAACGUUGUCACAUUCACUAUUCACGUACCCAUAUUAUCAUCAUCCCAGUGGGCACUGGCACUGCUGAGUGCUGACCCAAUAGAACAAAAUAAUAAUAAUAAUAAUAAUUCCCACUUGCUCAAUAUUUUAUUCUUUUCAUUUUAAUUGUCAUUUUCCCAAGUAAAUAAAAACCUUUUAUGCAAUUAAUUCUGCUUGUCGGGUGGAUGAGGUGGUUCAUCACGUUCAAAUGUUCAAUCAAUGACAAUUUUAUCGCAAAUUCCAUUGCUUAUAAUUGUUGUAACCAAACAAAUCCCUGGUGCCUGCACUAACACCUUAGCUUCAUUUUCAAUUAAGGCGGUUUUCAACAACUUAUUAACUUUAUUUUUAAAGAAAAAGAAAUCCCAAGUGUUUUUCUCACUAAUUGAUUGCUUAAAAAUACUUAAGAAAAUUACCCACAAAUAAAUUAACGAUAAACAUUUAGUACUAGCUUAUGAUUUUUUUGGGGGGGGGGGGGUUUCUAAUAAAAUUUGGAUUAUUUGGGUUUUAUAUUUGAGAAAAGUUAAGUUACGACGAUCGAUAAUUAUAUACCCUUAAAUAAUUAUUAUCUAAUUUGGAUAUUUUUAUAUCUUAAUGAGUUCGUGUUGAUUUGCCAAUCUUACAAGUCUUUAUUUUACAAAAUAUAGAUAUUUAGAUUGAAAAAAACAUAUAUAUAUAUGUAUGACAGUAUGAGUAGUGUAUAUGUUACAAGAUAUUUUAAAAUUUAAUACUUUAGUUGAGAAAUGCCAUCACCCUCAACUACUCGGUUACAAGAAUAUUAUUGCGUUAUUUAAUAUUCUGUUAUCGAUUGCUUUAUUAGGAAGAAAUAAUGAAAAAUGGGACAUCCAUUGCUAAAGUACAACACAACAUUGUUGACAAGUGAGUCCCCCUUGAAGUGACAACUAUUUUUUUUCUUCCUUAAUAAAGGACGAGCUAUGUGUAUGUGGUUUUGCCGUGCAACCCAAGUUUCAAUGUCUGUAUCAUUUAUAGGGGGAAACCUUAGGUGCAACCCACACACGCCACUCGGCUUUUGGCAGCCUGGUUGAGAGGGCAGCAGUUAUUUUUGUGGGGGCUAAAACAUUCAUUCUUUUUUUCUUUUGUAAUUUUUCAUCUGUGAGGAUUAUUUGUCAAUAUAGAAAUUUGAUACUGUAAUCAAUAUUAAAAAAAAAAAAAAAAGUACCCACACAUACACACAUAUAUCUAAGAAAAUAAAUGAUGAAUACUAUGUAAGAGAAAAUUUGGUAGUUACAGGGUGAACACUUUCUUAUCAAAAUAAUAAUAAUAUAAUAAAUUAGAGACCCUCCUGAAUAUUUCCAACAUGCUUCUCAAAUUGCAUGAGUGUUGGAUUCAUCAACUUAUUAUUAUUAUUAUUAUUAUUAUUAUUAUUAUUUUAUCAUCAAUUGAUGUGCAAAAGGGUGAUGUUAUCAGUUAUCACGGCCUCCUGAGAAAAAAAAAAACUUUAAAUUCAACGUGAAAUGAAAAAUGUAAGGAAUCAAAUCGAAUUGUCAAAAUGAAAUGAGAGGCGAACAAUUUAACUGUUCAGAAAAGAAGCAAAGGCGCCAAAAGCAACGGACGGAACAUAAAAGUGGGUCCCACGUUUCAAAGGGACAAAACCAGAGAAAGCCAAAGCCCACCCCGCAACGAAAGUGAUGCCAAAGCUUACAAUUUGUAUUACCUUAAAAAUUCUGUUCGGUUCAUUUAAAUUUUAUUAUAAAAUCAUUUUCAAAAUUCCAAAUUUUAUAACCAAAAAAUUCGCUGCAUGCAGCGAGAAAGCAGCAAGUGAAGAAUAAAGGGUUCCCCCCGUCAGCAAGAAUCUUUUCUUUUUUUUUUUCGCUUUUUUUUUUCCCUUUGUUUUUUAAGAAAGCAAAAAUUAAGAGAGCAUUAGUUUUGCUGUCAUGAUAAGUAUGGUGUUCAAGAGAGUGUCGGCUAGUGGGAAGUGUUUUGUCAUUCAGUCAUUGUGUUUGCAAUUUUCUUAUGAACCCGUGUCAAUAAAAUGUCUUGGCUUGUGAACAGAAACUGAAAUUGAGCUUCUUUGUGUGUCAGUGAGAUUUACAGUGUCUGUGCAUUGAAUGUAUGGUUGCUAAAUUUUUGCUUUUUUCUUCUUCUUCUUUUCUUUUUUCCCCCCGAAGUGGAUAGUCAAGAAAUAUGAAGAGAUUAUGACUUGAGAUUUUUUUUUAUUUUAUUUGAAGUGAUGAUCUGAAUUAACUGGGCUUUGGUUUCUAUGGUAGAAGUUUUGUUCUAUUUUGUGAGGGGAUUUCUUCAUGAGUUAGGCAAGGAAUUAAUUCGUUUUGAAGUUAGAAUUUAUGUGUUCAAAGUUAGUUUCAAGUGACCUUUCUAAAGUCUUUAAGGUAUAUUGUUGGAAAUUAGCUGGCUUUUUUGUUCAAUCAGUCUCUCAAGAGGUAAGCUCCUUAUGAUCCUUUAGAAGUUUUUAGUUAUGAUAAUGUCGAUUGAUAAAUUAUCUGUAAUUUGUAUAAUAUUUGCAGAGUUUCUGUUGAUCUUGGGAGCUGGCGCUUCUGUAAUUGAGAAGCUAGAGGCAUCACUCUGUUAUCCCAGCGGAUUUUUAAAAGCUCUAGAAUCCCUUUGUGAUUUUCUCUAGUGUUCCUUUUUGUAUGCAUUGAUGGCAAGAGCAUCCAGAUUCAGUCAGUGUGCACUUCUGGUGCUUGCUUACAUUUUGCUUCAGGUCAAUCAUUCGGAGCAACUGCAGUCUUCUCAGGCUCAGACCCUUUUGAGGAUUCAAGGGCUUUUAAACAAUCCAACUGUUUUAAGCAGCUGGAAUAUCACCACUGAGUUCUGCAAUACAGAACCAACCUCGUCUUUAACUGUAGUAUGCUACGAAGAGAGCAUAACCCAGCUGCAUAUAGUCGGCAACAAGAGAGCUCCUACGUUGCCUCUAAGCUUUUCCAUGGAUUCCUUUGUGACGACUCUUGUUAAGCUUCCGGACUUGAAAGUCCUCAGGCUGGUUUCUCUAGGUCUAUGGGGUCCCUUGUCUGGUAAAAUUUCACGUUUAUCGUCACUGGAAAUACUUAAUAUGAGCUCAAAUUUCCUGAAUGGUUCUGUACCUCAGGAGCUUUCAAUUUUAACUAGCCUUCAAACACUCAUACUUGAUGAAAACAUGCUUGCUGGUCGGGUUCCAGAUUGGUUGGGUUCAUUACCGAUUUUGGCUGUUUUGAGCUUGAGGAAUAAUAUGUUCAAUGGGACUUUGCCUGAUUCGUUUAGUUACUUGGAGAAUCUUAGAGUUCUUGCGCUUUCAAACAAUCACUUUUACGGAGAAGUUCCUGACUUCAGUGGUUUGACUUACCUUCAAGUACUUGACUUGGAAAAUAAUGCUUUGGGACCUCAGUUUCCUAAAGUUGGCAAAAAGUUGGUUACAAUGAUACUGAGCAAAAACAAGUUCAGGUCUGCCAUUCCUGCUGAAGUGAGUUCCUAUUAUCAGCUUCAGCGGCUAGAUCUCUCAUCUAAUAGAUUUGUUGGACCAUUCCCUCAAGCACUUUUAUCCUUACCUUCUAUUACUUAUUUGAAUAUUGCUGAUAACAAACUCACGGGGAAGCUUUUCGAUGAUCUUUCUUGCAAUCCCGAACUUGGAUUUGUGGACUUGUCAUCAAAUCUGCUGACUGGACAGUUGCCGGAUUGUCUACUUGCAGGUUCUAAAAACAGGGUUGUCCUGUAUGCUAGAAAUUGUCUAGCAGCUGGAAAUGAAAAUCAACACCCGCUUUCCUUUUGUCAGAAUGAGGCUUUGGCAGUGGGAAUUUUACCUCUGCAAAAGAAGCAGAAACAAGUUUCCAAAGCAGUUCUUGCGUUGAGUAUAAUAGGAGGAAUUAUUGGGGGAAUCUCACUUUUUGUGAUUGCUUUCUUGCUUGUUAGGAGAACUAAGUCCAAGCAAACAAUGAAGAAGACUCCAACAAGAGUAAUUCAAGAAAAUGCUUCAACUGGGUACACCUCGAAGUUCCUCUCAGAUGCAAGUAAGGCUUCAUCUCCCCUUAAUCCCCCUGCCAAGUAAUUCCCAUUCUGUGUUUCUGUUGAAAUCAAGCAUGAAUCUGGGCACACCUCAAAGCUGCUACUGGAGUCAUGCAUUGUGCAAGCUUUAAUGUAUUUAUGCAUGUGUCCACACACAAUGUAGUGUUGCAUUUUUAGGACAUAGGACCGUAAGUUUUAAUUGAAAGGUUGUCUUUGAAUACUCUAUUUUGAUCAUCCAACUUGAAGCCCUCACAUAGAAAUUAUUGACCAGUCAGUUGCAAGAAAUCGAGUGAUGAUUGUGUUCUUGUCUUAAAGCCAGUUAAUAAUAUUCUUGAACUGUUAAAUUGUUGUCCAAGUUUUAAGCUAUAUUAAAAUUGACCAUAUGAUCGUUUGUGCCCCCUGAAGGGUAUAUUUCUCAAACAAUGAAGUUGGGAGCACUUGGUCUUCCAGCUUAUCGAACCUUUUCCUUGGAAGAGCUUGAGGAAGCUACAAACAACUUCGACACCUCUGCUUUCAUGGGUGAAGGUUCUAAAGGGCAGGUAUGCUACUCUGGUACAAUAUAUAUAUGAUGCCUACUUUCAUGUCGCAAUGAUGCACAGUAUGACAGUUCUGACAAUUUGUAUUUUCCCUUUGCGUGAUCCGUUCAAAGAACGGAAAAGGAAAAGUUGGUCCAGCAUUUCUCUACACCUCACAUAUUUCAUGCUUGCAGAUGUACAGGGGUCGCCUGAAGAAUGGUACCUUCAUUGCCAUUAGGUGCCUUAAAAUGAAAAAAAGCCACAGCACUCGAAACUUCAUGCACCAUAUAGAGCUGAUAUCAAAACUCAGACAUUGUCAUUUAGUCAGUGCUCUUGGACACUGCUUUGAAUGCUACUUUGAUGAUUCAAGUGUUAGCAGAAUAUUUCUCAUCUUCGAAUACGUUCCAAACGGCACACUAAGGAGCUGGAUAUCUGGUAAUUCAUGAAAAUCUUUAAUUCGUUUCUCAGGGUGGAGGAUAUAAAGUAAUUAAAGCCACUCUUUUGUACUCCUCUGCUCUAUAAGCCGGCUUUAUGGGGUCUUCAAAAGUAGCUGUGAAUUUUUUAACCUUGAUCCUGCGUGUAGUCAUUGAAUAAAGUAAUCAAUCAGUCUAGAUAGUUCAGUUUCCUGCAAGUAAUUAAUUUACUUAAAGAGAAUAAUUCGUGGUUUUUAAAAUAUAUUGUUCAAAGUCAUCAAGAAAAGACCGAAUCGGAAUCAUGUUCCAUAGUAAUCACAAGAAAUUACUAUUUUAUGUCCUCCAUCCUGACUUGUUGUUAUAUCCAGUUAAUCAAAUUAUGCCUUUAUGUUCUGGCUGGUUUCAAAGUCUUAGAUACUUUUAUGCAGAAGGGCAUGCCUGGCAAUCACUUACUUGGACACAACGUAUAUCAGCUGCAAUAGGGGUGGCAAGGGGCAUACAAUUUUUACAUACAGGGAUUGUGCCUGGUGUAUUUUCAAAUAAUUUGAAAAUAACAGACAUUCUACUAGAUCAGAACCUUGUUGCAAAAAUUAGCAGUUAUAACCUGCCUUUAUUAGCAGAAAAUGCCGAGAAGGUAAAAAGGAGAGAAUCUUCCUUUUCAUCAUUCUGUCCAUCUUUUCCAGUGCCAUGCACUUUUCAGUUGAUUUGUAGCUUGCUUCAUCUGUGCAGGUUGGUCAUGUAACCCCUUAUUCUGGAUCCAUAAAUCCUACAAAUAGUGCAAGGUAGGUAAUUGCUUCAAUAGUCUGACAAAUGUUGUUGCAGUUCAUUAGAAAUAUUAAAAAAUAGGGAUAUUAUCAUUUUUCCACCAAAGGUAUUCUGACACAUCAUGUCAGUACCACGGUUUAGUAAAACUAUCAAUUUACCACCAAACAUUUAAACUGUUAGCAUUUUCUCACCAUUCCGUUAAAACUCAGUUAAUAUGUAAUGAAAAUUUUCUAAAAGGUCAAUUUUACCCCUGGAGCAUAAAAGACCAUGUAAUUAACUUUUUAUGAAUUUUGUAAUUAAAUCAUCAUUUAUUGUUCUUCCUUCUUAAAGGACAAAAAUUACCCUUUAUGAAUUUUGUAAAAUUGACCGUGUGGUGUUAGGUAAUUCAUAAAUUGAUUUAAUUUAUUUAAUUUUUAAAGGGCAAAUUUAUUUAUUUAAUUUUUUGUGUAAAAUUAUUAUCAUCAUAUCAAAGAUUAAAUUGCUUCUUUUGCACUUUUUUUUUUUUUUGCCCUUUCAUAAAUUGAGUUUUAGUAGUAUAAUAAAUUGUCUUUAGCUCGUCAAUUUAAUAAAUAAAUUUGCCCUUUAAAAAUUAAAUCAAUUUAUGAAGUACCUAGCACCACACGGUCAAUUUUACAAAAUUUAUAAAGGGUAAUUUUUGUCCUUUAAGAAGGAAGAACAACAAAUGAUGAUUUAAUUAUAAAAUUCAUAAAAGGUUAAUUACAUAGUCUUUUACGCUCCAGGGUAAAAUUGACAUUUUAUAAAUUUUCUGUUACAUAUUAAUUGAGUUUUAACGGAAUGGUGGGAAAAUGCUAACAGUUUAAACGUUUGAUGGUAAAUUGAUAGUUUUACCAAACCAUGGUACUGACAUGAUGUGUCAGAAUACCUUUAGUGGGAAAAUGAUAAUAUCCCUAAAAAAUAAAAGGAAAAACUAAAAAGGAAGCCUUAACGGGCAACUAAAAUUGCUAAAAAGAAUAUGUUGGGUAUAAACGUAUAAGAUCAUGCACUAAUAAAUCAUGCUGCAUGAAUAUCUACUGCUAUGAGAAAAUAAGUGAUGACAAUCUUCAAAUUUCCUCUAGUUUCUGCUCUUAGAAUUUUCUAGUCAUACAAUUCUACCAAAACAAAUUCAUUCUGAUUUAAAUUGAUGUAAGAACUGUUCUCUCUACACUCUCUUAUUUGGCAGGGGGAAACUUGAAGAUAAGAUUGACAUUUAUGACUUUGGAUUAAUUUUACUAGAAAUUAUUGUUGGGAGGCCAUUAAAAUCCAGGAAAGAAGUGGAUCUUCUGAAAAAUCAGGUAAUGGUUCUGCUUGUUUACAUUACUUUCUUUCAAAAAUCUUUCAUAUCCAUUCUUCUUUCUCAGUCAUCAUGUGAAGAGUUCAGAAUGCCGUGGAAAUUUGAUCACUCUUUGGUGCACAGCUAACACAGUAACACCCUAGGAUUUGUGUUCUAAAAUUGCAUCUACUCGGGCUCUUCUAGAUUUAUGCCAACUCUACUGCUAAAACUUGAAUGUUUCUCUUCUUUGCAUCCUUAAUCUGGUGGCUUACAACUAUGUCAUGUUAACAUAGACCGAAACCUCUUCAUGAUUACUAGCUGGUUACUCAUGACAGCAUACCUUUGACUUUCUGUAGUUACAAGCUGUCAUUACUGCUGAUGAAUCAGCACGACGGAGCAUGGUUGAUCCAGCAGUUAACAAGGCAUGUUUGGAUGAGUCACUGAAGACAAUGAUGGAAGUCUGUGUCAGGUGUCUGCUUAAGAACCCAGCAGAGAGACCUUCAGUUGAGGACGUGCUAUGGAAUUUGCAGUUUGCUGCUCAAGUUCAGGAUGCAUGGCAUUCUCAGAGCAGUGAAGGGUCUCCAAUCUCACCUCCAUGGCCAUCACACCAACACCUUUCCUUUCAUUAGUUGCAACAUUCAGGUCCUUACACUGCUAAAUAUAAACCUGUUAACAAAUCUUUUGAUAUAAAUACACAUCUUAUUUCCUACAAACUCUCCAGUAAAUGUUGAGUUUCUGGUCUUCGAUCUUCGCUUUACAUUGUGCCUACUGAUUUGAAACAAAAAAUUUGAAAUGCAGGACAUGCUGUACGUGGCUUGAUGACAAUUGUGCCUGAACAUUUUCUAUCACUCCUACCUCUUUCCUUCCAUGUAAUUUUUGCGACAAACAACUCUAAAGUUACAGUUGAAGAUGACAUUUUUCAGAGAGACCAAAAGCUAGCUGUCUCUUGUUAUGCUAAACAUCUUGUUUCCAGUUCUCCAUGGUUGGAUCCUAGCACAUAUCCUGGAUUAUAGAUCAAUGGUUGCAGGUCCCGUAUCCCAGUCAAAUCAUCUAUGCAUUUGUUUAAUAUUUUUCCACAAUGAUGAUCAAAGGGGAUAUGUUGUCUGCGUCCAUUACUCUUUCUUUACUAUUGUAAGGUGCAGCUAAAAGUAAUGAUGUACAAGCUUUUUCUAUGUUAUUGUAUACACAUAUCUAAGCCCAAUGUUUUGGCAGGAGAUGGUUGUUCACUUUCGAACGUUUUGCUUCUUUCUGGGAUCCGGGUUGAAUCUCAAAUUUUUACAAUUUACAACCUCAAAAUCGUUUAGCCGUAGGUGUGGCCUGUCAAAAUUCAAGUUUCAAGAUCAGUCUCUAUUUGAAUAACAUUCAGUAAAACCCUACAGGUUUAGUAAGAUAUCGUCAACCUAACGGAAUUCAGAGAUCCAUCUUCAGCCAUUAAUAUUCCAUCCAACUUACAAUGCAAUGAGCGUAUCAGAUAUUGCCAGAACAAGAAGUCUCCAUUCACUAAUUAGAUUAAGACAGGAUUUUAUCCCAAGUCUUAAUCGCAUCUGUUCAAUUUUUCUAUGCAAUCGCUUUCCUAGCUCAUGGCCCCCAUAAUUCGUGGUCCUCUAUGUCAGUUGUCAUCCUCUUGAUCACCUUUAUAUUUCAUUUUUCCUCUUCAAAUAAUAAUGUUUCGAGGUUUCAUGUCCAUGGAUGUCGACAUGCUCAAGCUCGAGGAAACUCCAAAAGGGAGGUAAAAGGAAAAUGAGGUUGUAAUGGAGAAAGGGAAUUUGGUGAAAAAAUAAUCACCAUAAAACACAAUGCAAAAUAAGAGUUACUAAAAGACGGCCAUUCACAACAUUCAAAAAUCCCACAAAAUAAUUCCAGUGAGUAAGAGCUCCUCUGUUUUCCUCUUUUGAGAGUUGAAGAUUGUCUUUAAGACAUCAUUGUACUCCUAUACAAAUGCUACAAAUAAAUUACAGUUAGAUGAAAAAUGUUUCAAAAGUAUAAUUUAAAAAAAAAAUUGAGAAAUUAGCAAGAGGUUCAACCAGAGCUGUCUACAAAUCAUCCAAAGAAAUCCUCUAACUCUGAUAACAAUGCACCUGAAAUCACAUUUAUGAAGGACACCACUAUUGGACAAAUCCAGGGAACAUCGUCACUUCAGAACCAGAGUGCUUUUAUUAGGCUUUUAGUCUGCUGUCCAGCUCUGCUCCACUAUUUCCCGCACUCUUCGGUUGUACUCUCUCUUAUUCUCACUGAACAGCCGAGCUGCUUCAGAGUUUGCAGGAGAGUUUGGAUUUGGAUCACAAAGCAGAGACUGAUAAAGACAUAAGUAGCAUCGGGUUAGCAUCAUCUUGUACAUCCACUGACAACCCCCCAAGCUCAUUUAUUUUAGGAUCAACCAUAACUCACAUGAAAUCUCAUGCAAAAACCAAAUUGUCAAGUGCAAACAUAGCAUAUUUGAAAGCUAUAUUAUUAACCAAUUAUUUUAAAGAACACAUUAUAACCAAACUAUAAAUGUUUGAAAUAUUGAUGAAGAAGCUGAUGCAAGAUUCCAUCAUGUUGUGAGUGAGUGAGUGAGUCAGGGGGGGGGAGGGGAAGAAAAGUCAGUCACAACCUGGUAACAAGGAUAAUUUCAGUUUGAAUAAGCAUGUAUUCUGAUUACCAGCUACCAUCAACAAAGAUCAAAAAGAUAAAAGAAAAUGCCAAAAUCAUAACAAAUACUCCACAAUGCCAUCAUUGUUAUGAGAAAGACAAAUUUGAAAACUUUUCAUUUGCAUUUUAAGUCAAAAGACAAAUUUGAAAACUUUCCAUUGCAUUUUAAGUCAAGUUAAAUAUGGUAAGUACAAUAUCAUGUCUUCUCCCACCAAAAACAAAAAAAAAAAAAAGACAAUAUCAUGUCUUCUCCCACCAAAAACAUAUGGUAAGUACAAUAUCAUGUCUUCUCCCACCAAAAACAAAAAAAAAAAAAAGAUUCCAGAUUAAGAGUGCCAACAGUAAUACUACCUGGGAUACUUGUCAUUGUACGAUUUUGACCCCAUGCACAUGAGUUUAGGAAUGAGCAUGAAAUUUUACAGGUUCGUCUAUGUACAGUAAAAAGUGCUCUAUAUCACAGUUUUAUGUUAGCUUUCGCGUGGAUUAAAAAUUAGAUAACUAGAAUUCCAGCCUUGUUUUGUCUAGUCCAUAGAAACACUUGAAAACAGCCGCAUGUUUGAUACUAAAUCUCAAAAAUCAGUUUGUUUACAGCAUUUUUCAGAUGAGACAACUGACUAUAGAUUCCUCAAAUUUCUUUAAUGGAAAAUACUUAAAAUCAUUCAUAUCAAUGCAUCAAACAGUAAUAUUUAUGUGUCGUAUUUCAGACCAUAAACUUAAACAUCAAAUAAUAAAGUGACCAGGUCAUAAAAUCACAGAUAAAAGAGAAGCAAGAUAUGUUGGGAAGAAAACAAAAGAGAAACACCGUGCAAUUAGUCUUUCUUAUGCACAUAAAAGAUACAAAGGAACACAGUAGGCAAACCAAAUAAUAUGAAGUCAUCAUUUGAUGAAACAGGGACUUUGGUCUAUGCAAACCAGCAGAUUUUCUAUUUCGAAGAUUGUCUUAAAACAUGGAAGAUUCACAUUUAUGUUCAGUUAAUAUAUGAAAACAUAUAUAAUGAUGCAAAAAAAAUGCCUUCACAGUGCAGGCUUGUUGACCUCAUAAGCACUUGGAAUUGCGUCAGGGUAAGACAAUCUGAAAAGCUUUUAGCCACUAAUAUCAUGGGUGUGAUUCAGUUGCCAAUUCAAACUAUCUCCACAUUUCAAUUAAGUAGAAGGACUUAUAAAAAGAAGAAAGGGGGAAACAGGAAACAUAACAAAAAUACGGAAAAGGGGGAAACAGGAAACAUUUAACAGGGGAAACCUUAAAAAAUGUGUUAGUCAUAUUGUCUAUUCUCUUUUCUUUUUCCCCCUUCAAAGCAAAAAAGCAAUUUUCUUUCAAUAACCAACAUUAAUUAUAAGAAAUUACGCAGGCAGAAAACAUCCAAUAUCAAUCAAUGAUUAACAAGAAAUAGAAUCCUUUUCCCACAAUCAAGAAAAAUGAAAGAAAAGUCAAACAAAUUUGCACCUGAAUAGAGGUCAGUAUAGCUGCAACAUCAUAUAUAGGACUCCACUGAUUUUGUAAAAUAUCCAAACAAAUACUUCCAUCUGCAUAGACUGAACAAACCAUAGGCACAAGUCAGAAAUCAGAGUCAAUCAUUACGAAGACCAUGUGCAAUAUAAUAACAAGCAACAUAUCAUUUAUCACCAAAAUUCAAAGAGAACAAUAACAAGAAAAAUAUAAUUAAUAAAUAAAUAGAAAAAUAAUUUACAAAUAACAUACUAUUUGGAUGAAACAUCCGUGAGACGAAACGAACUGUUGGGGGUUUAUUUGGAUAAUCCUCUGUGAAUUGUAGAGUCAACUUGAACGUACCUGAAGAAAUUCAAGAAAAUGCUUAGAUGACAAAUGCAAAAACCUAAAUAUUUCAACUGUAAAGACAAAGGAUAAGGCAUAAGCAAUCAUUUUUGUUAAGUAGGAGUAUUUAGGCCUCAAAUGCGACUGAAAGCAAGGAUAGCACGAUAUAGAAACAGAGGUAUAAUUAUUUACUAAAGCAGAUUGUCCACCAUCAUGCAGCAAUCGAUCUAAAGCCACUUCGGCAAUUAAAAUUCCAUCAAAAACACCAUUUACAUAAUUGGAACGUGAAAGCAUCGUUUACAAGAUAGCUCAUUCUGCUCAUAUUGACAGUCCUUCUGAUCAAAGAUGAUGACAAAAAAAAAAGAAAAAAAAAAGAAAAAAAAAAGAGGUGAUCGAAUUUUCUCAACAUCAAACCGGAAAAAAAAAAAAAAAAAACCACUAACACAAACAUGGACAAGGUAAUUAAAUUGUAACAAUAUAUACAAGUUAUGACCCACAACAGCAAAUACAACACAAGCCAAGAACCAUAGGAAUUCAACCAUGUUCUAUACACAGAAUCAGCUUAGUUACAGGCAAAAUAAAAAAGUCAGCUCAUCAAAGCUUUCGCUUAAUUAUACAUUAAAACUAAUGAACGAAACCUAACAAGCAAAAGCUGAGUGAAAAAUGAAAUCAAAAGCAUAAAAUUAUUUCUAUAAAGUAAAAAGACAAUAAAAUUCCCACCUCCGUCCCAGGGAGUAUCAUCGGGCCUGCAAAACACCACGAAAAAGGAAAAAAAAAUCAAAACAAAAACCAAAAGAAGUACAAAAAAGAAGAAAAGGAAGAAAAGAAAGUGUACCCAAAAAUAACGGCGUUCCACAACAUGAUGUUGUUGUCUUGAGGGGCACCGCUGAUGCCGGCGGGUGGAUCUUGCUGGAGGCGCUUGAAGUCCCGCAUCAGCCGCUUCUUCGCCGGUGUUGACAUGGCGACGUCGUGUUCUACAGAGAGAGAACGAGAGAGGAAAGUUCUAGAGAAAAGAGGGAUCUGAGCAAAAAUCUAAUCUAAAGAAGACUUUGUUGCUGCAUACGAGUUGCCAUGACAUAGCAAUAGGCCCAGGCAAUAGGCAUAACCUGUGCAACACCGCCAGCUAGUUUUGGUUUGUGAAUUGUGAUUGUGAUUUGUGAGUCCCACGCACACACUCUAGUCACAGCCGCCUUCUACUUUUUAUUUAUUACGCGUCGUGGGAUCUGAGCUGUUCAAACUUCAAAUUGUUUUAUGUCAUUUACCGCAAGGGCCACGUAAUUUUGUUAUGUAUUUCGAAAGAAAUUAACCGCCGCCACCACCACCAAAUUACUUUAUUUUUUAAGAAUCAUCCAUUUUACCAGUAAUUGUUUGUAAUGCUGAAAUAUCUUGCAUGGGAGUGGAGAGGAUAAAGUAUCUGAAACUCUUCAAUUUAAUUUAAUCCGAAUUGGGGUUCGCAUCCAGUUCGGAAACUUUUCUCACCCUUCACUGGCCCCAACGUUCAGAUUCUUAUGCUACUAAAUUUUAAUUCUAUAAUAUUAUCCCUCUCCUCUCGACGACCCAUAAAUAAAUACACACCUUAUUUUGAAAAUUUCUUUCCCAUAUUAACCCUCGAAUAAAUGCAGAAUUUUCUGGUCUUUCAUUUUGGCUUGACAUCAUCUAUAAUGGUCUGAUGGGGGCAGUUACAGUACAUGCAUGUAUCUCAUACAUGCAUGCAUAAAAAAUUAUCGUUAGAUUAAAUGGAGUAGAUCCAAUGGUUGAGAUUCAUCUUAGUGUUAAAUAAUAAAAAAAUUUACAAGAAAUGAAAACAUGUAAAACUGGCAACUUGAAACUUUGAACUAAUAAAUAUGAAACAACUACCAUUAAUAUUGAUAUUAUAACCAUUAAACUUGAAACCAAAAUAACUUGAAACUUUAGACAACGAAUAUGAAACUUGUGAUCAUAAACUUGCAAUCUCAAGAAUCAUACAAAUCAUGUACCAAUAAUAUAUGAAACAACUACGAUUAAUCUUGAUAUUAUGACCAUUAAACUUAAAAAUAAAGUAACUUGAAACAUAGGGUAAUGAACAUAAAACUUGAGAUCCUAAAAAUCAUACACAUCAUGAACCAAUAAAUAUAAAACAACUACCAUUAAUAUUGAUAUUAGGAUCAUUAAACUUGAAACUAAAGUAACUUGAAGCUGAGAGCAAUGAACAUGAAAUUUGGGAUCAUUAACUUACAACCCUGAAAAUCAUGCAAUUAAUAGACCAAUAAACAUGAAACACCUACCGUUAACUUGAUAUUGUGACCAUUAAACUUGAAACCACAAAGAAUUUGAAACUGAGGGCAAUACACAUGAAACUCAAGAUCAUAAACUUGCAACCCUGAAAAUCAUGUAAUUAAUGAGUCAAUAAACAUGAAACACUAUUAUUAACUUGAUAUUAGAACCAUUAAAUUUGAAACUAAAAAAACUUGAAACUGAGGGUAAUGAACAUUAAAUUAGGGAUCAUUAACUUGCAACACUGACAAUUAUACAAUUAAAUAGACCAAUAAAUAUGAAACAUCUAUUGUUAACUUGUUAUGGGAACCAUUAAACUUGAAAUCGAGGGUAAUAAAUAUAAAAUUUGAGAUCAUUAACAACCCUAAGAAUCAUAUAAUUAAUGAAUUAAUAAAUACAAAACACCUACCGUUAACAUGAUACCGAUAUUAUUAAACUUAAAACUAUUUUUUUAUUGUUAUCUGACCUAUAUUAGUAAAAUAAGUAUUAUUUUAUUUCAUAAUUUUUUAAUCGUUUAAGGAGCUCCAAGUUCUUUUUCUUUUUUUCCAACUGUUUGGCUGCCAAGUGGCAAUGUUUUUUAAUUUUUUUAUUCCUUGCAUGUAUGUAUGCAUGUAUUAAUUUAUUAUAGCACAGGCCUGAUUGCAAGCAAAAACACUUUAGGGUCCUACGCUCAUCCUGUUCGCUCAUAGCCUAGCAACAACCGAUUCGCGCCUCAAAACAUUUUCUAUCACUCUUCUCUUGCCCCGCCUACGUAAAUUUGGUGACAAUCAUCACCACAAGGUUAACAGUUGAAGAGGAGAGACAAAAAGCUAGCUGCCUAACUGCCAAUGCCUGUUAAGUUACGUCCUGCAUCCCAUCAAGUAUGGUCCUGUAGCCACCUCCUAACUUAAUUGCCUCCCUUCAUCCCUAUUUCAGAGAAUAUAAUUACAAGGUUUCACCUCCAGCAAUGCGGACAUUGUCAAGCUCAAGCAUAUUGAAAAACAUAGAUAAAAAAGAGGGAGGUUAUAAUACAUUCCAACAGUAAUGGAGAAAAAAGGGCUUCAACAGAAUAAGCAAUCACCAUAAAAAUACAAUGCAAGAUGGCCGUUCACAACAUCCAAAAAUCCGACUAAAUAAUUCCAAUGAAAAAGAGCUCCUCUGAGGUUGUCUUAAGACAUACAUCACUGAUUCACUGCAGCAAUAAUACCCCUAUACAAAUGCUACAGAUAAAUUACAGUUACAUGAAAGAUGUUGAAAAGAAGAAGAUGGAAAUGUUGAGAAAUUAACAAGAGGUUCAACCAGAGCUAUCUGGGAGGAAGAAUCUGAAGAGAUUCUCUAAUAACAAUGCACCUGAAAUCAGAUUGAUUACGGAGUACACGACUAUUGAACAAACCAGCCACACCAGCCCCAGUUUUCAUCUUUUAUUUCUACAGCAUAACCGGCCGGUGCUUUCAUUGGACUUUUAGUCGGCUGUCCAGCUUUGCUCCACUAUUUCACGCACUCUUCGGUUGUACUCUCGUUUAUUCUCACUAAACAGCCGAGCUGCUUCAGAAUUUGCAGGGGAGUUUGGAUUUGGAUCACAAAGCAGCGACUGGUAAAGACAUAUAAGUAGUGUCAUGUUAGAAUCAUAAAUACAACCACUGCGAAUCUCACAAGCUCAUUUGCUUCAAGAUCAACCAUCAUUUGUACUAAAUAUCAUUUGAAAACCAAGUUGGCAAGUGCAUACAUAACAUAUUUGAAAGCAAUUGACUAACCAAUUACACCAAAAAAAAUAAAGUUUUGAAAUAAUGGGGAAGAUAAUACAGGGGGCCAACAUAUGGUGACAGAAUCAAUGAAACCUGGUACUAAGGAACAUUUCAAUUUAAUGAAAACAUGUGUACUAACUAACAUCGACAUAGCAAAACAGGAUAAAAUAUCCUGAAAACCAAACAAUGCAAUCCUUGUCAUCACAAGGCAAAUAUGGAAAUGUUCCAAUGCAUUUUAGUAAGUAUUAGAUAUGGUACGUACAACAACACUUUUUUGAAAAUUGGAUAUUGAUGAUCGUCUCAAACAUGGAAGAUUCACUUUUUAACUUUGUUUAAUAUAACAAAAAAAUAUACAUAAUGAUGCAAAAAGGCCUUCACGGUACAGAAAUGUAAGCCGACAGAUGCUUUCGGACGUCAUGAGCACUAAGAUCUUAUUAGGUUCAGAUACUCUUAGAUAUAUUUAGCCAAUAAUAUCAUAUGUUUGACUUAGUUGAGUAUACCAUUCAAACUAUCUCCUCAUUUCCUUAAAAUGGGAGGAAUUACAUAUACACGAAACAAAAGGACAAAACAAGUUACCAGUCAUAUCAUUAGUAUCUUCUUUCUUUGAUGCAAAAGCACAAUUUUCUUGCAAGUUCUCGAUAAUCAGGCAUUAAUUAUAAGAAAUUAAGCACAGUGAAAACAUCCAAUUUCAAUCAAUGAUAAACAAGAAACAGAAUCUCUUUCCAAUAGACAGGAAUGAACAAGAAAAGUCAAAACGAAGUUUCACCUGGAUGGAGGUCAGUAUAGCUGCAACAUCAUAUAUAGGACUCCACUGAUUUUGUAAUAUAUCCAGGCAGAUACUUCCAUCCGCAUAGACUGAUCAAACCAUAGGUAAAGAGUCAGAAAUCAAAAUCAAUCGUUAUCAAGACCAUGAGCCAUAGAAUCCCUAUAGCACAAUAAUCAGCAAAAUUCAAAGAAAGAAUAAUAGCAAGAAACUUAUCAUCAAUAAAACAUUAGCAACAAAAUUUAAAAAUAAGAUAAUGACGUACUAUUUGGAUGAAACAUCCGUGAAACGAACCGAACUGUUGGAGGUUUAUUCGGAUAAUCCUCUGUAAACUGAAGAGUCAACUUGAACGUACCUAGAAAAGUUCAAGAAAUAGCUAAAACAACACUUGCAAAAACCUAUAACUUUCAAGAAAAAGAGACGCUAUAACGAAAUAUGAUAAGUCAUAGGCAAUCAUGUUACUUAAUGGUGGUUCAGGUUUAGUGGGAGUCUUUAUUUUAAGCCUACAAUGUAAAUCAAAGCAAGUAUACCAUAACAUACAACCUAACAUAUAAUUAAUUACAGAAGCAGAUUGUCCACGAUUAGGUAACAAAAAUUCAACAAAAAUAAGCUACAAUCAAAUAUUAGGCAAAACCAAUAAUUCAGCUUAACAAAAGUUUUACAUUUUUACAGCUGAAUGAAAGUAAAAUUAAAAGCAUAAAUAUUUUGUAAAAAUCAAAGAUAAUCAAAUACCCACCUCCGUCCCAGGGAGUAUCAUCAGGCCUACGAAACAUCACCAAAUGAAAAACAAACAAGAAAAUCAAAACAUAAACCAGAAAAGUUACAAGACAAAAACAAAGGUUAAUUAAAACAAAUACCCAAAAAUAACGGCGUUCCAUAACAUGAUGUUGUUGUCUUGAGGGGCCCCGCUGAUUCCGGCGGGUGGAUCUUGCUGGAGGCGCUUGAAGUCCCGCAUCAGCCGCUUCUUCGCCGGUGUUGACAUAGUGGCGUUUUAGAGAGCAAAACUGAGAAGCGGCUUUUGCAGAGGGGGGGAGGGGGGAGAAUGAGAGAAGAAGCUUCUAGAGAAAGAAGAGAUCUGGGCAAAACCUUGUGAGGAUGCUGCAUGCGAGUUAACAUGACAAUAAUGGGCCGGGGCCGGGGUUGGCUGAGCAGUGAGCACCAAUUUUUCUUUUUUUAAUUUUAAUGUUUAACGAUAAAGUUACAAAUUUUUCCACGCAUUUUUAUUUUAUUUUAUAUUGAUAUUAAUUCAAUUCGUUUUAGUCAGUGGGCUGAGGAAAAAUAUACAUAUGGUCCCCACGCCACACACAAGUAGGACACCUAUGUAUUUAUCGAAAUUGACCUUGGCCAAAACUCCUUUCCAAAAUCGUCUUGCAUCCUUCACAUGUUCUCUCAUUGGAAAGCAUGUAGUGCAGCAAUAUGUCAAACACCAGUACACCACCCGCAAAAUUCUACAGAGAGUAUGAGUAUAUUGAGGAAUUUGAUAUUAUGGAUGCAUUUUUGUCCAUAUUUGCAAAUUCCUCAUUUUCUCAAAUGCUUAGCUCAGCACUCCUGUCAUUUAAUGAAAACCAUCAGGGACGAUAAUGAUAUUCGCAAACCCGUAAAUCCAUUCACACCAGUCCGUUGCGGGUUGUGAGCGGGUUUGAUAUUAGGAAUUGAAAUUCGCACUAUGUUGUAGGUGGAUUUAGUAUUAGGUACAUAUCCGAUGGAUACUCACAUGAAUAUCUGCCAAAUCUAUAAUUUUUUUAAUACAAUUUUAAUUAAAAAAAUAAUUAAAUCUAAAAGUAUAUAAAUAAAAUAAAUAUAGAGUGCAAACAUGUCAUGUGUGGUGUGUGCAAGUUGCAACUCAUAACCUAACCUAAAGGAAACCUAACUUAAAGGAAACCCAAACUAUUUCUUUUUCAUCUGUGAGCAGCAGUCGCAAAAUCUAACCUUCUAAACUAUUUCUCUUUCACCCAUGGGCAGUAGCCGCACACCCAUUUUCCUUUCACCCGUGAGCCGCAGCCGCACACCCAUGAAAUUUUCAUGGCAUUUGUGGUUAUUUUUUAUGGAUUUAUAUAUUUCAUACUUAAAAUCGAGAAUUUGUAUAGAAUUGAUGUUGAAAUUUUAAUUUUAUAUUUACAUUGAUUAAAUUUAAAAUUCAGUAUAUUAUGUGGAAUUUUAGCUUAAUAAUAUAAAUUUACAUAUUGAUUUUUAUUAAUAUAACCUUUCGACAGUCAAAUCAGUCACCAGACUUUUGGAAAUAUAAAUUUAGAAGGAGAAAGAUUAGAGAGAGAAAGUUAGACUUUUUACUUUUUGAGUCUAUUUUUUUUCUUACAUUUUAGUGAGAAUGAAAGACAUAUUUGUCGACCAAACGGAUUUGACUUAAGUCUUAGCUAUUUUGAUGACAAAUGUCAUUGCUCUUGUGACAUUUGACAACACUUAUUUUUUAGUACGCAUGUUGAUUGACAUAUGGAUAUACAAACUUAUCUAUAGAUUAAAGGAAAAAAACGUUUUAUCUUUAGGUUAUUUUUACUAAGACCUUGAGAUUAUAGGAGCCUUUAAAUUUAAGAGGUUUGUCCUACGAUAAGAGCCUAGAACCUCAACAUCUUUUGGGCUUUGAAGUCUUAUUACUUAGGAGAAUCAUUCUAGGUGAUUUGUCCACCACUUCGUGGGCUUAAUUGAGAGAAAAUUUAUUAAAUGGGCCUUAUUGAGAUUAAAUUUCUUUGGGCUUUAUUAAAUCUAUUUUAUUUUUGAUCCAACACCAACUUGGAUUUAAGAUUCAACACUGCCUCCUUUAGUUGGAAAGAGUUCAACUUCCCUUCUUAGUUUGUAUAAAAUGUAAAUUUCUUCAUAAUUUAUUAUAUCUAAAUUCUUCACCUUUUGGGGUCAAUUUAGCUACGCUAAUCAGAGUUGACCCCGAUAAAUUUGUAAUCUUUUUUGUUUCAUUGUAUGUUGUUGUGUGUUUAGUCCUCUAUCUAAUACAUCCGUAUCACAAUUGCUUGUACGCUAAUUUCCUACUGUGUAAUUUUUUUAUGUUAUUUCGUUAAUUUCCUCCAACAUGACUCGGGGACAGGCUGCUGCGAGUGGGACUGUGAGGUCUUGCAAUCCAAUUAAUUGGGCAUAGUGAUGGACCAGGACUGUAUAUAAAAGAACUGCUUAAAGAUCGUACAAUCUAGCAUCGGCAAGGCCAGUGCUUUCUAUGUAUUUGAUUACUAUGACUCCAUAAAAAGUAUAUAACAUGUACUGUAAAAUCACUUAAACUGUUAAUUAUUAAGAGAAAACUAAAGAAAAAUCAAGAAACCCUGAACAUAAAACGGAAGUUAAUUUGUUCUCCUGUGAUUGUGAAGUAUCUGAUGAUGAUCAUUAGUAAACAUGAUUGGAAUCUGACUCUCUUCUUCAUCAUCUUCGUCGUCGUGGGCAGGCCUUGAAAGUUCAUGAAGAGGCUCCAUGCUGUGGCAAGAUAGCACUGUCUCAGCUGCAAAGUCGAAGUUGGAAGUAAGGUUGCUCAUGUUGAUGAAGUUUGUGGAGGCCGAGGAGCUGUUUGAGUAAGCAGGCUGCUGUUGCUGUUGAUGCAGUAAUGCAACAUGUUGCGGCUGUUGCGGUUGCUGUGAUGUUUGGAGAGCGUUUGCCAUCGCAAACCUGCUGUUUAAAAGUUGAUUUUGCACCAUUGUUAGCUCUGCUUGCAGGGAGGCCACCUGCAAUUUAAUAUUUAUAAUAUCAAUUGCUUUUCUUAUUGCAGUUUUUGGUUCAAUGGGGGCUAGAAGAAUAAAUUACAGACUUUAAAGGGCUAAAAUAAAAUAAAAGAAAAUCUGUAAUGCUAAAAUGUAAAAUGUUCAAAGUAAUUGAUCAAAUUUCAAUUAACGCCCUUAUUUUUACCAGAAUUUUGUCACCUUUUAUGUGACAUUUCUCAUGAAGCGGUACGCGCAAGAAUUGGUAGUUAAUCUACUCUUAUAUAAAUAAAAUAAUAGUAAUAAUUAAUUAAUUUUUGUAACUGAAACGAGCAUUUGGCUUAGAAACAAAAUUAAUUACUAUCGGCAAAUUAAAACCUGUUGCUGCAGAGCAAGAAUGGUGGAAACACAACCGUAAACCGGGUCGGAGAGGCGGGCCUGGGCCUCGUAAGAUAUAGUAACCACAGCAUCUUGCCGCCGGUUCACCGGAAUGUGUAGCAAGAGCUUGGAUACAUUGCUAGCACCAAAGACUUUGUGCACGGCAGCGAACCGGGCGGCUCCCUGGUCUGAGCCAAAGUGGGGUGCAAAGAUGCACCCACUAACGCACUUUCUCCUCAAGAACUUGCAUGCCCCACAUGGAGCUGCUGGUGCAGGUGCUGACAUGGGCUCGGCCUCUGGCGAGGGCGCGGUGGUGGCACGUUUUCCAGCGCCCCUUCGACGGGGUUCGGAUAUGGGGUCGGGCUGUUGCUCAGCCAUUUUCUGGGGUGGGUUAGGCUCAGAGUUUGUUCAAAACGGAAAGGUGGUGGAGUUGUUACUUAUAUGUGAGAAAUUAUGACGCUGGGCACGUUAGUUUCGUGAUGGGUAGCAUGGUGAAUGUGGUAAGCUUCUUUAUCUUUUUCGUUUUUGUUUUAAAAAAAAAGAAUAUGUAUGACCAUUGCAACCCAUUUUUGUAAAUUCCAUAUAAAUGUGGAUAUACACACACACACGAAUAAUGUAAUGACCAAUAUUGCUAAUGUUAUAAUCUAUAACAUCAUCGUGUGAUGUUAAGUUGAUAAAUACUUUGUGUGAUGGUGUCAUGUAUGUUGAUAAUGCUCUAUAAGGUGAGCAAUCGUAUCAUGCCAGUGUAAUUAAAUUGAGGUAUAGGCUAAUACUAUCAUACCAUCGAUAUUUAACAGUAAUUUUGUAUGGUAUAAACUACAUAAAUGGCUAUUUAUGAAUAAAUCAAAGAACUUAUAUAUCUUCGUAUUGACGAGAUUAAAUCUUUGUGCUAUUGUCCAUGAUAUAUAUUAAUUAAUUAUAGUUUGUUUUUAUAUAUAUUUUUUUUCCUCUACAAAACGUGUAUCUAGCUAAUUAUCUUUAAAAUGUAAUUAUGAUAUCAGAAACAAGAGAGGGACAUUAUGGUUGGUGAGGGAGGGAGAGAUGGAAAUGGGAAGAGCCUGAGAGUGUGAUGGGCACGGGCAAAGGAGGUGUCGGUGGGUGGGUUAUGGGUUUAAUUAAUUAAUUAAUUACAGGUUUAAGAUGAGAAAAUUUGAAAAAUAAAAUAAUGAUGUUAAUAUUUAAGGUUAUUAGUUUGGAACAUGAAUCAUGAUACAUGAAGAAGGCUGGGUUGUCUUGAUGAGAAGGCACAAUAUUUGUGCUGCCCGUGGCGUGUGGGAUGCUUCACCUCCAACUCCAAGCUUGCUAAUGCUAACAGUAACAGAAGUUCCAGACACUUCCAGUAAUGCAUUUUGCACUCACCCUUUUUAACUUUCACUCCUCCUCGACAUCCCUACGCAACUUCACUACACAUCAUUUUUAAUUUGCAACAUUGCAUUCCAAAAUUGGGUCUCAAAGAUUAAGAAAAAUAUAUACUGGUCCAAGAAGACACAAGAUAAUUCUUCUCGUUAAACAUAUAGAGUAGGGUGAACUUGGGGUAAAUCUUGCAAUAGAUAGAUUCAAGUAUUCUCUGAAGGCAAGAUUCCAAAACAAGAAGUGCUGCCACAGUAACAUGGUAGGCCCUUUGGCCUGGCCCUAAUUUCCCCGUAGCUAAAAGCAAGCUCUUCACCUUCUUUUAUGUCUUUUGAAGCCAAGAAGCAGAGGCGAGGAAGUAUAGAUCCUGAGCUUCUCACCAGUGUUGUUGACAGGUCACCACCAUCGCAAGAAUGAUUAAUAAAUCGGGCAAUGUUUCCAAUUAUUGUGGCAUCAAUGUUCAUCCUCAAACAAGCCUUUCCAGAUGGAAGGUGCUCCCUUAUGACCAAAAGAGCAGAGGAAUUUCCGGGACUCGAUGCAAGUCCAUCAUAGAUUUGUUGCCGCCGCCUUGCUUCUUUUGUGGUCAAAAGUUCACCUAUUCAAGCAAACAUCAACUAAGACAAUUUCUAACAAAUGUCCACAGAAACAAACAAUAAUUAUUUCUUAAAUAUCCAAGUAAAUGAAAAUGUUUUACACACUAGACCAAUUCAAAGCAAUCAGUUAUUACCAUAAUGUUUCAUAAACCCCGUGAUGUGGGAAGAAUGGAAAGAAAGAUCAAAAACAUCACCCAAAGUGCCCAACAAUGGCUAGUUGAAUGGAGAAAAUACAAUAGAGAGUCAAAGCUAUAACUCAGGAAAAGUAAGCAGCUAUAUAAUGGUAGUCAUAAGAACUGGAAGAUAUGGCUAACGGCAAGCUAAACAGCCCUAUGGUAGAUGCAAAACAUAGUGGUUAUAGACUCUAUUCUACCACGUAGCAGAUGUAAAAUAUAAGCUGUAUUAGACGAACAAAAUUUGCCUACCAAUUAGGCAAAAUUAAUCCAAAUAAUAAGGGAUAAAAACUAUAAGAUUUGAAACAUGGGAUUCGAUAAUACUGCCAUUGAACUAGAAUUGUACGAACUGAAGGUGGUCUUCUUCUUGGUCAAAAUAAAUAAACAAAUGUAAUUCCUUCAUCCGCACAAUCCCAUUCUAAAACUAUGAACUUAUGAUUCCAUACUACCGUAACACAGCAGAAAUAUAAUUCCAACAACGGCACGCGCUAAAUCUAAUAAUAAGUCUUACUGUAUCAAAUAAUCAUCAAGCAGAUGCAACUAGGCAUAUGUAUAAUUAAAAUCACAAGCAUCAAAAACUCUAAACAAAUAUUACAAAAAUGCCAACAUACAUUUCCAUUUUGCCGAUACCUGCGUACUCACAGAUGAAUUGCCCUUGCUUUAUGAAUUGAUCGGCAUAUAAACCCCACCCUUUAUUCACACUCCUCACAAUCUUCAAUCUCACCGAUAUUCCUCUCUGAGUCAACCGAUUCCCGCACUCAGACCCGCACCCGCAACUCGGUCCGCACUCACUCACUAUGCCCACAUCCUCCAGACCCGAAAAACACGGACACCCAAAUACCCCAUCACCAAGUCCCACCUCAAAACACUCUUCACAGUCGCACCCAGAUUCACUUUCGUCUGACUCGCAGACAAGACUCACUGAGUCAAACCCGAGUGGACUCAGAGAAGAGUUUGAUUCAGCAUCAGCAGCAGCAUUGGUGGAGGCCCAAAAUUGGCGUGGUGGGAAUUGGGCAGGACAAGGAGGAGGGAUUAUCUGUGAUGGGGUGUAAAUGAAGUAGGCGUAGGGGGUUUUGUCGACGGCAUUGUGAAAUGGGAUCGGGAAAUUCUCGACGGACCUGGAGGCAUCGAGAGAGCGGGAGAGAGUGAUGGAUUUGGAGAUUUGGGAAAAGGUUCUGCAUGUAAGAGAUACGUUGGCGAGCUCCCCUGGGGUUAGCCAUGGGAGUAUUAAGCGAGCCCACUGAAGGAAUUGAUUCUGCUUUUGUUCUUCAUCUACCUCGAUGGUUCGUUUGUGACAGUUUAUCAGCUCCGUCGGUGCAUUGCUGAAUGCCAUCGAGUUUUCAAUGCUGUGUCGUCUGGAACUCGCAUAGUCGCAUCUCGUUUGUUGUGGUUUUUAAGUUUUAGCAUGAACAAAAUGUACACACGGAAAAUACGAUGUCGUUUCGACCACUUGCUCUAAAAGUCUUAAUUGUUAUCAUUAUUAAGCAGAAGCGAAACAAUUACAUGGGGGUUUCGUAGGGGUGUUCAAAAUCUAAUUCGAUCCGCUCAAUUCAUCCAAUUCGCUGAAUUUGAUCCGUAUAAAUUCGAUUCGUGGAUUGAAUAUGGAUUGAAAAUUUAAAAAUUCGUAGUCAAUGGAUUGGAUAUAGAUUUACUUCUGUAAAUCUGCAGAAAUCGGUGAAUCCAUAAAAAAAAAAAAAUUUAGCCAAGGCGGAUGUACGGUACAGCAGACUUUGGAUUAAUUUCUGAAAUUACAUUUGCAACAAAAUUAUUAUAUUACUCUUUACAUUUCAUGUGGCAAAAAAAGUUCAAAGACACCAAAAAAAAACACCUUACUACGUAUAUAUACACAUCUCAACACACACUAGCAACAUUCAAUACUGGUUGGAUACACUCUCGACACGGAUUUGAAGGACAUCAGCCGCGCGAUUCCGGCGAGAGCAAGCCAUCUUCUUUCCCAAGUCCAUCAAGCCACUUCACAUUCAUUGGUUCCAGCUGAACAAUUUCACUAUCACAACCUUCAAGAUCGCCACCCGUACGGCUUCUCCUGGUUCCUAUUGUAGAUGGUUCCGUAAUCACCACUUUUCGACAGGCGCAACAGCCCUGGUGAAGGAUCAGACUGUGUUUGGUUUCCAAAACUUCGUCAUUUCAAUUAAUUGUGGCUUUAUUUGAACAAUUAAUUUCGGUGUUAUAUUAACGUAUUAUUGUAACUUUAUUUGAACAAUUAAGCUUGGUGUGUUAUAUUUUGAAACUUUGAACGUAUUAUUGUAGCUUUAUUUGAAUAAUUAGUCUCGAUGUGUUAUAUUUUGAAACUUUAAAUGUAUUAUUUUAGCUUUAUUUAAACAAUUAAUUUAUUUAAAUUUUAUUCAAUUUUAAAUUUAAUUGGUAGCAAAAUUAUUUUAAUAUUAGAUUUUUUUAUUUCAUCAGUUGGAGAGAACUAAAAAUUUUUAAUUCGAAAACUAAUGGGCAAAAUGGUGGAUUGCAUAUGGAUUGAGUCAAAUCCGCAUCCGAUCCACAGACGUAUGGAUUGGAUAUGGAUUAAAUCAAAUCCGCAUCCGAUCCGCAGAUGUAUGGAUUGGAUUUAAAUUGAAUUUUAUCAAUCCGUGGAUUGGAUUGGAUUGAAAAAUUAUAAUCCGCAAAAUCAUGGAUCAGAUAUGGAUUGAUGUCCAAUCUAUAAAAUCCGAUCCGUGAACACCCCUAGGGUUUCGUGACAUAAAAUGUGGCAAAAGAGAGAUAUGUGAGACUGCUUUUAUAAUUAAUUUUUUGGUGACUUUUACAACCAAAGCAUCCCUGGAAGGCUGGAAGUGAAAAAAAUAGUGAGUUAAUUACAAGAUUGUAUACAGGUUGAAAAUGACUAUUUCUCUAAUGGCUCAAUUUUAUCAUUUUGGUUUGAAGGCAAAAAUUGGCUAUACUCUCGUGUAUUAACACUUCAAAAUGUGGUUACAAGACCUAUGCCUAGCUCUUCUGCAAGCUCAUCCCAUACUGGAAGGAGUGUGAACAGAACAAGGAAUAUGGCCACUGUAACAAUGGCUUUCCUCCACGUUCCCACCUCAGUCACAUCGUUUAGGCAUGGUUUUUCUGGAGUUCUCUGAAAAACAUAUAGUUGAAGCCGAAAUCAGAAAAGGAUUUGAAAGCAUGAAAAACAUAUAAUUCACCCUUAUUUAAUUUUGCCUAUCUGGGUACCUGGCAUAUUAUCACAUAUAGUCCCCAAGGAAGGGAUAAAGGCCCACCAAGCUGGAAGCAGAAAAAAAAAAAUUAGUUGAGAAUAUAAAUCACCUGUUCAAUGAUUUAAAAAACAAACUUAUCUGAAACGUUAAAGAUGCUAUAUCGAAUCAAAGUAAAUCAAAUAAAAUAGAAUGGAUGCAGCAUUGUAUUAUGUGCCAUCAGCACUAGAAUGACCAAACAAAGAAGCAUACCACUCCCAAUCCAAGCAUUGUGUAAGUUGUCAAGCCAAAACCAAUCAGUGCAUUUCUUCCAAAAGCACCCUAUAAGCACAUGCCAUCAGUUUGUGCUAAGGGAUUGAGAUUGUUUCCAGUCCAAAACUAUACCCCUUGAUUUAACAAAAUGGAUAUCCCAGUUCAAAUAGAAGAUAAAAAGGCUACCUGUACAGCUCUUCCACCAUCAAGGCACCCCACUGGAAGCAUAUUAAAAGCUGUUGUGGUCAAGCCACACCUGCAAUAGUAAAUUUUAUGCAUCAGCAUACCUCAUAAUGUUACAAGUAGAAUAAGAGAUUCAAGAAAUUGUGGGCUACCAGCCAGCAAUCACCAAAGGAUGAAUUGUAACUGUUGAAGCAUGCAUUGCUCUGCAAGUUAAUAAGAGCAACGUGUCAAUAAAAAUUUCCAUGAUGCAAGCAAGAAUUAUUAAGUUCAGAUUAGUCAUCUGCUAGAGUAAUCGAAAUAGGAAACAUAGCAGUGGCACCAGUGAAUUCAUAGUUUGCCAACUAAUACAGUUUUUUUUUUUUUUUAAACUAAGUCCAUGGAAGCAGAGAAGGGCUCACGUGUAACCAAGAGUGGCUCUGCUGAUGAGACCAAGAAGCAAUGAACCUUGAAACAAUGUGCUGGGAACCUGCACCAAAUCUCCAGCAGCAUCUGGAUUUGAUGAGAGCAAUAGGCCAACAACAAACAUUGAGAAAGAUAAAGCAGCACCAGCAAUAGGACCCGCGAGUGAAAUGUCGACUUUUGUACUCCGAUCUGGAAGAAUGGAUUUAAACUACAAAAAGAAAUAUGUUUUAGUCAUUCAACUUAGAUGAUUGAUUCUAAGAUGCAUUAGACUUGACAACAGAUAACUUGCAGAGUUGCAGUUAUUUUCCAGAGUUCUUUAUCUAUUGAAGAUCAAAAUCUGAGAACAAGAACACCUGAUAGGAACAAUGCAUUCAGACUUGAAAGUAAAAAUAGGCAUACGAUUUUUCCAACUUGUUUCAAAGUCUACAGACUAGAGUCACUGUCAGAUAGGUUUACCUGAGUGAUUGCACCAAAGCUGCCAAGAGUAAUGUUUGGAAUGAAAAAGGGAAUGCUUAGUUUUACUUUCUUCGGGAAAGCAGCUAAAAAGUGACCAACUUCCUGCAAACAUUCAUCCCACAUUUAGCAAGACAAACCACAGCAUCAGAAUUUAAUUAAUACAUAUAUGACCAACAUUUGAUCAUGUCACAUGGAGGAAAAACACUAACCAAGAAAUAGUUAGAAACAAAAUUAGACAAUGCAUAAUAAAAAUUCUGAUUACUGUUAUAUUCCAAUCACUAAUAUACAUGCUGUGUGAUUCUCUGACUGAAAAUCCUGAGCGUUGAAAAACACCAACAUUAAUAGUACAGUAAUCAAUGAACAAUAUCCAUGCAUCUGCCAGAGGUUCGGAAGUGUUCAAUACAGUGUCAAAAAUGGCAGUCAAACUAUCCAUACACAUGAAAAUGAAUUACCAAAACCAAUUUAUGCACACAAUCACCAUAAGAUAUUAAACUUCACUCCCCACUAUGAGGUUUUCACAUCAUAUAUAAAAUGCUUUAACAAGUUGACCAAGAUAAAGAAUGUCAAACCAAACGUGGUAGCAUUAGCACAAUCCCUGUGAUUUAUUUGAAGGAAGUUUGACUUCAUGACAAAGAAUGCUGAAUUCAAACUAUAAAUUAGGAUGCUAAGCAAUUAACUAUACCAGAAAUUUUGGUACUUUAAAAAACAAAUAGUUGAUUGUCUACCUCAAAAAAUUGUCAUGUUGUAGUAUCACAUAGAGCAGUUUCAGGUCCCAUCUGCUUAACUAUCACCCUAAACAUUGGCACCACUGAACAAACUAGAACUAACAGAAGUAGACUACAACGAGACGGACAUAUCAGAAAUUUGAGCACUUCAUAAAAACAUAUAAAAAUAGAGUGCAGAAAGUAGAUAAAUUUCUGCAUAUAACACAGCCCAAUAUAAUGUGGUAGGCAACCAAAAUGUCCCAUGUGCUUAUCUAGCCAAAACCAAAACAAAUGAAAUGUUGCUUACAUGAAAUACCAGAACGCCCAAGACACCAUAUGCUAGGGGCAAAGCAGACUCUACAAAAGGGUACAGCAGCUCCACAUCGGGGGGGUCAAUGGCAUUUGGAUCUGUGAAGUAUUUUACUAUCUCAGGAGGCAGUCUAUUUAUCUGUUUAAUUAACAGUAUGCAAUCAAUAUUACAAAUUUUCAAAUAAAAAAAAAAGUACAGAUUGACAAACAGUAGAUGAUGUCAACAAAUAUAAAGGAAAUGGGAAUGAAUAGAAAUAUCGACAGCUGCCAUGGGUCUGCCAAAGUGUAUUUGCAAUUAGCUAACCUGAGAUGCAAUUCCUAACUCAACAGAGGAGCCAAUGGUCAAAAGGAAUAACAAAAAAGCAAUCACAUAUUGCCAGAGUGUUGUUGGCCCCGGUUCAGAGACCUCUUUUCGCAGCAGACCAAAGCUAACACGUGGUCCACCACGGGGAUCUGGUCCUUCGGAAUUGGGUUCCUCAACCAUGAAAAAAUUGUAUUUAUCACCUGUGAUCUCAACUAACCGACUCUGAAGUUUGGCAUAUACAUCUUCUCUCUUUCCCCUUAGAUUUCCAAGAAAAAGAAUGCCCUCUCCCAAAUCUCCAAAGGGCUCUUCUUUGGUCACCCAAAAUGUUGAAUAGCCAAAUAGAUUUUCCUUAAUUAGCUUUACAUCAGCAGGGUCAACUUUUUCGGGUCCAAGAAGCUCCAUCAGUUUGAAAGAGUCAAUUUGAAAAUUAUUAUGGGCUGAUCCAACCGGAGAUAUAGUUGGCGGCUGAAAACAGGCGAAAAACAUCAGAACAAGAAUAGUUAUCUCAGGAUAUUACAUAACACAAAAACACAUUCAUAUCCUUUUCAGUCUUAUACUCUCCCAGACUCUAUCUUUAUACAUGUCAUUAGUAUACGUGUGUCUAGUUUUAUAUGUGAAAGAAGUGAACCAGCAUGACUCAUUGGUGGAAAGGGAUGUUGAAUAACACGACUACCAACCAGAAAUCAAGUACUUGGAUAAGGCAGGUUUUAGCAGAAGGCAACUAAAUUUUCAUUAAAAUUCUAAGGCAGAAAUGCUGGAGUUUGACAGAAAAUAUGUCGCUUGAACUGUAUAUUGUUUGCGAAUAAAUCAAGUUAAAAAACCAUGCAUUACCUUAUCUUGCAUCUGACUAGUUGUUAACAUUUUCUAUAUGCAGAGCUUGAUAUAAAAUAGAAUUGAAACUCUAUGGACUUAGAAAAACCUUGACCAUACAACAACUUUGUGCAGACUUGGUCUAGAGCAUCUUCAUUGAUUACUUAUUGCCAAUUCAUUAUAUAGCAACCAAAUCAAAGAUUUUUGCUUGAGAGCUCCAUUUCCAACUUGAAGACUCCAAUUCCGUAUAACCAAAGUAAUCACAAAGAUAUUGUAAAAAACUCACAAUGAUCAUUCUUGAUUGAGAUAUCCCUCUUUUACAUAGCAAUCACACAUCUCGUGCUUGAGCAAAUUACCGACCACUUAAAUAAGAAUUACAUGGUUUCAUGCAAGACCUUUAUACAAGAAUACCCAAUUCAUCAACCAUUUAUGCCAAGCAUAUGCAUAAAGCAUGUGAAGGGAUCACUCAUAACUUCCACAUUUUCAAUCUACAAAUUGCUUCCCAAGUUAUGAAAUAUUAUUAUAACAUCAUUCAAGUAGCAAAACUUUGAAAUGAAUGCGUAGAGACGCUGUUUGUUAUUGAGAUAUUGAGAUUGUGUAGCUGUAACUUUUAAACUACAGAACUAAAGUGUGCUUUAUAAAUUAAGUUGAUUUAAUCAAUUACUUUUAUAAUGAAAAAUCUAUAAUCUGUUCAUUAUUUUUAGCAUAAUAAUUAAUUAAAAAUCAUGUUAACUUUUAUACUACUAACUUUUAUUUUAUAAUCACGGCAGCUACUGCUUAAAAACUACUGCACCUAAAUAGCAAACAGGGCCAGAAGUACCCAGAAGAAAAUGAAAAGGAGAAAAAUGUACCGGUGAAGAAGCAGAAGUGGGGGUCUUGUCCGAAGUGAACUCAUUUGCAUUGCUACUGCUGCUGCUGCUGCUGCUGCUGCUGCUUUUCUCUUCUGUUUCGUCAAGCGCUGACGACGUCGUUGCGACACUCGAAUCAUUCGAUGCAUUAUCUUCAUUUUUCUCUGAAUUAUUGCUACUGUUAUUAGCACUACAAAAACACCUAAAGCUAUCAAAAGUUCUAAGACUCACGCGCCUAUACGAAACUCCUCCUUUGCUUUGCAAACAACAAGAAAAAGAACCCUUCUUCUUCUUCUUCUUCGAGCUCUUGAUUUUAAACACUUGAACUCUCUCAUUGUGAAGAGGAACCGAAUGGAGCCUGCCUCUGACGUUGACACAGCUAAAACUAAAAAUACAGCUGGCUAGAGUUCCCAUCCAAUCAAGAACACGAGAGCUGAAAAUGUUUGUUUCAGUCGAGCAUUUGGGUAUUUUUUUUAUUGAAUUUGAAAUUUUGAAGAAUGGAUUUUCGCGGAUUUGCUGUGGGGAGAGAGGUUGAGAAGAGGAACUAUUGUAUUAUUGAAUAAAGAAGAGGUCGUUUGGCUGAAACAACGUUACCAGCAUAUCUUCUUUUGCUCCGCCGGAUUUUUUUUUUUCACAAAAAAAUAAUAUCUUUUUUUUUUUAAAUUGAUUUUGUUGCCUUUUGAUUUUCUAUGGUCUCGCUAGGGUGACACGUGGCGAAGGGCCAAAUUCCAUUGUUCUUUUUACAUGUUUGAGCAAAUUAAACUAUUUUAAAUGAUCACGAAUUAGAUGCUAUAAAACUUUUCAUAAUGUUAAGAUAAAAUUAUUUUUAUUAUAUUUUAAAAUCGUAUUGUAUCUUUUUAUUAUAUUUUAAAAUCGUAUUGUAUCUUUUUUUUUUUUUUAAACUUCACCCACUAAACAUUAGUUCUUGUACUCAAUUAUUAGUUAAAUUGUGCAAAAUAUCUUUAUAACCAGUUAAGCUGUAUUAUUCAUGAUUUGUACCACAGCUGAAAUAAUUUUAUGACGACUCUCUGGUUAAGGAAUUUAUAAUGAGUAAUGAUAUAGCCGUAAACUCUUGUACAAACUUAUUUUGUACAAACUGAUGUGGCAUGAUAAGAUUGGUUGAAUUAAAUAUCACUUGGCCCACAUGAUUUGUUUUUAUUAUUUUAUAUUUUCAUUCAAUCAAUGAAUUAAUACCACGUCAGUUUGUACAAAAUAAGUUUAUACAAGAGUUUGUGGCUGUAUCAUUACUCAUUUAUAAUUGAGGAGUGAAUAACUUGUAUGUAUUAGCGGGAAAAAGCAAACCUAAAAGCACUGAAAUUCUAAGUCUUUUAAAUGAGUUUAGUUAGAAGAGGGGUCAUUUAAAAGACUUAUUUAACGCUGAUAACACUGAAAUUCUCGGUAAAAAGAGAGUUUGUUCUUGAAAGGACUUGAGGAUUUUGAAGGGUUAGCUGUGAAAUAGGAGUUAGAUAAAUUAUAAGCACUGAAAUUCUAAGUCUUUUAACAAGGGGUAGUUAUAAGAGGGGUUUCACAAGUGUUUUGGAGGGGUGUUAAUAGCUCAAAUCUUAUAAAAUCUGAUUGCGGCCGACCUUUUCUUUUUAAACCCAAAUCAAAUUUGGGUGCACGGUACCAGUGGACCACGAGCCCACUGGCUUUUUAGGCAGUACAACCGACUUGAAAUUUCAAAUAACAAGAAGCAAAUUGCAAGUUUCCUAUUUUAUAUUCUGAAAAAUUACCGCUUUGAACAAAAUGACGCCAAAUUAGUCGUUGCAAAAUGCUUACCAUCAACGCAACACGCACGACACUCGGCACGCAAGCGAAAAUACUACCAACACAGUAAAACACACAUUACAAUAUUAACAUAUUAUAAUAAUAAUAAUAAUCUUUUUUGAUAAAUUAUAAUAAUAAUAAUAUAAAUAAGGGCCAAAUCGCGCCUUUGGUUGUUUCAUUCUCUCCCUUGUGUUUCUGUCUGUCUUCACAAACGCAGAGAGAGAGAGAGAGAGAGAGAGAGAGACGCGAGAGUGAGUGAUAGUGAUGAAUGCGUCUUCGCUCCCUCUCUUCAUUUCACUCUGGUUAUUAAUCGUUUCGCGUGCCCACUUUGUGGCCCCUCUCAAAGGUCUCUUCUUUGUUCCUUCUUUUUAUUCAUUCGCCAGCAGCGUCUUUUGGGGACGUCAGCAAUGAAAAUAAUAAAUUCGACUUACUUGUUAGGAUUCGAUUAUGUUUAAUCUCUACGUAGAUAAAUUAAUUAAUUUACAUAAUUUUUCUCUCGAGGAAUCUCUGCUAGCCGUAUGAUUUAAUGGAUAUUGGUUUAUUCAAUGCUUCAGUACGUUUUUGCCCGAUAAUACUGAUCGAAGAAGGACUUACUGGAUAAUAACUGUGUUUUAGAAAUGGUUAAGGUUUAUGGAUAUUUUUGUUUGCUCAAAUUCAGUUGUUUAACCCAAAUUUUCUGAUCCAGGUGAUAAAUUUUACUAAAAUGACAAUGAUAGCGUAAACUUUUCGUUUUGCAGGUAUCGACAUUGGGAGUCCUUCUAUAGAUGUCACACCGUAUCCCCUUUCUGAGAAAUCCUCAGUUCAUGGGUCCCACGAUGUUUUAUCAUGUGAAAGAGUUCAAGUUUCUGGUUACUCAAGGAUGAAACUUGGGAGUUAUCCCAGUUCCUUCCGAGUCACUUUGGCUCCCUCUGUGGUGAUCCCAGAGAGAUUACAUCAUAAAAUUCAGGUUUGCUUUCACCGGUAAGUGACAUAUCUUGUUGAUGAAUUCUGUUUUUGCUUCUCUCUGCCUCUCCCUCGGGCAAUUUGGGAAAUAUUCAAAUUUAAUAGUUGUGGGUAGUUGUGUCUUACUGAAACUGUGUUUGCAGGAAUGCUUCACUUGGAUUAUGUCAGUGUGAGAAGGAUGAGUGGAAGGAUAUCCAGAAGGGGGGAAUUUGGAGCACUGUCAUGUCCCCAUAUGAGGAUAGAUAUGUUGAUGUCAAGUUUGUUGGCAGAGUAUCUGGUUCUGUUUCAGUUGCAGUCGAGGAAGGUGUGGCAUUCUCCUUUAUCCACUGCCUGGUUAUUUUGUUAAUGUCCUACAUGUUGUGAUUGUGGAUUUCUUAAUGCAUGUUACUUAUCUUCGUGUUUGUGCAGAUUUUCAGAGAUGGCGGCUCCUUUGUCUAGCUUUUGGAUUUUUUACGCUGCUGUUGGCACCAGUUGUCAGCAGUUGGGUUCCUUUUUACUAUAGCAGUUCAAUGGCUAUAGGAGUUUUUCUUGUCAUUCUAAUUAUUCUUUUUCAGGUAUUUGAUUCCUUUCUCUUCUUGUUUUUCAAUUUUCCACUUUUCCCUUUUAUGUCUGUUACUUUGGUCCCCACUGGGAAUAGUUAGUUAGUUACUGGAUGUUAAGCCGUACAUGAUCAGAAAGGAAGUUGGAGUUGCAAUUAAAGAAACUGAUCUACUGUUGUUUACACAUUGUUUCCACUCCCUAAGAAACUUUUGUUGAUUGGCUACUCUAGUAUCAAUUUUAGUGAAAGUUUACCCUUAGUUGCUGGAUAACAUGAUAUAUGUUUUUCAUAUUAGCUCAGUGUUGUUUAAGUUUAUGUUUCCCUAUUUUGUUUUUAAGUUCUAAUUUAUUAUUAUUCCUUUUUUUUUUUUUUUAAUUUCUUUUUGAUGUAGGGAAUGAAGUUGUUGCCAACUGGAAGGAAAAAUGUCUUGUAUCUUACCAUAUAUGGUUCAGUGGUAAGUCUGCUUUUAAUCUUUAGCCGAUAAGCUGGAUAUAUGUUUGUAAUGCAAUAUGAAUCUUACUAUUAACUAUACUUGCAGCUUGGUGCUGGAUCUUUCCUUUUACAUCAAUUCUCAGUGCUGGUGAACUCAAUUCUUAUCAAUUUUGGGUUCAGUGAGGAGAUGCACAAUCCAGUAAGUUUGUUUUUGUCUUUCUGCAAUCUUUAACUGCCCUGGUUGGCUUCCGUAGGUUCUCUUUGACUUAAUAUUACUAUUAUUUAGAUCUCUGCUCUAGUUGCUUUUCUAUGUAGAGUGAAUCACUACGGAAAUGAAAUAGAAGAAGUGACAAAUACCUAAAAACCAAUGAGGGGCUAAGGAAUGGCGACCUGUGUGAUGACUGAAACUGUUAACAGCGACCUUUAUGAAUCCUCGUGAUCUAUAAGUCAUGCAAUUGGACUUACUUUUUGAGCUGUCAUCUGGAGGAGAUAUAGUUGGCCAAAUGAGAUUUUGAAACGCUGGAUAAAAUUUUCACAGAUAGGAUGAGAAGAUGCAUAGAAGGCAUGUAAAAUAGAUAAGGGCAAAAGAUUGUGCGAUAUGGUUUAUUUUCCAGUCUAGAUGAUCUGAAAUAGGUUGCUGUGAUGGAUGAUUUUGGCCUCUUUGCAUAUGUAUGUAUCUUUUUCAGCUUUGCUUUUUGUUGGGACCUUCGGUUGUAAAUUUUAGCUUGCAUUUCCAUCUUUGGGGAUUAUGGAUUUUGCUUGAUUGUUGCUGGCCAUAUUGGUCUUUUGGGAACAUAUCCAUUAAAUGUCUUCGUUUUAUUUAUUCAUUUGUUAAAUUUCUAAUUAUCAUUGAUAUUUGUUUAGAUGUUCUGCUUGCUCUUUCCAAGUGAAGUAACUUAUUAACUACAAAACUGUCAUUCUUCUUACAGGUCGCUAUAUUUGUACUAGUGGGCAUUGUCCUUGCAGGAGCUGCUUUAGGGUACUGGAUUGUGAGGAAAUUUGUAAUUUCAAAAGAUGGAACUGUUGAUGUUGGUGUUGCUCAAUUUGUUAAAUGGGCUAUGCGCAUCAUUGCGAGUACAUCUAUAUUCCAGGUAUGUUGUUGCAUUAAUGUUGGUUGUGAUGUUGACUAGGAAAGGUUUCUGUUCAUUAUCUUGCUUAUAUUGGCUUUUCUGAAUUUUUCAAUGAUUGUAAUAGAACUUUCCCUUUCUCAUUGGUUGAAAGUUAAUAAUCAAUGAAUUUUCCUCUUUGGACAUUUUAAUUACUUUUUUCACUUUAUGAGGGCGUAAAUGGAUGGGUUGAGUAUGACCUGACAUGAGCCCUUGUGCGGUUGGACUAGCUUCCUGUUGGUGUUUGGACUUGGAUUAACAUGGAUCAACCUGUCUUCAGUUCGGGCUGAGUUCAUUGACCAUCUGAGCUAAUCUACAUUUGACCUCUUAUAUAAGCUUAUAAUGUCUGUGAUUUAUAUUUAUUAAAAAUAACUUGAUGGGUUAAAAAGUAGAUUCAAGUCAGUAUAAAGUAGAUAAGUUAAUAUGUUAAUGGCCCUUCUCAAACAGAUCUUCCUACUCUACUUUCCAAGACACAGAAUUGUAAACCGAAAGUUCUGACAUGGAAGUUCUGCCCCAUUCCUGUCAAGUGGUUGAAGCCCAUGAAGCAUGAAAAUGAUCAUCCCCUCCAAGGUUGGCUGUGAGGUCUAACCAACUAGGCGGUGAUGAAGACACCCUUUUAAGUUCAGCCUGAUACGACCUAACGAAAGUGAGACGUGAUUAAAUAGCUUUAGUGAGCUUUUGAAUUUGGAUAUGACCAGUGUGUUGCACCUUGUGAUUUAAGCUUGACUUCAACCAAAUCUGUCUCAUCCUGCCCAAGUUUCAUUUUUCAUGGAAAAGCAAUUACCUUACUGUGAUUACUCUUGAUUUUGUGUCCCGUGACUUUUGAGAUAAUCUGAACUGAUAUAGAAUGUUGACCUGAAACCAGAAUAGACUUUUGAGAUGGACUAAUUGGAAUUUUUUUUUUUUUACUAUUUGAUGUAAAGGGAUCUUUUUCCUGCCAAACGUCAUAUGCUAAUUUAGAUUCUAAGACUUUUGGUGCUGUAUUACUUUUAUAUUCUGGCAUGGGCUACUUUGCUGCACAUUUACUCACUUACAUCAUCAGUUUAUUUUGCUCUUAUGAUUUGACAUUUUGUAUUACUAUAUUUUCUGGUGUAUUCUUCUGCAGAGCACCCUGGAUGCUCCUUUAGCAUUGGGGGCGUUGAUCUCUUGCUGCAUUGUCUGCUCUCUCAUCACUUCUCCAAAGUGGGUUGCCAGUUGGCUGCAACAUUCGAGUCAGACAACAAACAAGCAUGGACGCGCUGAAUUUCUGAGCAGGUCACCUGUAGUUGGAUCCAGAGGAAAGUUGUGGUCGACCCCUAAGAGUACCAAGAGCCCGCCUUUGUGGUCAAACUCUCCUGUUAGAGGUAUUUAUUAUUUAUUUUUUGCGGUUUUGCCUUUGUAUGCACAUGUUAAUUGCCAUGUUGCGCAUUACUGAAUGCAGAUGAAAUUAAAAUUUUCUUGUUAACCCUGAAAGAUACACUAAAUUGGAUACACGAUCAAGUGAAGGUGUAAUUAUCAUUUUGUUUGAGGGAACAAAUUGCAGUAAUCUGUUUAGCACCAUGUUCAUAUAAUUUCAUAAUCAUCAAAUGGGGGAUUUUCCUAGUAAAAAGUAGAACCUAUUGACACACCAUCCUUCAUUGUUGAUGUUAUGAGCAUUUUUAAUUGGUUUUACAAAUAGCCUUUUGGAG
Molecule: long non-coding RNA, 158669 nt
Filed under: Citrus sinensis (sweet orange)
Lineage: Eukaryota; Viridiplantae; Streptophyta; Magnoliopsida; Sapindales; Rutaceae
Description: long non-coding RNA (CSIN_LNC002323)
Source: RNAcentral